UCUUUUCUUCCCUUAUACUUAAUUAGCUUCUCCCCCUUUGCAUCCUUACUGACUCUAAACGAAAAGUCACCUAACACACACUUGUCGAGCAGAGGAACCCCGAACCUGCGCUGUGAAACAAGAAUUCUUCUGUCCCCAAGAUAUCAUAUGUUCUGUGUCCUUUCUUUGGUGUUCAUGGCGCAACUACACAGCAAACUUGUAUACUCCUAUCCUAUCUUUGAUUGAAGAAAAUCAUAUUUAUUGGCAGCUGAACCCUAUACUAAAGCACCGAACCAUUCCUUUGCUUUCGCACUCCUAAACUCACCAUUCCUUUGCUUUCACACUCCUAAACUCACCAUUCCUUUGCUUUCGCACUCCUCCCUAAACUCCAAUAAGCGUUAGCGGUGCCUAUCUAAUUUCUAGUGAAUUACGGGUUCCUAGCUCUUAAACAAACUGUUUACUUGAAUCACGAGCUUGCCGGAACAAACAACGUUCCUAAGUGCUAAUGCGAGUUUCGUUUUUAGUUGUGCGUCAGUGGUGUUGUGCCGGGGAGUAAGCGUUAGCCCACUUUCACUUUCUACUUUCUCACUCUUUGUCUUUCUUGCUUGUUCGCUAGUUUAUUUGCUUGUUUUGUUCCCUGCAACAACAAUAAGAAGUUGGGGCUAAGUGGUCAAAGUAGCAUAUGAUAGAUUUUAGUAAACAACCAGCAUUGCUUGCUUAAGAAUGGAAUUUCUCGAAUGGAGUUAGACUAUUGGCAGCCCUGUCCUUGCUUCUGGAAAAUGAGAUAACUGACAGAACAUAUGCUAUAUGGAGCCAGACUUAUUACUACUUACAGCUGGCGUAGCCGGACUUAUUAACAGCUGGCGUAGCCGGACUUAUUACUUAUUGCUUGGCUCUUCACUGCUUACUGCAUCCUUUACUUUAAGAAGAAAUAGGUGAACCCGUACUGCUGGCUCUUCAUCACUGUUUACUGCUUCCUUUAAGAAUGAAUAUUAGCACCCGCUCACUCAAGUAAGGGCAGUGUUUCUACUUUACUUUAUACAGGGCUAAGCCUAAGCCGUUUUUCAAAGAUGCUUUAGUUUGCAAGCAGGUCGUAGUGCUUUUGCCUUAUUGUCUUGUCUUACCGUCCCAACUCCAUAAAUGAUGCGCGGUGUACUGAUACUGGGGUAUAGAACGGAUUAUGCGUUAAGUGUACGUACAGAAGGCUAUAAUUCUCAUAUAAGUGUUAGGAGUGAGUAUCUAAUUUGAAUAUAAGUAAGUGUAGUGCACAAAUCGAUUAGUUAAGGUAUAGAGAAAGGGCGAAAGAACAAGUAAACAAGCAGUCAGCAGUAUUGUUACUCAUAGGGGUAGCUCUCUUCAUUUCCAUUCCCAUUAUUAAAGCAAGUGAACAAGAAGCAAGCACUUUCCCGGUAAGUCUCCAAUUACUAAGAAGCUAGUGCGCCUAGCCUAUGAUAUGAGUAAGGCAAAAGGGGCAUAACUGUUGCUAUAAGUGCAGAAGAAUAGAGUAAGCUGUGUCGUUUGAAGGAAAGGAAGCAAAGCUCAGUGAGGUGGAGAACUUCCAUUAGUUGUCCUAGUUGUCAGUUCCAUUACACAAGUAAACUCGUCACUACUAGGCCCAUUCUUUUGCUUGUUUUUAGUUGUUGUCUUGUUAUCAGUGGUCCAAAUCUUAUACCCUUUCUUGGAAUUGGUCUUUCACUUUGGGGUGGAAUUGAAGCCCUUUACCAAUGAAUUAAGCCUUAGUGCCGGGUUGAAGCCUCUGUUUGUGGUUUGAUUCCUACUUCCUACUCCGAUGUACCUUACUUAUGUAUCGAGUUUGAUUCCCGAGUUGUAUUGCUACUUUUGAGUGAAAUAGUAGUAGGUAGAUUCGUAGUCUCUUGUUUCAUUGUUGUAAGCACCAGUAAAUUCCUAGAAGCAUUGGUAUAAUUCCCUUUACCGAGUUGCCAUUCUUAUGAGUAUUAUAUUGGUUCUUACUACACUGUUUCAGUCUUAUCUGUAUUGGUGCAAUUCCCGGUUAGGGUUUCUAUACUCUACUCCUGCUCCACCCAAUCGAAUUCUGUAUUUCACACCUGUUACCAAUGAGUUGGAUUCGAUUCUUUCUUAUCAAAGCAAGGGUUCCUAACGCGCGAAUCCCUUCUUUCCCUUCUCUUCUUUGACCUCUUCUUUGACUUGUGUCCCUCGGAUUCCGUAUUUGAAGUAACGAGUAUAGUAUAGCCUUUGUAGUUCGGGUAACUCUGCCAACUCUUAGCAAGGUGUUGGUCAGUAAAUAAGAAAAUCAAUAAAUAAGAAUAUAGGGGCCGCCUAGAUAUUCCUUUAAGGAGUAAGUAUCAUUCGUAGUGGUUCGAUUCCAUAUUCCUAGCUCAUUCUUUGACUUAUUAGUUGAAAGCCCUGUUUCGUGGAGUAAGCCCUAUAAGUAGUAAGUUAUUAUAAGAUAUAUAGCAGCUCUGCAUUCUCCCUAGUAAACUCGCUCCGUUAAGUACUCUUCUUCUAUAUCAUGAGUGAAAGCCUAGCCUGCUACUGGUGAGUAAAAGCCAUACAUAAAGGUUGGUUCUUAUGUUGAAGCUUACUGUUUUAAGAGUUCAAUCCUGCUCUCUUAUCCCGCGAACCAUUCUUUGACUACUGCAAUUUGUAUCUUAGCCCGGUACCUUACCCUUUUGUUGGAUUCUCUGAUACGCCCACUCCUUCUUUGACUUCUACAUCGUUCUUCUACUUAUGAGUUGAAUUCGAUAUUUGAUGUCAUUGUAUUAGUAUAGUAAGGAUGUCAUUGUAUUAGUAUAGUAAGUACGAUGCCCUUACUUUCAAGGCGAAUUCCUUAUUUCAAAUACUUAUAUUCUUAUUUGUAAUGUCAACAACUAGAUCUUGACUCUACUAGGCAUAACACAUAGCAUAGGAUUAACUACACCAUAAUGGAAUUUGUAUUUCGAUGUUCCGAACUCAAUCUUUCGUGUAAAAGUAAGGAUCCAAUUCAUAAAAUCAGAGAAUGAAAACACUUGCCAACAGCUCCUGAGUGAACCUUUGUUCGUGGGCUUAAGGAGCAAGGUGUAGUUGACAGGUAAGAAAGAAGAGAAUAAAGUACUGGCUCUGGUCCGGUAGAGCUAUCAGGCCAGGCAAGCAGAAAACUCCAAACUGUAGAAAAAAACGAUUAGUUCACAGAGGCAGGUCGGGAAGCAGUUUCAUCAAUAUUAGUUUACAGAGGGUAGGCUCACUUUCAUUCUGAUAUAAACAAGUAUCAUUCUCACUUUCAUUUACAGCACAGAUUCUACUGCUUUGAGGCUAGGUGUGAGUGAGCGAGGUGUGAGUUACAAAGUCAGGUUAUGACCGAUGACCCAGAGGAUAGUUCAAUACCAGGAGAAGAGAGAGAAUCCGCGUAUCUAAUUCAAAUCACUGAGUGGAAGUACCUGAGUCAAAGGGACAGGUAAAGUAGAGGCCGGGUGCUCUAAAGCCUUUCCGGGCAGUAAAAGAAAGUAGAGCAAGAUCAGAUGUGGUUGUAGACCGGCUUAAUAGUAAGGGCCCUGCCCUGCUUGAACUUAAUAAAGAUUCUUUCCCCGAGACUUCUGGAACUAUACUUUAAGACUUAGAGCUACAGCACCAACACCAGACUUUCUCACUGGUAUUCAAUACAAUACUUGAGUCCGGAGCAGAGGCGCAGAAGAGAAAGAGAGUUUCGCGUCAAAAUGCAUUCCUUACUUUCCUGUCCGAGGUAUUCAAUAGAGAGAAAAGCACCUGCCCGGGGUUAAUAAAGAAGUGUUGUUGAUUCCUUACCGCAACAAAGCAUUGAAUUGAUUCGGAUUUCUUAGCAACAUAGGCCUAGGAGCUACUGUUACUAAAAUGCACUAGUGUUACUAAAAUGCGGAUGUCACUAAUUUCAUAGCAUAGGCAACAGUGGAAGGGAUAUCCGGGCAUAGGCAACAGUGGAAGGGAUAUCCUGAGUUGAAUACUGUAGAAGAGCACUUGAUUGAUUUCUUUCUUUAUUGAUUGAUUUCUUUAUUAUAGUUGUUUAUAUUCAAUAACUGAUUCCACUUAGGAUGCUUACUGAGCUAGCAACUAUUCAUUCGACUCCCAGAUCGGAAACUGAAGAACGGGCGGGUCUAGUAUGUAGUCAACUCUAUUCCAUUACUUACUAUAGGAGAACGGAUUCCCUUCCAUUACUUACUAUACUUUUCUGCUUGUUUCUUCCUCUACAUAAUAGUUCCUUACUCUCAAAGCCUUUCUUUGUCUUCCUCUCUUAGAGCGAGUCCUACUGUUAGGAGUGAGUUCAAUAAAAACAGGACUUUGUUGGUAAUAACAAGUUCGAACUCUAUUAUCGAACCCUAUAUAUGGAUAGUCUUGCCCGAACUCUACUUGCAAAACCACUCGUUGCCAAUGCUCUAACUACACUACUUUGAGCUACAGCAGUACUAUAAGUUGAGUUACCAACAAAAGCUAGGGUAGAGAGAGGAUAACCUUAUUUCACUUGCCCGAACAAUACUUUAAUAGCGUAACAAAAGGCAAAGCAACCUACUCUGUAAAGCCUAUUACUUCACUUGAAGAACUGCUACGUGGGUAUUCCAUUCUAAAAAGCUUAUCUUGGGCUUCAGCUCCUUCCCCUGACUUUGAAUCUACUGCUGGAUUGGGAUCUGGAUCCGCUCUAACUUCCCUUUCUUCUCGAGCACCAGGUCAGGUAUGGAAACCUUUAUGGAAACCGUUAUGGAAAUAAGUCAAGUAAAAGUAUCGAACAGCGCAUUCCCUUUUUCAACAACAUUUUCUCCUUUCCUUGCUACUAAUGUUGUGAGUGAUAGGGGCAUCGAAUCUUGAAACUACUCCAGCAGAUGAUCCAUAUUCAGAUCCGUCAUCUCGUCGCCAGGACAACACCCUGCCUUCCCGCCUCAAAGCCAGUAAGAUAUGAUUUCCCUUGAAAACAGGUAAACCGGUAACUUCACUUUCUCACUGUAACUGGAGUAUCGGACUUCACUCCUUCUUGCUUAGCUAUAAAUACUGGUUUAUUUGUUUCUUUCUCUCUGCCCGGUAGUCACUGAGUUAGGGCCAAGCGUAUACUAGACAAUAGGAGCAAUAGGCUAAAUUAGGACUCUCAACCAAACCAAAGAAAGGUUGUUCUCACUCUGGGCUCAUCUAACUCAGGCUACAGCCAAGACACGACUACAAAGGCAACCCAGGCUUUCAGCACCUUACUUUCGGUGGGCAAGGGGCCAAGCAACUUCUAAUGUUGUGCGGCAGGAGCCCCGGCUGGUUUCAUAUACAAAGUGAUAUAGAUUUUCCCCUACUAUUUCUCUACUGAGCAGGUACAUUAGAAAGAUGCCGACUUUUCUGCUUUAUUUAGCUAUUCUUACAGUGUUAAGUCUACUCCCCACUCCUGAAAUGAAGUAUUCCGGGGGUUGAUACCAUCAUUAUUCCCAUCCCUGAAAUAUCAUUCUUCCCAUCCCUGAAAUGAAGUAUGUAGGUUUUCUACCUUAGAGCAGAAAUGCUCGAAAGCCGCCCCGAGAAAGGCUGCCCUUGACUGGACAAUAGAUGAGAAUAGAGAGAUGAUAAAGAGAAUCAUAGAAGCCUCUGCUCUGCCGCGAGCUAUUCCUUAGGAUGAAUCUGGAAUACUGUUUAUCAUAAUCUAUCUCUAAAUCAGAGAUCAUUGAUUUCAAGACAUAAAGAAGAAACUUGGUGCUCAUCCCUUUAUUGAUUCCAUACCAGUUUGGAUUACCUACCCACUUCGGUCGAGGUGAGGAGAAGUGGAUUGAUUCUUCAAUCGGAGGUCGGUGAGUCAAUUGCAGUGACCGAUCCCGCAGUCUUCUAAUUCACACAACUUUAAGCAUAGAAGGCCAAGCAACGGGCAAGCAACUGGGCAAGUAGACAACAAAGACAGAUUCCACAAGCCCAGCAGCUGGCUACCGAGCACAUAGUAAGUCAGAAGCCAAGCAACCUCGGAAAGCACUCUCCAUCUAGUUCAGGCUACAAAGACAGUUAUUUCUCCAAAACACAUAGCAUAAGUAUUUACCUCCUUCUCCCCUACCCAACUAACAAUUACCCUCGCAUCAAAGCCUUUACUUUAUUCUUCCCCGAUAACUACACACUUUCCUUUCCUCUCCUCUCAGUGAAGCUGACCUCUGGCAAACAACCAAUAAGGGCCCAGACUUAGAUGUCAAGCCAAGAACUGAGCUCUACGGGGAAAGCUAAUCAAACACAAGAACGGAAAGAGUAUCUACUGAAGCUGAAGUAGACCUAGACCUCGCAACAAAGAAUGGAAUUGACCUCGCCUCUGUCAACAAUACCUUAAUUCUUAUCCGAUACCUAUGGAAACUGGCAACUUCACUGCUUCCCGAGCCUACCCAUCCUAAAGUGCUUUCUGAGACCAUAAAUCUUAUAGCUCAUUCUUUAAUGACUUAUUCCGAGGCCUGAGUGUGAGUUAAAGACCUGGGUCAUAACAGGAGCAGCCAAUUCUGGAAUCCUUAAUAAAGAUAGAGAAAAUUAGACUUCAUUUUCCCUACUAUGUCUGUACUAAUUGGGUACUGGAGAAAGAUCUAGACUUUUCUGGCACUGAUAGCGGCCCUGCCGCGACACCGAACACAGGACAUAGUAGUACCGUACCUUAGCUACCCUUACCCACACUAGCUACCCUUAGCCCCAUUCUCACCCUCCUUAGCUUCAUUCUCUGUCUCACUUGUUUCAGGCUUAGGUGCACUGGUAUAAAUCUGUAACUCACUUGUUUAGGUCUGGUUGUUGGAUCGGAUAGCCUGUUAGUUAGUAGCUCCAUUCUACCCUUGUUACCACCCGUUCCAUUCCUCAUGCCAUUCUUUAACUACCUUGGCUCAGUCUGAGUUGAACUAGUCUCAUCCCUUGUUUGAUCUGGAAUCAUUAAUAAAGAUAGAGAAAAUGAACCACUCGCCAAGUAACUACUAAUGUGUAGCGACAGGAGUCCUCGGAAAUCUGAUCUUUGCGUUUUCCCGUGUUUUUUCAUAGCGAAGCAAUUUCCCUUAAUAGAGAACCAAAAAGUCAUUCAUUUUUUAAGAAACCCCGUGUUUUUGGGCAGCAACCAUGGUUUCCCUCCUGAAAGGUCUGAUUGAAAUUACAAUUUAGCGUUUUCCCGUGAAACAGCCCUGCCGCACAACUGACGUAGUUGUUUGCCUCAUAGCAAUUGUAGACUUCAGUACUUAUCAUAGGGUGGUUCAAUUCUUUACUUCAGUACCUAUAGCUUCUAUUCGAACUGGAGCUGGACUCUAAUCUACCAACUUAAUAUAAAGCAACAGCCAACCCACCCUAGUGCUAGUGCUCUCAAGUAAGAAGGGCCAAGCAACUGGACAAGCUCACCUCUUUCUUGCUAACCUAAGGCUCCCCUUAUCGCCUACCUGGUGCUCCUCAAUUCCCAAGUUAGGGUGCUCCUCAAUUCCAAAGUUCGAAUGGGACUCAGAAGUACAAGAAGGGAUUGACCUCUUGCCCACUAUUCCAAUUCUUUGAAGACACAACUAUGAGGCUGCUAAGGGUGAGUAGCAAACUCAAAUAAUGGAGUAACCAAAAGAAGAAAUAAGCAUACUUCAAAUAGAAAGUCAGAGUCAAAAGCUUUAAAGGCAGACUGAUCGGUAGGAAAGCAAGCCCUAGAUUAAGUAGUGGCAGGCAAAAACUCACAAGCAAGAAAGAGGGACCAACUACCCCAUAAGAAAAGUCUGAGAAGUACUCGUUUGAUUCCCGGGUUCCCAUAGAAGUAUGUUUCAUUAAAGGCAUUCUUUCCGGUAGUAGUUGUCUUGUCAGCACUAGUUUUCGUUUGAGUUCCGAGCUUGAGUAUCGAGUAUUCUCGGUAGUGGUUGUACUCUAACAGCAAUAGUGAGAGUCUUGCUAGGCAGUGUUUGAUUCCCUGCCCACAAGCUUAUUAUUGUUGGCAUUAGUAUUUGCUUGUUUACAAGCUAAGUCAGAUUUCAUAGCAGUAAAGGCAUCCUUGAGAUCGGUAAGGUGGAGCGUUACAGAUUCGAAGAUCAGCAGUUCGAUCCUUGCUAUCAGUGAUUCAAUUCUGUUUAUUGGUAGUUUCAGAAUCAAAGUCAGUGUCGUAAGCCUGUUCGGCACUAGCUCAAUUCUUUAACCACUACAUUUGACUACUUAUUGCAGCGGGGGGAUCCCAAUAUUCUCUAUUCCGAUUUCCAUUCUUUUAGUGAAUAGCUAGAUGCACUAGAGCCUACACCACCUAUUGGCCUUAUAGCUCUAUAUUUGUAUUAGUAGACUUAGAAACGUAUCAUGACCCCCCUUUGCGUAUCCUUAACCCUUUGUUUGAUUAUUGAUUCCUCCUUCGCUCUGCCAUCCUUAUGUUAAUGAGUGAAACUCUUUUCAUUGUUCCUUUCAUUCUGUUUGUUCCUUUCAUUCUGUAUUUACUACCUUUUGAGUUGUUCUCUUUAUUCCUUUAUGGCAUUCUGACUUGUUAGUUUUCUCCCUAUCUAUUGGGGGUUAUAGCUUAACCCUGGCAUUCCUUUCUUUAAGGCCGAUUUCUCAUUUGAAACCUAUACCAGCUCCCGGAACUCAUAACUACCAAACUUACCCAUUUCCUUAUCUUAGCCUUUCUCGAGAGGAUCUGGUCUAAACUGCUUGUUUUAACCUGACGUUUCACUCGGGCACUCUUCACUUUGAUUCUGAUAUUGAUCACUUCAACGCCCAUGCUUUAGCUCAGGCCUACCACUCCCAACUCCAUGUCUUCAACUACUUUCUCUUAGUAAUAUACUUCUCAUUUGAAUUCCCACACUGCUUACGGCAUCCUAGCUCCCGGGGCACCUACUUAGCCUGGGACUCUUGAUCUCCAAUUAGAAUAUACCUUAGAAUAUAGCAGUAGAUAAGUAAGAAGUACAGACAGGCAUGUAAGUUUUAGACAAGAGAAUGAGAAUCAAAGCCUGCUGCUAAAGCAAGGAAAGCAAGAGUGAGAGCUGGGGGGUGGGUGUCAGGCCGAGAGCAAGUAAAGCAAGACUAUAAGCUCGGAGGUUUAGUUUGAAACUAAGAAGCUAGGAUGUCAGGACCAAGUACGACCCAUAUUCUGAUGAAAGUAAGAUCCCUAAAGUCUUAAGGAGAUUCCUAGCGUUAUCCGUAAUGGUCUGCCAGUUAUCCGUAAUUUGUUGAAUGACUUGUAUCCUUACUUGGACAGCGAUCAGGGAGUUCUAAGACACUCAAAACACUAAGUCAGAAUAAAAGACAUAUAAGUAACUCCACUAGAUAAUAGUGAAGUCAGAAUAAUACUUGUAAGUCAAAUAAUGAACUAGGUGCCUCACAAUACCUUUACUCUUCUAAACUCGUAAUUGCCCUCCUUCUUGCCCAACCCUAUCUGCUUGGACCUUCUCUUCCAACCAAACAUAGUGCUAUUUCUCGCCAACCGUAGUCUAUUUCUUGAAAGGAGCAAAUCCACCACAUAGCCUAUUGUCUUUAAAGUAGGAAAUCCACCUAUACGCCUAGUUAUUUGAAAUAGUCAAUAAAGAAUCCAAUUAGAAAGGGCCAAGCAACGGGCCAAGCAACGACUAGACGCCAAGCGCCAAGACACUACCACUCCUUCCUUUCUUUUACAACUAAUGAAAAGCCUGCUAUACCUUGAUCUCAGCCUACCCCUUCCUAGCUAUUAGUCUUACAGCCCUUGACUAAAUCUAUCUCUCCUCGCUAUCCAACUGGCUUGGAUGCUUAAUUGCAUCCUUUCAUUACUGGCUUAAAGCCCUUGACUACCUUUUCUAAUUCCUCAACCCACGGUAGGAUCCAGUGUAUCUAACAAUUGAAUAAGCAACAGGGAAUCCAAUACAUAACUACUGAGAUCAAUUACCUUUCUAUUGAUUCCAGCGUACACUAUUGAUCCAGGCGGAGGGGAUUCUUAUCAUCCAUGUCCUCCAUCCGAUCUAUACCUUGAAUUCUGUAUUGAUAGCUUGAGUAUGUCACUACCAAACAUAGGAGAGAUGUAGAUGUUUUCACGGGCUAGAGAGAGAAGAGAGAGGUCGGGCAAGCUUCAUGACUCAAAUCAAUUCAGCCAGGUACAGGUUCGGCAGAGAUGGAGCCAGGGAAGGUCUUCCUUGACCAGUUUGGGCCUUACCGAUGCCUUCUGCUCGCAGCCGCCAGCGGGUGCCCCGGAUUCCGGUUCUAUCGCCGGGGAUAUAGCGUCUUAGAGAAUUCCUAAAAUACCUUGAUUGCAGGAUCACGGAAGGCGUGCAAUGCUGAUAGAUCACUCAAUCCUAUUCUCUUUUCUCAGUUUCGAUAACUUGUAGAUCUGCAAGACAUAUUUAGGGACCAAAGCCCUCUUUCUUUGUAGGGGAAUAGAUAGCAUAAGGUUACCCUGGUCAAAGAAGGAUCCGGCUCUCAUAGACUGAGGAGAGAGAUAGUAGCGCCCUUUCCUAUUCUGAUUUCUUUCUGGUGGGUCAAAGAAGGAUCAAGACCAUAGUUAUGAAACUUUAUAGGUUGCGAACCACUUUUUCUGUGCGCGAGAAAUAUUCCCCCUUUCAAUAACGCUACUUCUACGCUUCCUUUGAGGAUUACGACCUAUCGGCAGACUUAGCCUCAGAUGAUAGGACCCUUCGGAAUGGCUAAGCGGAGGAGAGGAUUCUGACAAUGAUGUUAGUAAGCACAAGCACCGGAAAUCAAAGAAGAAUUAUGUUAGGAAGCCGGAAAUCAAACCACUUACUUCUGGUAGACCUACCUUACGUUAGCCUGUAGCUUCAAGCCGGGCCACGCAGACUUGUAGGCAAGCUAGCGGAUUCAGGGGAUUUGUAUAAGUACUGGUAAGUAUAUGAAAUGGUAUUAGUACUGGUAUGAUCUAGUACCGAUAACUAGUGGUUGCUUGGCCGGGGAUUCCUAAGGAACAAAGGGACGAGAACACUGGGUGGCAGGGUUAUUAUCUCUAGAAACUACUACCGGCGGUGCAACUCUCACAUCAGCUACAAAGAACCGGUCGGCUACCAAGAAAAAGAUAGAGGAAAAACAGAGUCGUUGGCGGCCUGCUAUAGAAAGAAAGACGUAACUCGCUUAGGGGAGGGAGGAAGUCAAUCUAUUUCCAUUCAUGAUUAUAGCCUAGGCCGAUGGUUUACAUCAAAUACUCACAUGCAGUUGCCAAACGACCCUAUAGUAUGAGGAACUAUAAGGCGGAUGCUAGGCAGAUAGAUGGGCGUAGAGAAGGUUUACCCUUAAUUACCACCAUCAUUCUAUAUCUGGUAGCGAACUUGAUAAGCAAAGCAUAAGCCCAGUAAAUAAUAUGUUCAAAAGGAGGGGUCUGCCCAAUAGAGCCAAAUAUAGAACGAUAUAGACGAAAGGUGUCCUUAGGCAUCGCGAUGCAAACCUAUAUAUUGAAGUUAGCGGCCGAAACACUUUUAGGAAGAAAGAGUUGAACCUAUGUUGAUGAACCGCCUCUAGACCAACGUUAUAAUAGUGCUCCGAUAGUCAGGAAGUUGAGAUCAAAGGCAAGCUGUUACGACUUUCUAAAUAAGAUGAAAAUCCAUCUAUCCUUCUAGCAUCUUAGGAAGUAGGGCUCGUACCCAUCUCUCCAUCAAAGCAGACGUCCUAUCCACUUAUGGCAGGGGUAUCUUCCAUCUCUAUCAAAGAAAGCAGACGUCCUAUCCACUUAUGGUAUAGCAAGCAGGUAUCUUCCAUCUGUCUUCUCCUCAAAUAGUUGUUAUCCUUAGGAUGCUCUUUCACAAGAUUGUGCCGGCAUUAGAAUAAGGGGGAAGGGAUAGAAUCUCCAAGCCAAGCCCAAGAUCAAAUCAAUAGCAAAUAAGAAAUCAAGUGUGAAGUGAAACACUCUCUUAUUUAGAUAGAGAUCCUUUCCAAUUAUUGCUACAGAAGUAAUGGCCUACCUCCUAUGCCCUUUGACCCCAAAGAAAAAAGAAGUCAAUUUGCUCUUCCAUCUCGGAGUGCUCCUAUGCUAUGUUAGCAAGCAGAACAUUUCCAGCAAGCAAGUGACCUCUAUGUCUCGGCCUCGUAAAAGCAACUUCCUUAUCUAGACGAGACUAAACUUAACCUGAGGGGAACCGCGGGCAGCGGAUGAUCUUUCUUCCCUUGAUGGUUCAGCUACCCUUGACUCUUUUCUAGCAUUUGUUUACUCUGACCUAUACUAUGCACGCGAAAUUCUCAUUAAUGUGCGUAUUGGCAAGAAGAAUCAGAUAGGUAGCUUCACACUCAACCUACAGCUCCAAGUUCAAAGGUGAAGUAAGUAACAGCUGUUUCUUUCGCUUAAAUACACUUGUGAGCGGGCGCUAACAGGAGCUUGGGAAGUACUCUCUUCUGCCCUUCCGAAUACUGAUACGCCUGUUGUAUCUUCUUUACCAGAAACUUGACUUGUGUACUAUCUUCUUUACCAGAACUUUACUUGCCAACCUCUAUUUGAAUGAAAACUGGUUGACUUCUCCAGCUUAUGUAUCAAAGCCNNNNNNNNNNNNNNNNNNNNNNNNNNNNNNNNNNNNNNNNNNNNNNNNNNNNNNNNNNNNNNNNNNNNNNNNNNNNNNNNNNNNNNNNNNNNNNNNNNNNNNNNNNNNNNNNNNNNNNNNNNNNNNNNNNNNNNNNNNNNNNNNNNNNNNNNNNNNNNNNNNNNNNNNNNNNNNNNNNNNNNNNNNNNNNNNNNNNNNNNNNNNNNNNNNNNNNNNNNNNNNNNNNNNNNNNNNNNNNNNNNNNNNNNNNNNNNNNNNNNNNNNNNNNNNNNNNNNNNNNNNNNNNNNNNNNNNNNNNNNNNNNNNNNNNNNNNNNNNNNNNNNNNNNNNNNNNNNNNNNNNNNNNNNNNNNNNNNNNNNNNNNNNNNNNNNNNNNNNNNNNNNNNNNNNNNNNNNNNNNNNNNNNNNNNNNNNNNNNNNNNNNNNNNNNNNNNNNNNNNNNNNNNNNNNNNNNNNNNNNNNNNNNNNNNNNNNNNNNNNNNNNNNNNNNNNNNNNNNNNNNNNNNNNNNNNNNNNNNNNNNNNNNNNNNNNNNNNNNNNNNNNNNNNNNNNNNNNNNNNNNNNNNNNNNNNUAAACCCAAUGAUAAGACUCACGUGAGCACAACUAUAAACUAAACCCAUAGCGCUAAAGACAGGAAGUGUCAAGAGCAAACCAAGUCCUUUUGAUUAGACUGAAGUGAGUUAGAACAGCAGUAACGGGGGAAACAAGAUAUAAGCUAUAAAUUGAGUUUCUCCGAGUUAGAGAAUGAGCUAAGCCAAUAUACCUUUAACCGAGCUCUGUUCUGGUAGGCCCGAGUAGUGGUAAAAGUCGUCACCGAUGUAGCUCAAACUAAGUCAUUCAGAAGAAAAGUUCCAGAAAAACAAUCCGUCUUGUUCCCCGCUUAUAGUGCUAGGUAUGAGAUAUUGGGGUCACUAACCUCACCCAGGAAUUCUUUUCUUAAAGCAAUGUCCUUAAUUCUUGUUGUUUGGCGCAAUGAGUUAGGAGUUGUGUGACUCAAUAUUAGGAGUUGGGUGACUUGAAAUAUAUAUAUACCUUGCUUUUCUUGUGUCAGUGAAAGAAAUGAUUUCGAGUUAAGUUCACCGCACCUUAUUGGCUGGAGUGAAACUGUUAGGUAGAGCAGGAGCAGGAACAGGAAAUGUAGACGCACUAACGGAGUUCAAAAGCAAGUCCUAAGUUCACCUAUAUUAAUGGUAUAUAUGGCACGCAUACAAGUUUGAUUGUUGCCUUUGAUUCGAGGCGAGAGAUAGCCUAUCACUGAACCCUAAAUUCUUAUAUGAUUGUAGUCCACUCAAUUCUUAAAGUAAGGAGCGGCUUGGGGGGCGAGUAACGUCUAGGAAAGCAGUAAACCAUAGAGCAGGAACUGGCACCGAGUAAACCCUCUUCUUAGUUGCUAUCCUCUUAUCUAUCCCUAUUCAUUGAGUGUGCUAGCAACCAACAUAGGGAAUUUGCCUAAUAGAGCAACGAAUGCAUUAGUAAGCGCAUUGGUGAACUUGAACAGCCGGGUUUUGGUGAACUUGAAUAGCGGGCAUUGACUUAUCACUUGUGCUUUUCUCUUUGGGACAGUAAACCCGGACUACUCUACUGGUUGGGCAAGGGGGAAGGAACCUAAAAUGGAGUUAUUGCAACAUAGCUCGGUGAUUCUGCUUCCACUAAUUGAUUUCCUCGGAUUGGAAGACAUAGGCGAUGAUCCUUAUUGCGUUUUCUCGUGCAAGAGAAGGAACCGCUCAUAGGCUUGACUCGCCCUUAACGGUACGAGCUAUAGUCCACUUUACUCGCACUGAUCCUUAACUUAAUCCAAUUCAACGAGUAGCGGUUACUUAACUAAUUACUCUUGUCUGAUUCUUUUCUCUUUCAACUAUCGAUUAAGUUAGUCGAGCAGGAGCAAAAAUGCAGGAUAGUUCUCUAGCUAAGCAAGAAGGAGUGUUUUCCGUGUAGUUACUAAGGUAUGCUUGCCUGAUAGCAUUGGUUAAUGGGUCAACUCUUAUUAGAAGAUUCAAUUGGAAUAAUGGAAUGGAAUUGAAACUAAUUCAACAGCCCCUCUGUAAACUAUACUAUACCCGAAGCCUCGCCUGUAUACGUUGCUUGCCUCUUAGACCGUCAAUACUGAGUGCAAUUCUUUAAUGAAAUACCAGAUGUGGCAGAUUGGUCAUAUAACUACUGAGUGCAAUUCUUUGACUUUACUACUUUAGAGAACCGGUAGUUUCUUUCCUCUUUACUUAAACCAACCCUUGUUUCUGAUUUCCUCUUUACUAUACUAGUAAUUCAUUCUUUUCCAGGAAUUGACACUCCUGACGCGCAACUACUAGCUAAUGUCGCAGGUCACUUUCAUUUCUCGCCUAUUGCUCCCGUUAGUGCUUACUUGCCAUCUGACCCGACCUCUCUACUUCUACUAAUAAGAAUAAGAGAUCUGCUAAAAAGAUAUGAAACUAAGAAUAAGGGACUGGUCUUCCAUUCUGCAUUUAUUAUGUCUUAUACAACUACAACUACAGAAGCGGUCCUACUACUCAACUUAGAAGUGGUCUUCUACCCUAAGUUCAUCACUUGGCGACUCGGAACCAUCAAGAUGUUAGGCUUGAGACGGCGCUAAUGGAGUGGAAUGGAAGACCGCUUCUAAUUCUAAGUAGAUAUACCUGAUAAGUAGGAAUACCAGAGUUAGGAGUUCCACUUGUCUAGUAGUAGCUAGCCGGGGCUAAAGUUGCAUUCCAUUGAAACAAAGAAUUGAUACUAAGAAGGUAAAGAAGAAGCAUCAUACGGAGGAGAAGGAAAGGCGGAAGGGAAAGAUACGGGGUCGCUGCUUUAGUAGUGAAGUGACUUAUUAAAAGGAAGAAAGGACGAGAAAAGAAACUACUAGCUAUGUAUAGGUGUCUAGACAGGAGUGGAAACACUAAGAAUUGAGGUAAGUGGAAACUCCUAAUAAUAAGAGUAAGAAAUAAACAAAUAACAUUGAUGUAACAAACAGGCGAGCAGAGGGGGCAAAGGGGUCUUGAUAACUAGUGAAAAGUAACAGUGAAGAAAGUCAGGUUGGGAGAAAGCGAAGCCACAUACUCACAAGAUUCCAGACUUGAUGAUAGAAAGGAGGUAGAGGGAAGCUAACAAGCUGUGUAGAAGAAAACGAAGAUAGAGCGAGAGAAGCUACGAGCGCGAAGGCGAGUGAGAGUGCUAGAGUUCCAGUGAGCAACUGGAGGAGUGAGGGAAAAAUGAGUAUGCAUUAGUGUAGAGUUGCCUCCAGAGGAGUGAAAGAGAAGAGGGAAGAGAAAGAGGUAUGUAGUUGUAAUAGUAGAUGUAUCGGAGUUCAAGAGGCAAGUUAGGAUCUUUUGAAAGGAGGGAAAGAGUUGGGAAGCGAGUGAAUUAUAGGAGGGAAAUACAAAAGAGUAGCGGGAAAGAGGAGGAAAAGGCAAUACUCAACUCAGAGGUUAAGGGUAGGCAUAAAAGAAAGGGUUAUAGCAGUAUCAAAGAGCGAAAGAGCAUAGCCGAGGCUUGACUUGCUCAUAACUUGCUAGGAAUUCGCUGAAAAUAGUCAUUAUUUUAGGCUUAUGGUAUCCGUGAAAACCCCUGUUUAUGGUUGUUUAGGGUAUAACUCAUCAGUAGUGGCUUGGCGUUUCAUCUUAUAAAGAAGCAAAGCAGGGUUAGUUAGGGCGUAGAGAGAAUCACAAGUUCUUUCUUCGGGAGUCCUGUAUUAAGGGUGGCAGGGCCGCUAGUCAAUUGAAUUCCACUCCUUACCCUCCCUAAACUACUCCUCUCCUGUGAGCGCAGAACUUCUCCUUAAAGAAUUGGAGUGCACCGUACUACUUAUAGGAGUUGUGUUAAGACUUCAGAGCUCAAUCCUCUUCUUACGUUUGAUACCUGAAUUCGGCAACUAUACCUUAGGCUCAUAUACCGAUGUGUUUGUUGGCUUGACUUAGUUUGUGUCUUACUUAGUUGCUUGGUGGCUUCAACUCCAAAUAUAGGCUUUCUCACUUAGUUGCACAGGAAUAGAACUCAGGAAUCAACCUACUACUAUUAGAUAGAGCUCAACCAACAAAAGAGAGACUGAAAGAACUCCCCCAAUACUGUAACUCCGGGGGAAAGAGCGGAGACUUUCAAUAAUGAGUAUCGGGCUUUAUCCACUAACUCAGAGUAUAUCACUAUCCAUAAUAAUCAAACAAAUAACUAAUACUUGAACUCCCAAGCAACUACCCCUGUAUCUAAGCCCACCUUUCCUUAACUCAAAUCUGUAUUAUCAUCUAUCGACUUAGACCAACAAGUGCAGUUUUCCCUUAUACUCUUGCAAACCGACACCACUGUCUCUUGUCCUCUGACUACCAGCCUGUGACUCAUAGCUUUCACUCUGCUAUUCCUCGAUUAGAGCCUUGCUUCCUGGGGGGUCUAUUCUUAUUGUGAUAUUCUAUUUGAAUAAAGAGUUGAACUGGAGACACCGGAAUAGAACCACGGCAAACUACUUACAAGGCCCGAUGCACUAAGCAUAUGGCUAAAAACAAGGAAUGCGACGCGACGACGGCUUAUCAUAUCGAUACAAGAGAAAGGGAAUGCCAGGCCCAACUAUAAGAAUCGAAAGUGAAGAGUUAAGACCCGGAAGCAGAGGAAUCAUAAUCGCGGUUAGUGCUCUCCAGCUCAAGUCUAGGUUUGGAUACUUAUAAUGCUAGGUAUAGUUCGGGAAGGGAAGUUGGUAGAGCGGAGACAUUGCUCUAGUUUGAAGCAAGUAAUGGGCAGAUUUACAUCAAGGAGUAAAGGAGUGGGUUCAGCUCACGGGGGUAGUGUUUAGUUCCUGUUAGCGCGAGUUUCCAUUGUUCAUCGACCUAGGACAAAGGCACGGGCAAGAUAGGGCGUGGAGGCACCGGGUGUUUGACUUUCAGAAGAAUGCAGUUUAUUAGUUUACAUAGGAGUGAAAGGCUUAUUAGUUUGUUUACAGAGGAGUGAAAGGCUCUCCCGAGUGUCCUCAUAAAUUGAUUCCUACCGACCCUGUAGGGAGAUACUUUAUGGCGCGUAAUUAACAGAGUGGCGCGUAGUAUAAUGAAUUCCCUAGCUUCCCUGUCUUUGGAAUCUGAUCAGUAGCAAGCAGUUCUGAAAGUAUUGUUUCGGGUGUUGGUCAGGUGUUCCAGCUACUAGAUAGUAAGGUUAAGGCAUGUUUUAUUCGAGUGUCAAUUCCUAUAAUUCAUAUAUAAUAAUCAAAGUGAUCUCGAACACUUUCCUCGCACUGCUAAUUAUUUACUGUCUUUUUGACCCCGCUGGUAGGUAAAACAGGGUUGCUGCCUUUUUGACCGGGUUUCAUAAAAUCAGAUCGUCUCUUGCUCCCUUACGUGCUUCAACGACUCGGGCUCAGCUCCUGCCGCUACACUUACUACGUUCCUUGGCCCUGAACUUGGCGCCUCUUUUCUUCUAUUCCGUUUAUGUAGUUGACUUUUCCUCUGACUUGCAUUCUUAGUUGACUUUUCCUCUGACUUGCAUUCUAUAUAAGGAGAAAGCUCUUUCUUACUCAGAAGGAUAAAGCUCCUUCUUACUCAGGUAGAAUAUUGUAUUGUUACUUGAAUGAAAGGAGGGAUCCGGUAUAAUAGAGUGCGGGUAGCACACGAGGAUGUGCAGUGAAUACACUUAGGGUACACCUCGGAAAGAAAAGAAAUGGCAUUCAUUCGAAACGCACCCUGCAGAGAAAAACUGUAUCAGGGGGAAGGUUGUCUAACGGAAAAAAUCUUAUAGGUAAGUUAUAAGGUAUGAGUUAGAAGGUAUUCUUUUAUAGGGGCGAACAGUGCCCAAGUAAUCCUGCGGGUCUAAAUUCCUGUAAUUAGAAUAUCAUAUGGAAGAGCAUCCGGUAAAAAUGACUUCUUGAGUCCUGUUUCAACAGUGUUUGUAGCCCUGGAAUCUUUGUUUGUAGCCCGAGUUAGAUUAGAGUCCUGCUCCAGCUAUUUCGUACAAUACAUUUGGAAAAAACUAUAGUAAGUGAAGCACGGUGGGUUGCUCCCGAGCGUGUAGUCCUGUUAGCCUAGUUGGAGUUUUCUCAUAUAAAGAAGAAGAUCUCGGAUCAACACUAAAGUAAGCUCCGCUCCACAGUAUAAAAGAAAGGUGAAGUGCACUUGUAAGGAAAUAUUAGAUGUUGAAGAGGUAAGCUGUAAAUACAGUUUAGGUAGCAGCGGUACCGGUACAAAGAGCAGGUGUUGUGGUAAGAGAAUAUGAUCUCGGCACACUUCCACCGAGUUUGAAUCUAGAGAGCAUCCGGAUGAUGAAUACUUGGAGAUCAUGGAGUCUGCAACAGAGUAUCUUUCUCUUCUUUGAUUUCUUCUCAAAUCUCUAGCCUCGUUCACAUUCAUUGUGUGAAUCAGAUCUGGACACUACUUGGUUGUUCUUUAGUACGUUGGGACAUCAAUCCGCUGCUUUCAUUGCUCCUGUCCAUUCUUGUGCUUUUUUGUGGAUUUCUUCACUACUGAAUUCCGUAGGUAUACCUAUAAGUAUAGCUAGUACAAGGCUUGACUCUGGUUCCAUUUUGUAGCUUCACCUGACUUUAAAGAAAGCUGGAAUUGGAACUCCCUCUUUCCUGAGCAAGCCCAUAAAAGUAGUACGUACUCGGGUGUCUGCUCGUGGAAUAGAAAUAGUUGGGUAGUAUAGAUAUGCUUGAGAUCAGAGAAUAGCUCCAUAAUCAAUAGAAAACUGCAAUGAAUUACACACACGCAAGUGGUGGCUCGGUUAGAGGAAGAAGCUUGAGCCUCUGCACUACCGAGGACCUGCUAAAAUCAAUCGAUUGCAUCAGAUAUGCCAAAACCACUUACAGGUCUUUCCAAAGAGCAUAAAGAACAAAAGAAAUAGAAGUAAAGUGGACUCGGAAAGAAAAGAGAUAGUGAAACCCUCUCCAAUUUGAGAUCUAUCUAUCCUUAUAAGUAGGAAUCAAAACCUACUAAAUUCCCCCACAUGAUUAGACUAAUGGAGAAAGUAGAGGUAUUAAAAAAACCCUAUACUCCUACUUCCCUUUAUUUGAUAUUUCCUAAAGGUUAGAUUCCCAAACUUGGCUCUAUAAUAAGAGUGAGCGCUCACACUUUCUUUAUGGGGAGCAUCUAUUCAAAGGAAAUGUUUCGGCCUGCAGGAGAGGCAUCUUACUUUCCUACUGACUGAAUCACUGAAAUCUGUUUAAGGAGGUUUCUACUGGAAGAGACUCCGCGUCGGGGCGGUCGGGGGUUCAUUACGAGUGGGCAUGAACUGUAACAAAACUCAAGUAAGCCCUAAUUCCGGAACCGUAACGGGAACCACCCUGUAAAGUAAAGAGCCUCGCCUAAAGGACCAGACCCGGAGCUGAGAACAAGAUCGCAAGCGCAACUUCUCAUUCGAAGCAUGAAAGUGGUCAGGUCACUUAGAGCCGGAAGAGAUAAUAGUUGCCUUAUUAAAGGUUGGGGCGAAAUCUGUCAAAUACAAGCAAGCAAGCCCUUCUAUUUCUCUAUUCAAUCCAAGGCCUACCUCGAUACACCUGUGUCACAACGGCGGAUCUUUUGAGUGAGGGAAGCCGGAGCAUUGGUCAAGAGAUAGAAAUCAGAGGCACUAUAGAUCGAGAAAAACACAUUAGCUACACCAGCGUGUAUUAAGAAGUUUCUUUUUGAUCCUAUUUGGAGACUUUCCGGUUACUACUUAGCUAAAGCACUCCUCAACCAACUAAGAAAUGGAUUAGCAGUUACCCGAACCCUCCUAUCACAACAAGGCAGAGCUAACCCUGAAUUCGACUGCUCUCUAAAAGGCCUGCCUAUGAAAUUAGUAAAGCUUGGAUAACAUAGUACUAGGACUUACUAGAUGAAAGACCGUGAUUGGUUAAGGUACCCAAUAUUAGGUAGCUGCUCCAUCUAUCGGAUCUUUUCUAAGAGGGUUAGGUGGUUGAGUCGAAGCGUAGAAGGAGACAAAAUCAUCGGUCGUGCCCGGGGUUGAUUUCCUACUUACAGCUAAAUGAGGGUUUUUGACGUCAACUCUGCUGGAAGCUAGAUCCAAUCUACUGGUCUUUCGUUCGCUAUUCGAAUGUCUUGGACCAGUAUAAAUGUCAGAAAGGUGGUCUUGUCCUUUCCUACUAGUACGUCGCUAGUAGCUCCUUAGUUGAUCUCUCCUCUUCCCGGCCGGCUGUUACUCGUAUGUCCAGACAACGCAACGACUAUCGAUUCAACGAACCCAUAGAUUCUUCUAUCAUUCGACCAGAUCUUCUAGAUGUAUUCUAAUUCUCCGGCCUCGAGCAACUUUACUCAAAAGGGAAAUGCCCUUAAUUCAUUUUGGAUUAGUUUACAGCUUUUUCACCGAGCGGUUCUUCAAGUAGAGUUCCAGAAGCCGAAUGCUAAUCGAAUGCUGAGGUUGAGUCUCAAGGAGAAGCGGAAUAAAGAGCAGAAGAAUAAGCUUGAGCAGAAUAAUAAGCUUGAGCAGAACAGAAGCAGUAGGCACAGGAGUAGUUUCAAUUGAAGUUGUGGAAUUCUUUGUCGCCAGCCAGCACGCAUAGAAUCUCCGUAAUCAACUGUAGCGCUCUCAAUUCGAAGUUUCAAAAUGCAAUACUAAGUCUUCCAUUCCAUUCUGUAUUUUCCAUUCCGUUUUUCAAUUAUGAAAUGAGGUUUUCCAUUCUUUAUCUGUCAUAUUACUUUUGUUCUAUAUAAGACAUCCCCUUGAAACAAAUCAUUCUGAAACUUCACCUCAUAUAAGGAAGUAAGUCAUAUUACAAACCAAUAUAUCCAUACCAUCUUUGAAACAAAUCAUUCUUAAACGGAAACAAGAAAGUUCCAUUCUCACUUUGGAGUCUAAUGCACUAGAGACCCUAUUCCUUGAGUCUAAUGCACUAGAUCUAACCCUAUUCCUAGUCAGAUUUGUAGAAUAGAAGACCCUAUUCCUAGUCAGAUUUGUAGAAUUAUUAGACGCAGAGCAGGAGUACAUCCCUAUUGAAUAUAAUGGAAGUACGACAUAGAAGAAUAGGCUUGAAGAGCACUAGACUAGGGGGGCGAUGCGAGAAGAGAGGGCCGAAAACAGGAGUGGAUUUCUGACUUGGAAACACUGAUACUAUAUUCUUUAAGUAAGGAGCAAACAAGCAGACAGCUUUCAUAUAAGGGAAAGAACAAGUAGUGGCCCAGCCCAGUGGAAUCCGUAUGAGUUUACAGACUUACCGCAAUUAGUACAUCUGAGACUAACGAGUGGAAUUCUGACCUUUCUGCACUUUGAGUGGAAUUCUUUGUUUCAUCUGUCUUAGUUGACAUAGGUAUCGGAGCCAUAGGUAUAGAAUCACUUGUGACCUAAUUUACUGAUUUCUUUGACGGAUAUCGGUCAUAUCUAUCGGUCAUAACCAUACUUGAGAACUUGAAUUAGAGAUGAAACUAGUCAGAAUGAAGCCAGAGAAGGUAUCGAAUAGAGUUUACGAUUUCUUCUGUUAGGCCUGUACCUGCGCCUUAACCCUACUUUAGAGCAGAGAGAUUCGCUGUUUUGAAUCCAUUCUCUUUCUCAUAUAAGAUAGAAUGAAAGACCUUAGAGCGAGGUAUCUUCACCAGGCAAACAACUCCUCAACAAGCAACUCAGGGCAUUUCGUAUAUCGAGAAAACGCAUCUUUGCAUUCAACUACGAGGGGAAUGUUUUCAACUGACAAAGCUACUACUCGGGGCUUUGAGGCUUCCACUCACUAUAGGUAGGCUGACUCGCUGGCUUAAGGCUUCUACCCACUAGCUCCCGAAAACAGUUAGUCUUAAGUUGACAAGCAGUAGUCCAGUGGAAUAAGAGGUUUAGUGUAGAAUCAAACCGGCUCUCCAGUAUCUCGAGUUUAUUAUUUCCUAUUUCACUCCUGUACUCCCUUUCCUCUUUCACUCCUGUAAUUGAGAACUCUAAGAAUUAAUACAUCUGUACUGGGUUGGUUCAGAGCACUUAGAGUUGAGUUGACUUUCCUCGCACCAAUUCACUUAAGGGCUGAAACACCUGAGUUAGAAUGAAACGUCGUAGUCAAAGAAUACAAUUACGAGCUAAGGCUAAGUCAGAGGCAUAGGUACCUGUUUUUGCUGUUCUAGUUCCUGAGUUUAUAACUUCUUAUUUAGGGGUUUGUUGCGCAAGAGGUGAGAAAGGCACUAAGCCUACUUAAGGCCUUGAAACCAACCCGUAGUACUGCUAUGGUUCUUGUUUAAUACCGAAUAGCUUCCUCGCCCGCCUGUCGAACAUGAGUCCGAUUGUGUGUCUCAGAUGGAUAAGGUAAGUCCGCAAGUUCGGGAGCAGAUUCCUUAGGAGCAGGAAACUCCAUUCUUAUAGAUUCCGGAGGAGGAGUUACAGAGUUACCGACAAAAGUGAAGUUAAAGAAACCCAUAUCACUGAAUUCUAUCUUUCUAAAGGAGAACUUUCUAUAAAGGAUAACUGAUGAUCCAGCUUUCAUAACUGCUGCAUCUCGGCACCCUCUGCCCUUAACCCAGCUUCCGAACAAGUAAUUGAAUUGGAAGACCUAGCUCCUAGGCUCAACUCUAACAACAUCUUUUCUUAGACCACAUAAGACCAGUAGAAGACCGUGUACAGGAGCUCAAUCAAUAUAAGUUAGUAUGGGUUAUAAACGAGUCCUUAUUGUCUACUCCGACAACAAAUCAUUGAACCCUGCCCAAGCUGCUGGCAACAAUUCUCUACUUCCCGCUUCAAAGCAAGUACUUUACCUCGUAUCAAACCUCGUAUCAAAGCAGGAGUCCUCUUCAACACCCGAACCGAACUCACUCUAUUCUCUAAUCUCUAACUAAUGAUCCCAAGGCUUACUCCCUUUUUGACAGCCUCAGGCGUAUACUACAGUACUUCCCCCUAACAAGCAAGUCAACUACCCGAGCCUAGGUAAACUACCCGACCCUCAAAAGUCAGUGCACUACCCUUACUUCUAUUCUCAAACUACUUACCUCGGAUCUUACAGUUGCGGGACUAACUGAAACAGCUUCUUUGCCUUCUUCCUUUCGAUUGUUAGUCUCAUUAGUCAGCUUCAUCUUUCUACUCCUUAGUUUAGCUCUUGCUUGUUAGCUUCAGAGCCCUUAUCUCCCUUAUCUAAUUAUCCCCUUCCCCGCUUUUCGCCUAUCUUUUAUUGGUAUUCUUUUCACUUAUAUAUUAGCAUGUGUGUUUUAAUAUGAUUAUUGAUUAGUAUUUUCUUCUAUUUGAUUAGGGAAAUUAGACUCAAAACCACAAGUUCUAUUUCUGUUCCCUUUAUCGCAGUUGGUGCCGGUGUCAAGUAAACAUCAUUCUUAUGAGGUCUCAGUUCAAACUUUCACUCUGCUCUCCCUUUCUUGCCUUUAAGUUGGAAGCUCCUUUACUGGAUGCACUGGAUCAUACCAUACCCGUUCGGAUAUUAACUCUACCCUUUUUCUUAUUUGUAAUAUCCGCCUUAAAAGCAGUUGUUUGGUGGUUCGAAGUAAACAGUAUAAGAGGGGUACAGAACUCGACUAAGCUAUUUCAGAAUUUAUAUACUACAAAAUAAAUUGAGUAAGCACUAAGCAAUUGAAGCACGAGAGACAGUAAAGCAAGCGCAAACCAACUCCUAUCUAAUCGUCUUAACCUGACUUUCUAACAGGAACAGGACAUUCUCCACUGUAAACUAGAACAGUCCAUUCUGCUGCUGGCAAGUGCUACUUAUAGGAUGGAAGGCACCUAGACUUCACUCCCACUCAAAGAUAUUCUCUAAGACACCUUGGGCUAAGAUGGGAGGCCUAAUGGUUGAACUUCUCUUACUUACUAACUCUAUACUGCGGAUUCUAUUACAGCCGAUGAGGAUCUUUCUUCUGCUUCAAAGCCGAUACUUUCUUUUUAUUCUUCCUCGACAAGAAACACCACUUUAUGACCGCCGCAACUGAUCUUGUUCCCGCUUCGGUUUAUUCUCCCGCUUCUGGUCUCUAUUACUUUCCGGAUCCCGUUUCUGAUCUCGUAGACUUUCCAGAUCCAGCUUAUGGUCUUACUGCAAAAGAAUUACCUCCUUCGGCAUUAAACUAGGGCCCGAACAACACUUUCCCUGUUUCCGAUGCUUCCUCUUUAGUGACCAACAUCUAUUAGACCCCUAUUAGAACUUGAACUCUGACUUCGAUGUUAAUACCCAGCUCUUUUGUCAUUACAAUUCCGACAAGCAACUAAGCGCCAAGCCUUCAACAAGGGAGUUACAGAACGAAACAAAGAAGUGCAAGGCUGAAACACUACCUAGCAAGACCUGAACCAAGGGAGUUACGGGCUAUCCGACACCUGAGGCACAGACUGCUACUGGUGCUUAAGAAUCCAACUCACUCGUCACAGAACCAAGCCAGAGGGAGUCCAAGCCUGGCCAAGCAACUACUAAUGACCAAGUCCUGUGUGAAACUGGAAAGGAAGCACUAACGGGAGCAAGAUCGGUCUACUUUGAAAUGCAUUAUUUAUCAUCGCCAAGAUGUUUUUCGAAGGAUUUCCUAUCAAACUAGGAAACUGUCCUUAUAAUGCAUUGACGCCUAUAAUCUUGACCCUAUUAACAUCUGUACCCUACUGCUCUGCUCUGCUCUGUCAACAAUACCUGAAUUCUGAUCCUAUCACUCUGGCUUGGCUCUUAUAUUAGACUUCUCCCCGGGGCUCCUGCCGCUCUGUGUUCGGUGUUUUGAAUUGGAUUUCCCAUCAAACUCAAUAAGUGACCAAGCAACCUCGGAAAGCACUCUCCAUCUAGUUCAGGCUACAAAGACAGUUAUUUCUCCAAAACACAUAGCAUAAGUAUUUACCUCCUUCUCCCCUUUAUUUACUUCCCUCAACAAGCUUAGGCGCAAGAGAGAGAAGGAUCAGUGCCAACUCGCUAACGCUAUAAGCUUGCACCGGCAAACUCCAAAAUACUAUAUAUAGGUCGUAACGGAACCAGCAACUGAAUCAGCUGGGCUAAAUAAGCAAGUAUACAGGGGUGCCGAGUACAUAAUAUUGUAAUAACCAGAGAUUCAAUGAUUUGUUGCUUCAGCAAAAGAAAAAGUAGAAUCAUCGGUUGAGUCUCAAUCUCAAGGAACAAUAGAAUCAUCAUCAUCAGCAAGUGGUUCUUUCACUUCCAGGAGGGGCCCUUAUAGUAAGUUGCAGAAUCUAUUCGAAUUAAGCGCUCAUCCUUCUCCGGGACAAGAAGUCCGUACUGUACUUGAAGUCUAGGCCUGUCCUACUGGUACAACUUAAGCGAAGGAAAAGUCAGGGUUCAGGGCGGAUCCCGCAAUAUCAAGGUGUUCUGUUCGAAAUCAUUGAAUUGAGUGCUCUGCUCCCUUAUGAUAGAAAGAAGUAACCAUCUCUAUAUGCUCUUUAUCGCUAACCCUACCUAGUGCUCUGCCCUCUUCACAUUCCAUUCUGAUAUUAGAUGUGGGGGCCAAGCCAAUUCACCUAUAUAAAGAUAUUAUCUCAUUUAGUAGGGGCCAAGCCUACAAAGGUUCUAUAUUGACUACUUGCUUAACAAAAGCACUUAAUCCCAUUCCUCGUUCCAUUCUUCCUUUCGUUCUGUGUUUAAGGAAAAAAAGCGAUAGGUUCUCCAGCAAGUUCUUUUUGGCAAACGGAUUCUAGGGCUAACGAUAAGUAACACUUUUCCUCCUUUCUUUGGAGGGAUAUUGCUUUGAUUCCCAUUGUAGGAAGGAGAAGUUGAUUAAUGGGUUUUUUAUUCUAUUCCCAUUGAAGCGGCAGUAGUAGCAUUCCUAAGAAAAUCAAGGGUAUAAUCCAAAUAGCCAUUGCUAAGUACGCAAGUUAUCAGCUCUUCCUGAACCGGUUCAUUGGUACCAUCAACUCGGUCUCGAUAUGCUGCUUUGACCGCAUCGGCCGCUGGUUAAGAUAAUACCUGCGAAGGAAGUAAGUGCUCACUUCUUUCUCUUCGGGCAUUGGAAGACGAAUCUACCCCAUAUACGCUGGGUUACCCGGGCCAUACUUGUUACUUGGUGUUAACUGUAGCACUAUAUGACCUUUCCGGUGAAGAACGUGUUCCAUGAACUCAAUCCCCAAUAAAUGCUGUGGCAUAAGUAAUCUAGCUACAUUCUAUUACCGGCCCCUUUGACACUUGAAUAAGUAUUAUGGGAUAACAUAAACAAGUAUGCCUCUACAAAUUGGAUGUUUGAAAGGUCACUCGAAAUAUCAUAAGAGAAGAAAAAGAAUCUUAUGCCCCAAAACACACUCCUAUUCUUUUCUUGGUUGGCCUAACCCAACCGGUCAUUUCCAACAAGUCUUUCUGCAUUUGCUUUUGGGGGGGGAGCAGAGUAGUUAUUUCAUUUUGUGAAAAUGUCGGAUCAAGCCUAGCUUAUCUAUUGAACCUGUCUACUACUAUUGUUCUUCCUGCAUCUCUUUUUAUCCUAGCUGCCUGGCGGAGUCGAGUCGCACGUCCUGUGUUGCUUUUCAGAAUGACCUGUAAUUACCCUCGUUAGGGAUUGAUAUAGAUAUACCUUCGGGUAUUUCCAUCUCCAUCAUGCUUUCACGGGGUUGGAACCAGUUAAUAUAACAAGUCAAGUAAGUGAACAAGAGCGAGUACCCCUUCCAAAUUAGGCUUUUCUCUCACAAGUUAUGGCGAAGUAUACGUAGCUUUGUAACCCUGUUAUUCUUUUCUUUUGAUACGUAUAGCCAGCCGUAGCUCACUCCAAGGGAAUAAGGCUUCUUCAUGCGCUGCCCUCGUCCGGGAGUAUGCUAAAUCCAAGUAUGAGAUAUCCAGGGAAUACUUAUAUCCUCUUUAUUCUUAUAUAUUGGGUUCACGCCCAAGCGAGUAAAAGACUCAAACUCUGUCCCGAGUAGAUCAAUUUCAAAGGAAAUUCAGUUAGCGCUCAAAACAAACCUAGAGCGUUAAACUUAAUCAAGAAAGGUGUUUCUCUAUCUAAUUCGCUAAUGAGAGUUGGGAGUCAAAGAAAAAGAGUACGAGGAUAAUUUCAGAAAGAUUCUUUGGCCUUGGAAGUGACACAGCAAAUACAGUAUUUAGGGUUUUCUAUUCAUUCUGUUUUCGUCGUCCAGCAAGUUCCAAGUUCAGUGAAUGAGUUUCCUCUGUGCAAGUUCCAUUCUGUCUUCUUUUCUAAUUGAAGUGAAGAUGACGUAAGCAUGGCUUUGUUUGCUUGUUUCUGGAACUAUGAAAUCCUCUUCUGGGCAUGUCCCAGAGACUAGUGAAAGAAGUUAUUUGCCUUUACUGAAAUCAAGGUGCUAAGAGCCCGUUAGUUGUAGUGUAUGUGGUAAUCAUAAAGUGGGGCAGUUUCCAGUCAGUCUCCGUUCGCCUAAAAGUGCAAGUGGAAAAGGGCCAGCAGUUAGACCCGAAGCGAAGGAAGGGCAUAAGCGUUUCAUUUAGGUUCAUUAAAGUACGGGAAUCCAAGGUAUUUAGCAAGAUCAGGGAAAUUCUAUCUUACAGGCAAGGUGCUAAGAGCCCAUUAGAACAAGUGGUUCAGGUUCUGUUGAGUUCGGGCGCUAAGCAAGAUAAGAUGGAUAUUCCAUUAAUACUUUCUUUCGAGUUUCAAGAUUAAUAAGUCGAACAAUAAUCAGCUGUGAAAGGAACAAUACUUCCCUUAUCGAUUGAAACUGACUUUCACCUGUUCGUUCCGAGAUACAACACUGCCUCUGUAUGACUCUGAUCCUUAUCUUGAAACAGCUUAUGCUGCUGACCUCUUCUCUGACUUUACUUGAGACAACACCACCUCUUCUUACUUACGCUUACGCGGAAAACAGGACUCAUUGUCCCGCUCUAGUUCCUUAUUAAACCAUCCAACUAGAUUCUUCAUAUUAGUAUGCAGAGUUGCGGCGGUAAGUAGACUCAAUUCUGAAAGGAAGUCGCAACCAAAGUCGCUGGUCUGGUAAAAACUCUUUAUCUGAGGCUUGUGACUUGUGCCAUGUAAUCUUUGCCCUCUAGCUCUCUAUGCUCUUUAUUUCCCCGAACCGAACCCCUUUCCUUUUGAAUUAAUCACUUUUGAGUUUAGUUAAGUUCCAGAGGUGUUACCGAUCACUACUCUACUCGCUCCGUGUUGGCUGAAGAAGACGGAUUUCUCGCCCUACCCUGCGUUAUAAACUCAGAAGUAAGCUUGAAACUCCCUCUCGCCAACUAAAGGCUCCGCUCUAACUGCUUCCCUUAUAGGCAUGUAACUAAAAUAGGCAUAUAUCACUUUUUGGAAUUUAUGGGAUUUGAUUCCACCACCCCACCAAGUAAGUAAACACCCAGUAAGUAAACCAGCCGACCCGACCUCUUAACUGGAACUGCGACUACUGAUAUUGAUACUGAUCCUUAAGAUUCUUCUCUAUCUUGGAGACUUUCCUUGAACUGUUGUAUCACCCAUGUGUUAAGCAAUGAAGGUGUAGAUGGAAGUUAUUACUUAAACUCAAAGGUAUACGAUCUAGUGAUUAGGUAAGUCAAUUAGAAUUCUAUAGUUGUAAACUCCAUUCUUCAAGGAAGGAGAACUAGGGGCGGAAAGAGAACUCGGGUGAAGCUAACACUCAACAAAGGAUUGAAUCUAUCCAGUACUUUCUCUGGCUAUACCCCUUUUUUCCUGGCUAAUUAUUAUGUUUCCGGACUUGGAGUUUAGGAAGUACAUUAGAAAUCCGACUGUUAACGGCAAGGAAACCAGUAUUCUGUCUUUUAAGGUAUUCUGACUUAAGAGCAGAGCACAGAGCACCUGGCGCUAGGUACCCUAUUCUGACUUACCUAUUUCAACUAUACUUCUCCUCUUGCUACAGCAUCAAUUCCACUAUAGGUCUCAAAAAGAGAUGCAGUGUCUUAUAUUGUCUUAUAUAUAAUAUCUCUAAAGUCAUUAUUGAAUCAGCAGUUCUUGUGGAGUCGACGAAAGAAUCAACAAUAUCAAGUCAAUCAGCAGCAAGCGCGGGAAGUAAAGGAAAAGAAAGGUUCGGAAAGGAAAGCAGUUGGUAGAAAGGCUAAAGAAAGAAGUAAUAUAGGCAAAAGUGCUAAGAAGAAUAAAUGAUGUAUACCUGGCUUUUUUGAUGCCCUAGCCCUAAGUCAAUCCGUAGUGAGAGGUUAUCCCGAGUGAAGUCUGCUUGGCCCCGAACCCACCUCUACUCUUGCUACUAAUCCAGUUAUGGCUCUUGACUACUAUACUACCCGCUAGUGCCACUUAUAUAUCUGCGAAUCUUUCAACAAGCCCUGCUGCUGUCAACUAGACCUAGACCUUAAUGAUUCUCUGUCAACUAAGUAAGUCAACCUACCCGAGCCUAGGUAAACUACCCGAUCCUCAAAGAUGGUACUUUCUUUUGACUACCCGACCCCUAGUAUAGUCAGUAAGUCUUCCCCGACUAGACCUAUAAUAAGUGCCCGAACCGAACUAACUCUAUCUGACUAGCUCACCUAUGUCUACUAAUACAGAUGAAAGUCAAACACCCGACCUCUCUACCACUACUCAUAAGAAUGAAACUAAAGCAGAGGGAGUGGAGGCAGUAUCAAGUCAGUCUUCUUCAAAAGAAAGGGACGAAGCUGGGCCAAGCUCCUACUGGCAUCAAGAUCAACCAACUACUGGCAAAGAAAUCCACUAGCUACAUAAAACGAAACUUUCUCCUUUACCUCGACCAGGAACAGGCAAUUAUCCAGUGGUAACUACCCUAACAAGCAAGUCAGUAAACAAAAGCACUGAAGCCUACCCGACCCUAGCAACUUUCAAAGAAAAGAGUAAAAGAAAGAAGGAUAAGAGUAUGACUAUUAAGUGACUUUCGAGAGUGCCAGAUCAACUGGGCUUGGUAAGAGCGGAGGUCUACUCUCAAUUCUGCAGUUCUUACUUGCUUCUUUAACUCCCGGAACUGGGUCGGCGUACUCUAUAUCCUGGGUGCUUAAGUAAAUGAGUUGGUAGACUAGACUAAGGCAAGGCGGGUUAGCUCACAGUAAACGAUGGCCUAUCGGCGGCAGCAACUAAACUGGGAAUCCAUUGGUACUAGCUCUGGCUCCAAUGAAUUUCACCCUGCUGGAAACAGAUACUGAAUUGAACUCAAAAGUAGGAGUGCCUUAUAGUAAGUUGAUUGGACUAAGUAGUCAAAGAAAUUAGGGUUUACUGCCCCAAGAGGAGAGGUAGUCCUGGUAGUAGUAGUAGUAGCUUGGCAGCCCUGAAGUUCAUGGUUCUAGUCUUCAUCCCUAGGUUUUCAUCCUAUUAGAAUGUCAUUGAAAGCGGGUUUUCUCUCUUCUGCGCAAGAAGGUAUGAUUACUUUUACUGAUUUACUUAGAGAUAGGGAUGGAUGAGCCAUAACAGUAUUAGUUUACAUAGCUAGAUGAGCAAGAUCAGAGGGAUAGUUUCAAGAGCAAGAGCGGAACGACUAUAUCUGUCCUUUGUUCGUCACCUGUUUUAAGGUGUUGAAGCUGCCUAAACCUAUCUUUCUUUCUUUGAUGGUAGAGCGGAGCCAGUAGUUAUAGGUGGAGCAGAGCCAGUACUAGAUGAUUGCCCGAACAAGACUUGGAGCUACCGCGCCUUAGAGACAUAAGCAGAUGAAACUAAAACAAGGGAUUACUUUAUCACGGAACCUGAUCCAGCGGAUGAUCUUGAAACUGCUGAUUCCCUUUCGGAUUCCCCUUUGCCAACUACUCGAACUGCUCUGGCUCUGUAAACUGUAGUAGCUUGGCUUCUAGUUGUGAGUGUGAGUUUAAGACCGGUCCCUUAGUUACAGGAGAACAUUAGUAUAUAUACCUCAGAGUUAAAGACCAGAGAACAUAUGAGCUAGUAUUGUUAUCAAAGAAGAGGACCACCCCUACUCUUUGAGUUUACCCCGAAACAGACUAUAAGGGCUCUUCUACUGGCGCCACAGCCUCAGAUAUUGCUUCCCCAACUGAUGAUCUCGUUGCCAAUGCUCAAUCCUAGGAUUCCGUGUAUGCUCACUCUGUUAAGAAGACCGCUAUGUAGUUAAGGGAUGCAGAGAAGAAGACCGGAUGGGUAGUAUUAGGGUCGUGAGCAGGCUUAUACUUACUCGUUUCAUUCUUUGACUCCUUAGCUACAUUGCUUCCAAGACUAUUUCAUAAGCUACUAAUAGGCAAGCAAGUCAGUAUUAACUCCUUAGAGCUUCAGUAAGAAUAUAUCCCCUUAGCAACAUUGCUUCCAAGCCAAGCCCCAGGGCCAGGGAAGAAGUAGGCCAAGUAGUGACCAAGUAAAAGAGGUAGGUUUGGAAAUGAAGCAAGUCAGAAUGAAGGUAUUGUUGCCAUAGGUAUAGAUAGAAGCCUGAGUUCAAAGAGAUGGCACUGGCCGGCUUUGGGCAGCAAGCUGUUCUUAAAGUGCAGAGUCAGGAGUGAGUUGAGUUCGGAUAGCCCAGGAGUGGUUAGUUGACAGAGGUAUCGAAGCCAGAGAGGAAGAGAGAAAGAGCUCUACUAAUUGUCUAGGUUCGUAGCUAGGGUUGGUUAAGAGAGGAGCCUAGCCUAAUUCAGUUUAUAGUUCUGAACUCAGUUAAUUGUUUUAAGCGGUUUAUUGCUCUAGUACUAGUGGUUGUUUGUCGACUUGGCAGUUAGCAAAUAGAUACUCAAGUUUCUUUCCUUCACUAGGGGAGAGGUGUGGAACAUUCCAAUACUCUGGCAGGGGUGGUUCACUUAACUCUUUUACAAUUGAUAAACACAGAUGAUAAAACGAAUGUCAUUUCCACUAUGAAACUCUACAAACACAGUGAAGCAAGAAAGGUAUUGAUUGAGUCAGCUACCAAAGAAUAGUAUUGGAUCCGUAGAGCAAGAGGCAGCAUUAAGUUUAAGGUCGAGGAAGAAACAAGUCCUGUCUUCGUAGAUGUCUUCGUUGCGGUAAGCAAGUAUCGUUUUUCAACCUGUUGUAGUUUCUCAAGAGAAGUCAAGUCUCUUGUUCCAGGGGCAAGUGUCAGAGUUCCAGCAGAAGAUAGAUAUGAAGAAGGAAGGAUUCUAAUAAGCAAGAUCGUGGGAUCUGAAGAAGGAAAGUAGACGAUAGAAUCAUAAGUCCCAAAGGAAGCUGUUAGAGCAGUAGCAUAAGAAGGAACAGAGGCUCACGCGGAAGCCGGAAAGGAAUUAGGAUAAGCAUCAGUGACUGGUGCGCUAACUGGAGCAAGUAAGCACUUUUCAACAAGUAAGGAGUCAGCAUCAGCAGUUUACGCGGAUAGAGCAUUAAAGUCAGCAUAUAGAGCUUUAUAGUCAGCAGGAAGUAGGGAGUCAGCUGUAAGCAAGUUAUUGAAUCUUAAGUUCUACGAGUUUGCAGGGAGAGACAUCUCUGAUAUGUGAUGUGUGUCACGCUAGAUUCCAUUUCAUUAAGUUUAGUUAAGCGAGUAAGCACAAGUAGGGGCGGGAAUAGUUUCUCUAGUUUUUUGACCUUAGUGAGAGUUCUUUGAGUCAGGAGCUAGAUUCCUAAUUUCCAUGGAGUAAAAUACAUUAUUGGAAUUCAUUGUUUACGGCUUUCAUUCUUUGUUACGAGUUAGAAGCCCCAGUAUGAGUAGCUUGUGUUCCCCCAUAGAAAUCAUUGAAUUGACAACCACUGAUAGAAAAGUAACUAUACACCCAUUCUGGAUUCUUCUGCACUAAAGGAAGCAGCAAGAGAUUAUUCAAGCUUCGUCUUAAAGUCGAGAAUCCGCUGCUUUAAAAGAAAAAGAAGAAGAUAAGGGAACAGAAAAGUAGACAAGUCCCUUAUUCGUCAACGGUAGCAAUAAAGAAGUAGGUCCUCAUUAAUAGCGUCAGCGAAUUUGAGCUAAACAAACAAAGAAAUGGAUAAUUACUAACGUUAUGAACAAGCUCAGUAGAAUGUUACGUGUUAGCGAGAUACGAGUUGGUACGGCCAAGUAGUCACUAUUCAUGUUACGCGGCAGGGCUGCUCCUGUUAUGAGUAAGUCCUAAUUCCAUAUGUUUUCGUUCCUUUGUUCGUGUUACGCGGCAGUGAGUUUAGGCGGCGAAAGACGUUGGGCGGUAGCCAAUAAACAGUUCUUACGAAGUUAUUACAAUAUAUGCCUUCGGCGGCAGGAGCUCUUUCAACUUUCUCUUCUGCUACUCGGGGCUUUAAGGCUGUUACUUCAUAGUGGAAUUCUGAUCUUUCUAACUGGAACAGGGGCAGCUGACUGAACUCGAGUCACCAAAACACGGGUUUUUGAAUAGCAACGGGGCCAAGUAACUGCGCUAGUUCUACUGCCCUUGACUCAGUACACACACAUUGGUAGCAAUAACUGGAAAGUCGACAAACAGAUUCAAUGAAACUAACUCAUAACUCCUCACUCAGUAGUAAAAGAAAUCCACUAACUCAUAACUCCUCACUCAGUAGUAAAAGAAAUCCACUACUACAUAAAGAGCUAUAAUAAGAGAAAUAAUUAAUCAAGUCCACCAAGCUUAGUAUACAAAAGCAUAGAGCCAAGCUUAGGCCAAGCAACGUAGACUCCAGGAGUAGUUGUGCGAUCUGGACCACUACAUUAAGGGUUUUUGUAGUAUACGCUUGGCCCUGAUUAUUCCAUUUUGACAUAUUGAAGUGAAGAUCACGCAUCGUUAAUACUAGAAUUGGAAGACAAAGAGUAAUCAAUCUCAUGUUGUUCUACUUUCUAGAGCGUUUAGAAGUGGUUGCUUCUACUACUAAGAUUGUCACACAGUUGACUUUCAUAACUUCUCACGAUUCGAUGGUAUUAUGAUUAUGAAAUAUGUUGUUUAUUAUGGUGCCAUCCAACCUCUUAUCCAGGAACAAUAAUGAGUGUGAGUUCAAAGUGUAUCGGGGAAAUCAAGGGGUCUUUCGUCUAAGAGAUUCAAUAACUCUGCUCCCUAAGAAUCUCUUUGUAUUGGCAAAGACUUAUUUAUUGUCCUCAAUGUGGUUAUAAAGGCUCCAUCGACCAUAAUCAAGUGAAAGGUGGAGAAUCUGAAUAAGCGCUUCCAGCACUUGUAUUAUAUGAAACAGGAUAUUCGUCUCUUAGGUGGUGUUAUGCUGAAGGCUCAAUAGAUGGAUUUUUCUCAGUACAAAGUGUAUAUCUAGGAUUGCAUGACAUUGUCCGCGCUAGCUAUGCGCAUUUCUCGUAUGAACUAUUCCGAUCCUCUUAGUUUUCCUAUAUUUGAACGAAGAUACAUUCAUUCGUCUUGGGUACUAUGGAGGCCAUGCUGAUGUGUAUAUCCCACAUGGAAAGACUUGAUAUAGAUUCUAUUAUAUUUUGACGUGAACUCCCUAUAUCCAUUUGUCAUGCAAACCCGUUCUAUGCCGGGCGCCUAAAUGGCAUGGUAACAACUUGGAAGACCAUAAAUUGUCCGACUUAUUUGGAUUUAUUGAGGCAUAUGUAGUCUGUCCGAAUACUAUCAAGAAGCCCUUUUCGAGAGAAGAACACUCUAAUCUUUCCAACCGGGGAAUUAGUUGGUGUUUAUUUCAGUGAAGAGUUUCAGUAUGCACGUAACUUGGGUGAAAAGAUUAUACCACGGCUGGCGUUUGAGGAAAAGCGACGUCCUUUCUUUUGUUUGAGCACCCGAAACAAGAACACCUAGAGCUACCUGGCAAACGAAACUUCCCUUUAAGGACCCAACAAAGACAGAUUCAACCAGAGGCGGGACCACUACUUGUAAACUUAAGAUCAAACAAGGGAUAUGAAACCAGGCUGAGGAGCCGAACACAGGACUUGGCAAUUGAUGGCUCGUAGUGGAAUCAGUGAGAAUCAGUAUCAUAUUAAUACUACUACUUAAGACUACUACUAUUCAUAUCAAUACUUAUCAUAUCAAUGCAGAGGUGAUACUAGGAAAACAGGGAUUCUACUGGGUAUGGCGCCUAUGGAGAGCCUGUCCUGAAAGAUGGGUUCAGAAACCUAAAUCCAAGUAGCGGUCCAAGUACUCAAUUGAAGUCUACACUUCCCCAACUAGUAGUAGCCCUGAACAACCAUAAAGAUGUUAGGAAUAAAUGCACUAUAGGAGCUUACAGGAUAAAAGAGAGUCGAUUGGGCUUCUUCUUUAUUGGAGAAAAGUCAAGCAAGCACUACUGAGUCAAGCACAACAGCAACUACCAACAGCAACUACAUACUUUUGACUGCCCGGAAAGACUUUUACUAAGAGUCUGGGCCUGAGCGUAACCUAUUGAUAAAGGAGGAGUUCUCGUGCAUCCCGUAUUUUGCAGUUACAAGAUCUGGUGAAGAAAGUGGAACAAGCUUAUCUAUAAGGGCUAGAUACUUUGACCUAGAGCAUAACUGAGGAGAAUUGAGUUUAUCCUUGCCUAGACUAUAUAUUGAUGAAACCAAAAGGAUAGGUAGCUUAAAGAGUCCGUCUACUUUUAAGGAGCAAGACUCCGGUUGUGGUAAUGCGAGUUCGGGUGCUCGUCCAGUAAGGGAAUGCUCAACUGCUUCAAUAAGGUAGAAAGAUGUUGGUGCAAGUCAGAGGUAAGCUUUUGAAUGUCCUGUCCCUGUUCGAGUUGAGUUAUAGUCUUCAUCCCUCGCUUAAUCCGAGUCUCCAAGAGAAGUAUCCAGAAGUAUGGUUUCUGGGCUUUCCUGAGUCGGGUGCUUGUGUUAAGAAAGUAGUCAAUCUAUCUCCUUUGCCGGCUUGCCUGAUAGCCAAUAGUAGCCGGACCGGAUUGACUUGCCUCGUAGCUUGGCCCGUUAGAACUAGAGCACAAGAACGUAACUUUGUGCAUCCUCACAAGAACGUAACUUUGUGCAUCCUAAUAAUAAGAAGAAAGUGUUGCAUUUUGGCAGCGGAUACUGGAGGAGAAAUUCCAGCAUGAAAGAGACCAACCUCACCUGUGGAAUCCAAAAAGUAAGUAUAUUUACAAAUCUCUAAGAGAGAAGAGCAAUGAAAGAAGAGACCCGAACAGAGACAUAGACUCGGUGUAUACUCUCGCAUCGAAGAGCAUCGUUCAUUUUGUAAGAGAAUAGUGUGACGGCUUAUCUAGCUUAUCUAGACUCAAAAAGCCACGAAUGAAUCAUUUGCUAAGAUACUAGCUCCAACACUGGAUUUCUUUUGUCGAGAUGGGUUUGGUGUUCUUCGAACAUUUGUAACCCUAGAAGCUAUUGGUUACCAAGUAAGCUCAAGAAGCGAAGCUGGUCUUCCUGGUAGAUUAUAUAAGGACAUCUCAUGUUCAUGCCAGUGCGCUUUUCGUUCUUUCAAUCCCUUCUUUUCUCGAGUCUUUAGCCGCAUUUAGUAAAUAUAAGUAGGUGUGUUUCAGAAGCUAGUGUUUGAGUAUGACUUUUUGGGGAUUAAUCUUUGAGAUAUAUGCCUAUUUCUUUUAUGACCGUGAGUGAAAGCCUAUUAGUAUUAGAGAAGGGGGGAAGUAGGUGAUCAUCAACAAGUGUUUGACUAUGCCAUUCGUCAUACGACGCGUACAUCUCCGAUCAGAGAGUUUCUUAAUCGUCUGGUUAUUUCCAUGGAAAAGCGAAAAUCCUAUAUUAUUAUUAGAUUCUUAUUAUAUGGAAGUAGGUCCUAUUAUUAUAUAGAAGUAGGUCCUCGACCCAGGGUAAUUCAUCAAUCAGAUGGAUGCGCUUAUAGGGCUCUUAGCACCUUACUUUGAUUCCUGUCAACCCUUCGCUAGUAGGACUAUCAGAUAGAAUGGCUAGUCGGUAAACCCUUGACUGCCAAUCUCAUUAGAGGUUAUAAGCUAGCAUCAAAAAAGGGUGGGGUGGUAGUAGACCAGGUGAGUGUUAGCGCUUUACUAAUCCAAAAUAGGGAGUAGACCCGUUUCUUUCUAGAAUGACUCUUCCGGAGUAAAGCUUGAACGUGGCCUGUUAGUCCAAAAGGAAAUGACAUAUCGGAUCGUAGCCAGGAGGUGCCUCAAAUCAGCGAGAUGAAAAACUAGGGCAAAGGGAGAGGGUUCCACAUAAACAAAGAAAAGUAUGGCAGCAGUCGAAUCUUUAGCUAGUCCCAUUCCUUUUAUCUGCGAAGGAAUGAAAGGAUUGGAAGGUAAUAAAGACGGAUAUUGCAAAUAUGGAAUUUUCGGAAAGGAACGGAGCAUAUAUAGUGGCUCGACGCGGCGGUGUACACGUGUCUCCUAUAGCAUGCAGCCCAUAAUGAAGAGACAGAUCUCGAGAAAGGUGUGCUGCGAGAGUAUAGGUAGCCAGUCUUUACUUAAGUAGGCCCAAGCAAUGCCCAAAGACUCCCAUUUCCUUAUUGGCCGACCCUUUUCCCUAUAAGGUUCCUAGCCCAAGGCGAUUUCCGACAAGUAGUUGGUCAGCAGAGAAAGUAGAGGUCGGGCGCUAAGCAAGACAAGAUAGAGAUUCCAUUAAUGAUUCAGCAGCAUAAGAUUAAUUGGAAUUAAUGAUUCAGCAGCAUAAGAUUAAUUAGAGUUAGUCGUUAAGCUCAUUGAUUUAGUAUAUAUAGGUAUGUGGAGAGAUAGAUUGUAGUAGGUCCUAAGGUAAUAAGAAAUAGGAUGAAGUAUAAGUAAGUGGAGAGAUAGAUUGAAGUAGGUACAAAGGUAAUAAGAAAUAGAUGAAGCGGGUAAUCAGAAAGGGGAGAGUAAGGAGCAGAUUCCGCAGUGGAAGCAGUUCUUGACUUGCGAAUAACUCGCCGCUGGAACUCGGCUCCCAAAAACGGGACUUGGCGUCAGUGAGCUCUUUACCUACAAAGACAAAGAUAGAAAGAAAAUAACUUAGUCCGUUUCUUCUCCCUUCUUCGCUCUUAAUACACACCUCUGGGCAGGAAAUAUCACUCGUACACUAACUUGCUUGUUUAAUUGAAUGAAAUCCAAAUGGAAUAUAUGAAAUACAAUAGAAAAGAGUAAAGAACACCGCUUACUAUAAUAUCAUGGUAGUGCGCACACCUAUAAUCUCAUCUAUGAACUAACCAUCAUGAAGGAAGCUCACUCCUAAUCAUAUGAAACACCAUCAGAAAGCUCACUCCUAAUCAUAUAUAGUAUGGAACUUGCUGUAUCUUAAAGCUCACUCCUAAUCAUAUAUAGUGAAGUAUGGAACUCGCACACGUAGAACUCACUUUAGCUCGACGACGAACGCCAAACACCAGGUAUCAAAGAAAUUCAUUGAGUUAGAUAAGAGUCCAGGGCUAGUUCCAGUGGAAUUCUUAUCCGUAUUUGUAACAAGAGGAGAGGAAGCUAGAAGUACUAUUGAUCCCAGGACUUGAUUCUGCCCCUAAUCAAAGUAAGGCAAUUGGUUACGUGUGAUAAUGUUGUUCCAGACCAGAGGUGUUCGUGUUUAAGUUCCAGAGGUGUGUGUCUUAAUGAGUUCCCUAGCUCUCGGGGCGCUUUAUAAGGCUUCUUUUCAAGUCAAAGACAAUCUCUUUCGAGUCGUUUCACCUAUGCCUAUGCCUCUCCUCUGUUCCACUCAUAUUAUAGUGAAUGCGUGCUUCAAAGCAAAAGCCAGUUCUUAAUUGGAUUCUUUUCUUAACCCUUACUUGACUCUUGAUACUUUACCGACCGACCCAGAGCUACUAGAUACGAUUAACCUCGAACAUAACUUACAUAACCAUUUACUGUUGACUUGUUCCGCAUAUGAUAGAAUUGAUGAAAGGGUCAAGGAGCGGAAAGUGUGCUUCAAAACUCACUAAAGCACCCCGAACUAUAGAAUAUGUAUUGUAACUCAAUAAACAAAUAAGUAUCAUAUUGAUUUCAGGAUUAUAUAACUUUACUGAACUUUGUUUGCCCAAGAGCUGGCACUAAGAGUUGAGUUGGCAAAAGACCUUGUUUGUAUAUACUGGUUCUAUAGUAGCAGCGUCGGGGCGCUAACACUUCUGGUUGUUGGCCACUAAGCGGUAAGCAUAUUCCUUCAGCCUUCUUGGGGUAGAUAACAAUAAGUUGGAUAAGAGUAGGAAUUAGGGUAAGAGUAAUAAUUUCAUAAGAACAGGAGAGGCGAUAUAGAAUUUCUUAAUCAAACACAGAAUACAGUCAAAUAAUCAUUAAAGAACAUAGUUAUCAAUAAGAGAGAGAGGUUUCUUCUGUUCGAGUAGAGAGAAUCAUCUGUUUAAACAGAAUAAGUAGAAACAAGAUCAUAAGAUAGAUCUGGAUCUGGAUCCGUGAAAAAAGAAGCUGUUAGAAUAGAAAUAGGUAAUCGAAUUGCUUCUAUAGUUAGAGAAGAGCCAAGCCAGAGUGAAAAGAGCCAGAGUAAGAUGUCCGCAGUGCCAGAUUACAGUCGAAUUCCAGUAUGAGUGGAAUCUUAGUUAGUUGCCUUGGCGCUAACCCAUCUUUUCUAGAAUAAUAUGGAUAAGAAUAAGUUGAAAGAUAUGAAGCGGGAAGGUAAACUUCCUCUUAUGUGGAAUCUAUCAUUUCACCUAUGCUACUUGGCCUUUGAAUGAAUUGGAGCCUAAGAACAUAGCCCUGAGCUGAGAGUAAAGUGUCUUACGUUGUUCACUACCCUUAAUUUCAACAAGCCUAGGAAGAACAAGAAGAAAACGAGUAUUAGGCUGCUUUCUUAGGUAGAGCAGAGCCAGUACUAUCCUCUUCCGCUAUAACUCCACUUGCAGAAUAGUUUGCAUCUGCUUGAGCCUCUGAUUCUUAGUACGAUUCCACUCGAGCAGAACAAGCUUCAACUUAAGGCCCAGUACUUGAUUAGAUGAUGAUUCUCCAGAUUCCCGGCUCUUCAAUAGGGACAGAUGAUUCUAUUGGUUGAAGACUGGCUCUUUGACUUCUUCUAGCAAUUAAAUAUCUCUCUGACUCAUUACCCUAUUAUAGUAGAUCUCGAUUCACUCUGGGUACCUCAUAACUAUGUUUUUCGCGGCAGGAGCUCUCACUUGUUGCUAUCGAAAAUCCCGUGUUUUGGUGAAGUGGAAUGAUCUGGUUCACUUACUUGCUUGUGUGGGUGGUAAACUGACUUGAUUGUGUGGGUUUGGGUAGUUCCAGUUACUUACUUGCUUGUGUGGGUAGUUCCAGUGACUUACUUGCUUGUUCAACAAAGAAUGAAUCUAUUUCUAUUUCCACUCCCGGUGAGUUAGGUCUACUCGAUCAGAGGAAAGAGAAGAGGAGAGAUCAGAGGCGUGAAUAAUUUGAUAAGAAAUGCAAAUAAACCAGAAGACUACUCGCAUUUUUGACUACCUUUUCAGUAGACGUUAGGAAGGGUUUAAACAUAGAUUGUAAUAACUUCUACAUAACUGGGAACUAUAGCAGCCCUGCCGCGCAACAUUAGUAGUUGCUUGGCCUAUGUUUUUGUAGCAGUGUCUUGUCUAGUAGUUACUUGCCUAGUUGCUUGUUGGCUAUUCAGGUAGAAAACUACAGACAUAAGUAUAAGGCCCAGUACCCGAAGACAGGUGUAAUCCAAACAACCGGUUAUUCCCCACCCGAUCUAGAGUAGACCCGCUUGACGAUGCAACAAGAACAGGCCAAUCAACUGAGUCCGCUUGAGUGUCAUUAUUAUUAAUAGUGGUUUCAUUCUUUGACUCUGGUGUGGAUGUCAAUUCCUAUGGGUGUCAAUUCCUAUAAUUCAUAUAUAAUAAUCAAAGUGAUCUCGAACACUUUCCUCGCACUGCUAAUUCUGUAGUAUAAGUGAACUUUCCUAGCCUCGCCCCCCUAAAAGUAGUAGUCUCGAAUUUCUCACUGUUUCCAGCACCAACUAGUAGUUUGUUUCCAGCCCAAACUAGUAGAAAUGCCCCAACAAGUAGUGGUCCAGAGUGUUCAUCCCGGUAGUCCAGUAAGCUCACUGCAGGCUCUGCUCUUUCUUGUUCUAGUGGAAUCCCCUGUUAGUAAGAUAAGUCCUGUCAGCACUAGUUUCAUCCUUAUUUAUAUCAUAUAAUACCAGAGUUUCAUCCUAUAACUCAGAGAAGGUAGUAAAGCCUAUAACUAGAUUAGUGAAAUACCGGGUAAGUCAACUAUGGUAAGUAAACGCAGCUACUCCUAUAGUAAUUAGUCUGGAAAGUAGGAAUUAAAGAGCCAAGCUAACCGACGUCCUGUGACUUAUAUAUCUACCGGUAGUGCGUUGCAUAUUCAUUCCUUAAUGAGGGAAGGGCGACUAAGUGCAUUAGCGGAGUCGGUCGUUAAUAAGUCUGCUCCUGAGUUCAAAGAGAUGGAGUAUUGAUUGGCAAGAGGCUAAAUUGAGACUCCGGAAUAACCCGGGCACAGCUCCUGGCACUGCUACUGAUCUCGUUGAUGCAGCAGUUAUUCUUUAGAAAGAGAAUAUCUAAUUUAGUAAGGUUUCUUAUAAGGGUGAAGGGCAGGUCUAGCAGUAGAAAGGAUUCAAUGUUAACUACUUGGUAAGGGAUAUCCGAACAAAACUCUUAACUGACCGCUUCCCUUGAUUCUUCUCCGUAUACGUGUUGGGGCAGGGCAUUUCACUGUACUGGUUAAGGCUCACUGACGCUCAAACACAGGUUCACUCAGGACAGGCAGGGUCGGUGAGUAACCUAGUAGAUCUAGCAUGCCUAGCUCAUUCAACAAAAAGGACUCUCAUCUCACUCUGGUAAUGGAAACUAAUACAGAAUUCCACUCCAGGGUACGGUUACUACAUAUCGUUUUGGUGACUUCCCGCGCCUACCUCCUGAACAGCUUCUCUUUCUGGCAUUAAUGAAGGGCUCAGUUAGUGGUUUCAUUCUUUGACUGAUUAGUUGCAUCCUUGCUCUCUUUGUAAAGAGCUCAUUCUUUUACUUGUUGGCGAGCUACCUGACGCGCAACCAGUAAUUAAGGGAUUUUCUUAUUUAUUCUAGAUUUGAUUAUAUUAUUAUUAUUGAGUAGUGCCUACUGCUUGUAUGUGCUAUAGAGUACCCGGAGUGCAAGAGAGAAAAUGCAUUCUUAACAAACAGGAGUGGUUAUUUGACAAACAGGAGUGGUUUGGAACUUUCACUUACGGACUUUCGAGCUGAACCCAAUGAUGAAGUAGCACCCGAAACAAUACUUGAGCUAACAAUAAAGCACUUGGCGGCACCGAACUCCUGUACUACAUAAAGAGCUAUAGGAGCCUGCAGACUUCACUCCUUCUUGCUUAGUUAAAGAAUUCUCCUGUAUUUCUGAUUUCUGUUCCUGCUCGGGAAAGCACCCUUCUGGAUUUCUUUCUUGAUUUCUUGCUUUGUCUACUUUCCUGCUUGGCCUGAACUAACUUUACUGAACAAACUGAAUAGAAGGUAGCGCUCCACAUUUAGAAUAAAGAAGAAAAACACUCCUGACAUAUUACUUUAUGAACACAAGCUACAGAACCAAAAUGACUUUAUGAAACACAAGCUACAGAACAAAACAAACUAGGGCGAAAGCAAGUAUAGAAGGGAUAAAGCUAUCUCAACGGCACGCAACUCCCGUUUUCUAGAGUGGAGCAGAGCUUCUUUCUACUGUUCUUUGGGACGGACUCAACUGAUGUAGUUUCUCAUUCCAUUCUGUCGAACUCCAAUAAGGGAGAUUAGGUACAAAACUCCUACUCACUAUCCCCGCUCCGCUGCCCAUCUUAUUCUUUCGCUAAGGCAGCAAGUCCUUUAUUUUAUGGAUUUUCAAUAAUAAAGAGAGAUUAUUUCUCAUUUGAUCUUUUGAUCGCUGAAGCCACAAAUCAUUCAACACCCUCCCUUCCCGCGCUUGCUGCUUCCUGACUUGAUCUCGCUUCUUCUCUCGGCACAGCUUCUUAUACUUAUCCGGCUGCUUAUGCUAUUACUUUUGAUUCUGCUUAGACAACUUAUUCUCUUGUAGACAGAAUUCGAACAGAAAUAUACUAUAAGGAUCUAUACUCCUAACCAGUACUAUAUGAUUUGAUUCCCAAUACAGCUACGUCAGUACGUUAUUCUUACCUUAAUAGAACAACAACUCCAUUAGCUACAGUCAAAUCACAGAAUUCAAAUACCCCAGCUUCUUCCCUUUUACUGCUUGAGCAACUAAGUAGUAAGUAGAGUAGAGCCAGGCUGUCAACUAAACUCCUACAGCGCAGAAAGAAAUGGACACUUUGGAACUUCUAUUAGUGCCGAGCCAACAAAUCAUUAUGAAACUUUACCUUACUGCUUCCUUAAAUGGGUAGGCGCAUCCCGCCAUUUCCGACCAAAACUGGAAUUGCUGCUUCCUAUCUAACUGCUUAUAAAACGGAUGAAACUAUUGAUUCGACUAGAACAGAACCUAGACAACAACACUAAAACAUAGCACCUCCACUAAGAAACGGUCCAAGGAAUGCAGCCUAGAAGAUUACUUGUUUCAAGUCCGGCAAGUUACUACUCAUGUUAUGCGUUUAGUGGCUCUUAAACAACUAAGGUAAAUAACCUAUCUUUUCUCUUAGCACCAACCGAUAAUUAAAUAAAGGUAAAGCACCAAUUCUUUCUUUAAUGGAAAUAGGAUUAUCGUCGCCAACGCAAGGAAUUGUACCUCACUUUAGCACUCAACUUGCGCCUUAAAACAAUUGACUACUUCUUCUUGAUACAAUGACUUUCGCACAGCCCAUGAUCCUGCUUAUAAUCCUUAUCCUAUCUCUUAUCUGGUUUUGUUCCUACUGAAAAUAGAUCCAUCUCUUGCUUCCCUGACUGCUGUUUAAAUACAUUUGGAUUAAUAAAAAACAUAACCCCGAGGAGAGUAAUACCGAUCUUAUUUGUUAACUCUCUAAUAAACAAGUGAAAAUAGCUCGUUAACGCGCAUAUCAAAGUAGCUUCACUGACCCAUACUUUAUUCCUCUUGCCCGACCUCGCAUUAGCCGAUCAAACAGGAAUGAAAUUAGCGUAGGGUCCCACCAGGAAAAGAUUGAAGUCUAUCAGAUCGGGGGGAUAGCAGCCAAAAAACAGUUAUUACGAAGUAUGGAACCCUUAUUAUAAUCCCUAACAAUUGAACUCGAUAUAGGGAUUCACACCAAGCGGGUAAGAUGCCAGCCUACACUACAAUAUCCAUAGAGCUAGUAAAAGCCUGAAACUAUUGCCUGACAUUCUUGACUUGUUAGUUAGAGCCUAAUUCACUGACAUACAGAAGUCAACUAGUGCUAUAAGGGCCUCGGUCCCUAGGACAAAGGAUCGAACUCGUAAAGCAAAUACUCACUAGAGAGCUGAAACCCACAUAGCGGCAUCCUUUCUCCUAUAGCUCCAACCAAACUAGCACUCCUGACUGGCAUUAGAACUUGAUAGCUGACUUCUCGUACUACCGAUUUCAAUCCUUACUUUGCUGACCUUAACUCUGACUUCCCUACCCAUCCUUCCUUUGAGUCGGAUUCCACCAAUCCGCUACUACUGAUGGGAACUAAACUCGGAACAGGGAAUGAAAACACUGAUACCAGGACAACCACUAUUAGAUACUAGGAUCGAACUAAGUAAACCGAGCCAUACUACUCGAAUAACACAGGCCAAGCAACGCCCUAUUCUAUGUCCCACAAGCCUUGAUUUCCCUAAGCCCAAUUCCAAUAGUGACCAGUUCUAUUCUCAUACGCCCCAGCAAAAUCCUACUAUAGCUAUAGGGGGCUUGAGUCUUGCUAGCAGUGGUUCUAUUCUAAUAGUAGUGUAAACAAUAGUAUAUGCCCGGGGGAAGAGAGCAGACUCACACUCACUAUAGAAUGAAAGUAUGGCCAGUAAGACUAAUGCAGUAGGAGCAAAGCAAGGUUCGGUCUCAGAAUGAUAGUUUACUUAUAGGUCUAUGACUAUGAAUGAUAAAUGAUAGUUUACUUAUAGGUCUAUGAAUGAUAGUUUCAAUAUGUAAUCCAACUCUUACUGAUAAAACAACAACUUCAUAAUACAAAUAAAGACUUGAACUGACCCACCACUAGCAGGCUCACUUCCUUUCUUUAAACACUCACAUUGGAUCCUUACUCGCUUGGAACAGGCUUGCUAUUACUUGAAAGAAUUCUCCCGAUACCCGUUUCAAGUCUACCCUUGCUUGCUUUUGAGUUGAAGCCCGUGUCUCGUUAGUCGCAUUCCUUAUCGCCCCCUUGAUCCUGUGACUACUCAGUGGAAUGAGGAAUUCCACCUUUUUUCUAAUACGAUUAGCUAUCAAACCCAGAAGUUAUAUUAUAGUGACAUUUGCCUUAUUGGUAAAGCCAUAAUGAAACAAGGCAGUAACUGGCACGAGACACCUUUCUUGACUUUAGAGCCUAGGACCGACACUCCCACCUUAUAUUCCUUAGUGAAAAGUUAGAGCCUUAUACUGGCCCCUUCCAUUCCUAUUCCAUUAUUGAAGUAUUAUGCCACUGCUCUCAAUCCUAUAGUUAGAGCUUGAGUACGCCCCACUUCCGUCUCUAACUCAGCUAAUCCUAAAACACUAAUCGCUGUUAAUGAACAUGAAACUAAUGGCAAACAGGCUAGAACACCGCCUAACGAAUAAAGCGUGAGAUUGAAAACACCGAUCCGGGUCCUUGUAAAGCGAGGUUGGUUCUUAUUGAUAUGAUGGUAGUAGCAGUCCUGUCAGCAUUGAUUGAAUCUGUAUUUGUUAGUUCCAUUCCAUUACUCAUUGGGGGAAUUCCUUGUUUCCUGAUAUCAAUAUGAGAAGUCAGGAUUUCAUGCCGUAGCAAUAUGAGAAGUCGUGGUUUCACUCUAGGGCCGGCAGCUUAGUUCAAUUAACUAACGAGUCAGGUUUGAGGGCUGUAGGCAGAUCUACCUAGCAGUUGCAUUGGUAGCCCUGUUUAUAUUCUUUUUCUUACUGGUGUCAAUCCUUUUUCUACUAAUACAGAUGUGAGAUCAGGAGCGAAAGACUAGAUUCUUUACUUUAUUAUACAAAUCCGUAUUUAUAGCAUGAAAACACGCAAUGGGAGCCUAAACCCAAGCAAAGGCAUUUAGGUGUUCAAGAAAGCAGGGGCAUUUAGGUGUUCAAGAAAGCAGGAACCCGGCAAUAAAGAAUAUAGAAAUCCAACUCGAAACUAUGGUUACCAAGACCUUAACUCAAAACCGGGAAUCUAGACUAAAAUAAGGAAUGGAACUGCGAGAAAAGAAGGCAGCCUUGUUAAGCGGUGGAUCAAGCCCUAUUUCCUAGUCAGAAAAGGUUGAGUUGUAUUGGUUUCAUAGUUGUAUGUAUUGGUUCCAUUCUGUGGAGUCGCGCCAGUACUCUUAGAACCACAGUAGAUAGAUUAUGUUUGUCAGUACUGUUUGCCUUUAGUGCCACUCUUGUAGUAGUUAGCAGCAUUCCAGGUUUCGAGCGCUAGUAGGCUUUACAGCACCUCCUUAUUUCUAGUAUUGGUCUUGCCCGUACCAAUUGUAUUCCUUAUUCCAAGCAUUGUGUUCUUGUUAUCAUUAGUUGGAUUCCCUGUAAGUAAGGUCAUUAUUUUUAGCACUAGUUGGAGUUAAAGUCAGUAAAGCCAGGAUCAUGCCCCCAUUACAGUAGGAAAGAAUCCAAAUCCUUAGUGAAAGUCUUUUUUCUUGUGUAAAUGCCUUAAGGUUAUGCCCGAUAUCCUGCAUUAUGUGUUUUAGCUUGAUUAGGCACUAGUUCAUUCCUGUUAUCGGUAGGCUUUCAGCACCUGGUUUGGAGGUUGGUCCCCUGGCUUGAGUGGAAUUACUAGUUGUUCGCUCUAUUCUUAUCAGGUAGUAAGUAAAGUCUGUAACAAGGUAUAAGACCUUCUGGCUAGGAGAGCUAGACUGAAUAGGGCGUAUUGGAGAGUGAAAGAAGCAAGUAAGGGUCCGAUAGUUGUAUAAGAGAAAGGAAAAGUAGACUGGUUGUUGAGCUGAUAUCCCAGAGUUAGAUGCCCGGUUUUGAUUCUUGUUAGGAGUAGUUGUUGUCUUGGUUCUGAGAGGACAGUUUUCAGUUCCAUUCCUGUUAGCAGUGAUAUCAGUCCUGUUCGCCCGGGUGCGAUUCCUUAUGCGAAUAAAAAGGAUGAGCCAGAGUCGAGGUAUCCCUCAUUCAGUUAAUAGUUGCCAUAGGUAAUAGGUAGCUAAGUCCAUAAUUCUUAGUGUUAAGUGUCGUUCUUGUUUUCUCAUAUAUAGAAGUGCGUCGGUAAAGGAAAGAUUCCGCUGGGUAAAGUCAAGUUUCAAAAGGAAGCAGCAAGCGAAGUGCUAACGUCCAAUUUCUUUGAGUUGACUCUGCUGCCCUACCCUAAGCUCGCUCAUAAGUAUUGACUUUUUCUGUUUGACUUCGAGAUGGCGAUACUAAGCAAUCUUCUUCGCUCGAAAGUCCAGUGUAAGGGAGUUUACCUGUAGAAUGGAAUUGUGGAAAUGAAUGUUCGACUUCAGACAGCGUGGUUAAUGCUUGAUAUUGAGAACAAGCAAUGUGCACUAGAUUCAUAAGAGUAUUUAUAGUAUAGACCCAUGUAGCGGUAAUAAUAAUAAUAACUUAUAUGCUAUGCGAAAGAGAGAAAUUGGAAAUCAAAUAAAAGAAGCAGAACUCGAUAACGGGAGGUCCAAAGAUGCAAUUCAUUCUGCAUUCUGGUCCAGUGUCCCAACAAGAUGUUGUGGCGCCGGUGAGCAGCUUUCUGACAUUCCUACUUUAUUAGCGGGUGAGAGAGAAUCAAUUGAAAUUCCAGUUGACUCUGUUACAUUCCUAUUUGCAAUGCUCGGCCAAGCUACUCAAAAUGGAAUAAUAGAACUAUGAGUUGGAAUAUUCUACUCUCUUAGCAUCUAGUUUCUUUAUCUACUCCGGACAGGAAGGACGUAUCUUCUCUAAGCCAAGACCAAAACUCAUAUGUAAGGUUUUCAUCCGUCACACAUGGGCUGGGCUAUAAUCCCUUAAUUUGAUACGAGUGGUUUCUUUAAUUCAGCAAGCUGUUUCGCAAGAACAAACAGUCAUUCAGAAAAAGCCAGCAGUGAGGAAGCAGUUAGGUCACUUUCAUUUACAUUCAUUAUGAAGCUUACGGUUACCUUAGUAUGGAAUAUGUGCACGAAACGAGCAAGGGAAAAGGGCCGACAUUCGUUCUUACUUAAAGGGCUCUCGCUAGGGAGCAAACAAACAAGCAAGCAAGGGAACACAAGGAAUCAGAUUUCGAAAGUUAGUGAGUUGUGCCGAUACUCCAUUUGAUAUUGAAGUAAGGAGUGAGUCAGCGCGCGGCAAGGGAAUAAAGGAAAAGCUGUUUCAGGCAGUUAGCGUUAGCACAGGGAAUUAAUAAGCGCUUAAGGCAGUUAGCGUUAGCACAGGGAAUUAAUAAGCGCUUAAGGCAGUUUGCUUCCCCACUUAUAGAUAGGUUGGUUCAUAUUCUUCAUCGAAAGUCAAAAAAGGAUCUAACAAAAAAGAGUCGACUACCUCACGACCAACGACUGCCUUCCUUCCUUCGUCUGCCUUCCUUCGGAAAAAGGGAGAAAUCACGAUUCAUGCUGCUAAAGGUCCGCAACACAUCUUUCGACCUUCGCUUAAACAUAAGAUGCACUACCUAUGCCCUCUGAUUCCGCGCAUCUCUUAGGGCAGCCCCCGCCAUACCAUAGUUGGAAUCUAGUCUCGGCAUCAAACCUACCCUUGAAAACGUCUUCUGUCCAAGCUCGCCUUUACCUCUUUUCACGUGAACAAGCUAUUCAGUACUGGGCGGUCCACUACUUCCGGGGAUUCGAGAGCACCUUGUAUUCGAUGCAUCUCAUCUAUGUCAUCUUCUAAAUCUGAAUCUGGCUAUCAUCCAUCUAAAAUAGAUAAUGCUGCAAAUCCUCCUCUUUUCUUUGACACCGACUCCUUUCUUAUAGAUGGCACCAAUGCUAUCGAAUAAGCCAAGCGAAAACAUGCGACUCCUACUGAGACUGCUGUUGAUUAUAAUAUUAGUUUGUCUUUCGAACUUUGCGGAUUUUAUGCCAUCAGAGAUUGACAGAGGGCUACUCGUUGAUUAACUCUCUCCUGAUCUGCUCUAGUACAUUCACAUUAAUUGAUUAACUCUCUCCUGCUCCGCUCUAGUACAUUCACAUGAAGGGGAAGGCCUGGCCAUUCGUAGCCAUUGCUUUUGCUAAAGAAGGCAUUCUAUUAUCAAAGAGAACCCUAUUUGUCCAAGCCCAAUGAAUGUGCAGUCCCUAUUAGCCUAUUCUCUGACCGGUUCCUCCACCAUUCUUUUUUGGACGCUACCUACCCUAACCUACUAUAAUUGCCGACAAGAACAGUCCUGUCCUCUCUAAGACCGAGUAAGAGGCUCUGUGCUCAUUCAAUCCAAUCACCUGCUUACAACCUAUCUGGGUGAAGUGAAAGGGGAAGUUCAAUUGAAAGGUUACUUUACUCAAUUAUAUCAUAAGCGUCAAUGACAAACCUUUGACUGCUAUUGAUUGUGGGUGUCCAUACUUACCGGCAAAAGAGAGACGUUCCCGAGCCAGCUUCUGAACUACAGGGCGUGCCUUCUUUGGAGAGAUGGUGAAUUUCUAGUAUAGGAGAAAAACACUCUGCUAUCUUUCUCUUUGGACAAGUUCCGCAAAACAAACUCGCAGGGGAUUCUAUCUCGCUCUCUUAUUUCCUGCUGAAAAAGAAGCUCACUCCAUUACUUUUGGGGUAGUCGAUUCAGGGGUACGAGAAACCCAUAGGGUACGUAGCAAUUAAAUCAACCUUGGAAGCUUUAAUCAAAUCAUAGUAGUGUUCAAAUAAGCAAGUAAUCAAAUAAGAAGUAUUAUUGAGAAGUGUGCUCACUUAUGAUAGAAUGAAAAGUCUAAGGUGCUCACUUAUGAUAGAAUAAAGUCAAUAAAGCUGUAAGGAGAUCCUUUCUUUCGCUUAGUAAGAGCAGAACUGGUUUUUGGGGCUUCUAUUGUUAUUUCACUAUUUCCAUAAUCUGGGGUAGGUAGUACAUACAUAUGGAUCUGAAUGGAUUAUGAUCUCUAAUGAACUGCGCCCUAUAUAAGUAGAAGCACUUUCCUUACCCGAAUAGAGUCUUCUCGUUAACAGCAACCCUAUCAAAGAGUAUAAGCACGCACUUUCUUUACCCGAAUAGAGUCUUCCAGUAUAGUAGUAAAGGCAAGGGUACCGGUAGCGAAUGUUGUAUCUAAUUCAUUCUGUUCUUUUCUUGUUGUGAGCUUUCUUCCCUAUUGACUCGGGGGCACCAUUUCUUAGAGCAGGAAAUGCGAAGGUUGCGCUUUCUUUCUAUUUAUGAGAAUACGAGACCCCGGAAACUUCAAAAAGCUAGGGUAGUGGGAUGGGCUCCGGGUGUAGGACAAGGACUGCCACAGGAACAGUAAGAGUGUUUGAUCCCUAUGGUUUUUUCUCAUUGAAUAUUUUGCACGCCGCGAGCCGUGGUUCUCUCGAGCGGGCUGGGAUGAUCUCAGACGGGGGCAGUACAUUAUCUAUGCCGGAGCAGUGUCAAGUGGUUCCAACUUUCAAAGAAUAACAGGAAAUAUAGGGGAAGGAAGGGGCUUAUCAUCAAAUAUCUAUGUGAUUGGAUUUGCACCAAAGGAAGGAACCCAACAACUCAGAAUUCCAUUCCAUAGUCUUAGUUUGAUAUCUCGACAAGUCAAUCAUAUUAUCAUUGUUUGUUUUCCAAGAAAUGAAGCAAGAUUGAUGGCCUGACAAAAGAGCUCAGAAUUGUAUGAUACAAACUGGGUUUACCCUUCUCCUCUUGGUUGUUGAUCUGGUCCCCAAAAAGAGUAAGGAAUAGAAGAUGCCCAUCUAUAAGAAAGCAUCGUUUCAAAGCUAGAAAUUCCACCUCAAUAUUACUACUUGGCUGACAUAAAUAAGAAACCCACCCAAUAGGAGCCAGAGAUCAAAUCAAUACCAGUCUCGUGUGUAGAAGCGCAGAUCAAGCUCUUUCUCUUCAAGCAUAUAAGAUCGCAGGAAAAAGUGGAGCAAAUAGAGAAAAGUCAGGCUUCGAAAAAAAGCACAAGCGAGAUCAACGACUAGUUGGCUAUGCUGGAAAGCGGGCGAUCAUAUUGACUUCCAUAAUCCAUCUCAUUGGCCCCUACUUUAGAGCCGUCUGAAGCAUCGAGCCUUAUUGAUGUGAAGGCACCGAGCUCCGUAUCUUUUCCAAGGCACGAUGCCCAUAUGCUCAUAUUAGAAUUCAAACUUCAGCAACUCAAAAACGCAUAUUGAAAUGAUAUUACUGUUCCGGUCCGAAUUCGCAAAACGUGGGUUCCAUCGAGAAUUGGAUAGGGUUUCCCAUAGUUCUCGCGAAUCAAGAGCAUUUGCUAGUAAAACCAUGUGAUGAAAUUCGAAUUAGCUAGUAUGACUAUGUGAUGAAAUUCCAUAAGAAUAAGAAGAUGAGGAUUCAUAUUCAUAUAAGAGGGAAGAGGAUUCAUAUAAGAGGAUUAGGAUUCAUAGGGAUGAGGAUUCAUUUUGGAUGGUUAUGGUUGUCUCGGUUUAUAUGGGGCUUUCGAGAUGAUGACGAAGGAACUAACUCAGCUUUCCUGUCUGGGAAAGGAUAUCCGUUUUUUACGACGCAAACGGAGCCGAAACAAACGGGCUCUCCACUCGGACCCUUUGAAGUUUGGAGGGAGGUCCAAAUCCAUCCUAUCAUGGCGCUGGUCUUACCGCUUUCAGGGGAUUCAUUUUCACAGAGCGCAACUAGACCAACAUCAACAAUUAGAAAUCUGGUAUCAAAUGAGUAAACACACUCAUCUAUUGUAGACAAGAGAAGAGGUAUUGUAGACAAGAGAAGAGGUACGACGGCCCCGGAUCGGAACUCAAGGUUGAGCGCGAGAUCAAGUCAAAGCUGGCAAUCCUCGACAGAUAUGCUUGAAAGUCAAAGCUGGCAAUCCUCGACAGAUAUGCUUUCUGACCUUUGCUCCAGAAGGAUUUCGGGGACAUCCGUAUGAAUCUUGAGAAAAUGGUUUCUAGUAUAGCCCUUGACAAGGAUAGAAACCAUAGAAAGGGUAAGCAAUGGAUAGGUUUGGUUCUUGUAUUACGGUAAGCGGACCGUGGAAGCAGUGGGGUAUUAUGAACAGAAUAGAGAUCUCCUUCAUUACCUUCCUUUUCUUUUUCUAUGUUUCUUUCAUUCUUAUUACGGUUUCCUCUGGGCAGACAUAAGCCUUUUCUUUUUCUAUGUUUCUUUCAUUUUUCUUUCGGUUUCCUCUGGGCAGACAUAAGAGAGAGAGCGCUUUAGUGAAGAGAAGUUCCGUCGGCUAGUAUAGUUUUUCACAACAGAGCUUUCUUCGCAUGAGAAGUCAUCUUUUUCAACCAAAUGAUCGCAAAUAUCAAUGAACAUAUGAUUGUAUAUCUACACUUUUACCCAUUUUGUCCCGUUGCUUGGCCCUAGCAGAUACUAACUACAAAGCUUGGCCGUUAUUACUUAGGAAGCGAGUGUGUCUCUUGACUCUGUUGAUGAAGCAUAAGCUGGAGCAGUUUCAGAAGCGGGUGAGGAAUCAGGUAAAUCCGGUUUGAAAGCAUAAACCUCAUUAUCCGGGUGAGUUUACAGCCCGGCUCCUUUUAUUUGAGUUCGAGUGUGCGAGUUAAGCGGUGCUGGACUUUUCUCUUAAGAAGCCGUGCAAAGUUGGCAAUCUUUUUCUCCUAUAUAUUUCUCCUAUAUAAAGAAUGAAUCGAUGUAUGAAAAUUGGACUGGAAGUUAUUAAGUUGGAGCAAGAUCUGGCGAGGAAGCACAAAGUGAAUGAGUUUCACCAUAUUAGUCAGAAAGAAGCCAACUCUCGAAUCUCAUGUCCUCUUUGGGAAUAACCUAUGAAUCUCAUGUCCUCUUUGGGAAUAACCUAUUAAUUUCAUGUCCUCUUUGAAUGGGUUGUUCAAUAAGGGAUUGACCUAAGGGGAAACAGAACUUCAAGCUGUGCUAUCUCAUGGACCACGGGAUGAAAAGAAGAAGGAAAGGAGGAAGAACAUAACGAUAAGAAGUAGCUAUCGGUCGGCUGCUUGAUUUUGACGGGAGUAAAGAAUAAGUGGGUGUUACGCCUUGCCUAAAAGCCAAAAGAAGCUUUCUUCGUUCCGGAGCCUCCAUUAAAGAAGCGGAAGGAUCAAUCAGUGAACUAGAGAGUGGAGUAGUUUAUAUAUAAAUGGUUUCAUCUUAAUUACUUCUAUGCUCGAGAGUUAAGGCAAGAGAGAUCAAAGAAGUUCCAUUCACUGUUUGACUUGACAAUCAUACGGGAUAGGUUAUUUACGUACUUCGAGCUGUAGGCAGAGUUUUAUCUGUAUGAAGCUAUCCAUUCAAGCCUGAAGUGGAGAAGACGUAUAAGGAGGUUUUGAAGUUGUCGACGAAGCGGUUCUCAAAAGGUUAACUCCGUAAACCGAUACGAAAUAAGGACUGGAUUAGUUGGCUAUUCAGAAAGUAGAGUGUCUUUGAGCGCUUGUCCCGUCUUUUAGUCGUCGGCUAACGGGAGUUCAUUCACAGGGGAGGGGGGCAAUAACCAAUUCUAAACUAGCUUUAGUAAUGGGGGGUCCAGUGAGAUUUGAUAUACAAACCUAUGACUCUCUUUGGGGGCUAACGUCAGUUGUGAACGAGAGAAUCUACAGUGUGGGUGAAAUCCUUAGUUUCAGUUACAAGAUCUGAGGCUGGAUCUUAAUCAGGUCAAUUAGGUGUUCAAGCGCUCGGCUCGAAAGAUUAUAUUCAUUACUUUCGGGGCGCUACUGGAGUUUCAAUGAAUUCUUUUACUUGUGCUAACAGAAAGGGUGUUGUUGACUCUAAGUAAGACUCUCGAGCUGGAUCAGACAGUUCCGUUUUAGUUUCAUCUAUAAGAUCCUCUCCGUCGGUUAAGUCAGCGGUAAGUGAUUCUGCAAGUUGAGUUUGACCUGAAUUUAUAUAAUAUGGAUCGUGGUAUUUUCAUUCUGUGUUUUCCUCUGCGCUAACAGGAGUCGUAAAGCGAUCAGAGGUUGGUGCUUGACUUACUUCUUUGUAUAUAGAAGAAGAGGCUAAGGCAUCAGCAGGAAAGUGGACAUCGACUCCAGAAUCCGUAGUGCAAUUACAUUCUGACUUUCGAGUUUACCUCGAGGCGAGAUAGAAUCAAUGAAUUCUGAAGCGUUAAGUCUCACGCCUGUUCCAGUUUUCGGCUAGGGUAAGAGUUCGGGUGUUGUCUUAGAGAGAUAUGGAUUCUCUUAUAUGUGAUGCUCUUAAAGCCAUCUUCUGCGCUCGAAACAAGUUCAAAGGGGUGUGUUUCCGUUUCCGUAUAAGUUCAAGUUGGAAGUUGAAGAAUGAUUUGUUGUGGUAGGUCCCACCUGUUAUAGCAUUGAGUAACCUUUUGGAGACGCGGACUUGAGAUGGGAUUAUUCCUCGGCCUCUCCUUGACGUGAAGAAAAAUCAUAUCUCUCUUUCUUUUGCAUAUAUAAUGAAUUCAGGAAUGUAGUAAAGCAUAAACUCCGUACUCAUCCUCGGCGCAUUAGGCUUAGUCCGAUAUAGUUCCUGUUUUCACUGGCAGUAGUUUAGUUCCCGUUUUCGUAUCUGCAUCAGUGGCUAGAGUGUCAGUUCAUUCUUUCCCUUCACAUUACUCACUCUUUCUUAUGAAUUGAGUACACCCUUUAUGUAAGUUCGUUAUAACCAAGUCCACCAAGCGUAUACUAACGAGUUUGAUUCUGACCUUUCCUACUUGUCAGUUUCAUUCCCAGUUUCAUCCGUAUUUAAGUAGUCGAGUAGUCCAGGACUUGAAGACCCGAUUUUCUUAGUGGUUGAAUUCUUUUAUGAGCAAGUAAAGCAUAAGGCAUAAUAACUUGCAGGUGCUUCAACUGGAUCUACAUUAGACCCAUGUUUUUCAAAGGAAGGCAGGAGCAGUCGCAGCUGGGUUUACGUCUACGUCUACUGGAUCACUGGCAUAAUAACUCGGCCCCUUAGGAUGCAGCUUCUACAGAUAUAGGUUCUUCCCUGGGCCAGGUGUGGUGGGAGAGCGGUCGAGCGUGCAAAGGCGCGAGCAACGUUUCUUCAAUGUUUAAAAGCGUGCAAAAGAAAAGGUCGGCUUUUGGCUAACGAUUCCAAAGAUUCUAUCAUCGAACAUCGAAUUCUUGGCUGGAAAAGAAAGGAACGAAAACAGAUUCAUCCUUUCUCUGUGCUUCCCCGUUCAAGAAAUGAAUUUCUUCCUAACAUCUUUAUGGGCGAAUCAAGUCUAGUUCAGGUUCAGGGUAAGUUAGUUUCCGUUUAAGAAUGAUUUGUGGUAAGAGUUGCCAUAGUGAUAGUUGCUUUAGAGGCUUAGUAGACAUAGGUGUAGUUAUCAUCAAUAGUUCAAUCAAUAGGGAGGCUUUCAGCACCUUCUGUUUACUUAAGCUGUUUGUAAAAGAGUGAAGUAAACUCCCUUCCCCAAAGCCCGGAAAGUGACCUCACCCAGAGUUAGUAAAGAAUCCAGUACUGCUGGGGCAGGUUAAGGUAUUUAAUGAAACUCCUAACUAAGUAGUAAAAGCAUGAAACAUAUACUAACAAAUUAUUGAUUUCUAAUCAGUAGACGGUUUUAAAGGUAAUUACCUGACUUUCGAACAGGAACAUUCCCUAGAACUGGAACAUUCCCACUUAUCUUAUAUCUUAUAUUAUAGAACUGAUUCCACUCAUUCACCUAGCGCUUCGUCACCAACAACAAGAGACUCUGACCUCGCUUCUGAUCCAGCUCUAUCUGAUGCUUUAGCCUCUUUUUAUCCUUAUUCUACUCCGUCAUCUUAUCCUUCUGCUCUAGUUUCAUCCAGAGUUUCAUCUUCCUGCUGUGACCCGCCAAGUAGACAAGCUUAUACUACAAACGCAAGACUACAAAUAAACUCAAUCAAGAUACUAUUCCAGAGUUAACCUGUAUUCAAGGCGUCAGUUCGGGAAAGCUAUCAGGCCAGGCAAGCAGAAAAGUAGUGCUUCAUCAGAACCAUAAGCAGGAGAAGUGAAGUUUACAAGAGAAUAAAGUAGUGCCAGUUAGGUCUACGAGAUCAUCACAAGUGCUUUCUUCGACCAUAAAGAUUAAGUGCGCGAAGGAGAGUCCAAUUAUCCAGUAGCAAGUCCUGUUAGUUUGGUCUUAUACUUAUUCUCUUUCUUAUCCCUAAAUUAGUCACACCCUUUUUUGUUGUGGUAUAUUUGAGUCACAGCAGAAAUAAGUAGAAAUUAGUAACAGAUGGAACUGUUCGAAAGUCUGGGUGCUUGGACUGUACCACUACAAGGGAAAGCUAAGCAUUAAGGUGAGGGUAAGGCAGAGGCAUAGGGUUCCGUUAAGUCAGAGGCAUAGGGUGAAGGUAUCGGUGAACAAGUCAGCAGUGAAAGCAGAUCCACAGCCAACUUACUAUAUGAGCAGCUCUAGUGAAACUCUGAUCUUUGUUCCAGAAGGUAAGCGGUUAAGUCAGAAGGAGAGUGAAGUUCUGUUCUUGUGUCUGUUCGAGGAAAGGAAACUCCAGCUAGCAAAUACAGGACUAGCUCAUAGCUAAUUAAUAUAUAUGAAUUUGUUCCUUACUCUCUAUGCCUUCGGGUGCGAGGGUUGGUUGUCAGUUAGGAAUACAUCUAGCUUCUGAACAGAUAAGUUAACAAGUAAGCUUCCGAACAGAGGUUUUGUAUCCUUAGGGCAAACACACUUAGAUUCUAUCUUAUCUAAUAGAACUGAUGAAAGUGCCUAAUUUGUUCAAAGAGCCAGCUGCUUUGUUUGUUUAAAGAGAAGAAAGAGAUGUUACCAGUUGCCUGCGGUAUAGUUAUAUGAGUUGAGGACCGCUUCCAAGUCAUUCAGUUAAAGCAAAGGCCAGGGCAGGGAAAGAAAGAGCGAGAUGGGGGUCGGGUCGGUAUGAAACAAAUUCUACUAGUUGUCUGCUUGCCUACUUGCUAUGUCUUUGUAGUAGUUACUUGGCGGUCAUUAGUAGUUGUUUGUCUAGUAGUUACUUGGUCGUUAGUAGUUGCUUGGCCCUUUCUCCAAUUUCUUAAUAGAUAUCCAACUUUCUACAAUUUAUAUAUAUUAAAAGAUAAUGAGUGGUUUUUCUAGCGCCCCCUUUGGAAUAAGCUAUGCGGGUGCUACAGACUCAACGGACUUGGACCCAGCUUUCAAAUGAGAAGAUUGCUCUCUGGAUGUUCAACCUUAUCUGCAGGGCAAUCCACGAGGACAAAUAAAUGAGAAAUCAAUUCUAAAUAAAUGAUACCAAUAGUACUUGGGAGGUGGAAACGGGGAAUCUGACUCUGUGCCUAUGAUUGACUCGUAUUAGUCUUACUUAAGGUCGGCCACGCUUAAAGAUCGGUGCGGCUAAUAGUGAUGACAGAAAGAAUCAAGCUUGCUAGCAAGAGUUAGAAGUUAUAGCUUAGGCUUCAUCUCCUUCUGAAGCAUAUCCACUUCCUGGGAUUCCUUAUGUCGUGGGCUUAGCUUAGCCUCCAGGAUGACUUAUGUAUUACUCUAUCCAAUAUUACUUAUGUAUUACUUCACUAUAACUACUUAGAUGUAUGACUAACUACUUAUUAUUAAUAUGUGUAUAUAUAUAUAUAUGACUAACUUAUCCUUAUCUAUUUGAUUGGAAUGUUCUUGUCAUUCAUUUUUCGUACUUGUGUACUCUCGCUCGAGGAAAGAUAGAAAGUGGAUGGAAGGGAUAGGCUUUUUGUACUAGCUUGGCAAAGUAGAGUUUUGUGUCCUCCUCGUACAGGGAGAGGCCCUUAAAAGAUUUCUAAGAAGUGCCACCCCCCCCUUUUUUCUUUUCCGAACAAAAGAUUGAAGUUCAGCAGCAAGCCUUUGACCUUUUAGUAAGUACAUACAAGAGCAUGUCUCUUUUGAAAGAAAAAGUACAGACCCGGGGAGCGGGAACUUAAGCUCUAAGGCAGUAGUUAUGGACUGAAAGAUGUAUAGGUUUGUUGUCGGACGAAGAGAACAACUCUCAACCAGGAAUAAGUCAUUUGAGAAUACAGAAUUGAACUCUACCCCUGGAUCCUAUAUUCUAUGUCAAAGAGUCCAACUGGUAAGUCAGAAUUAAAGGCAAGAAAGCAAGAGCCAUAAGCUUAAUCGAAGGAAUUCCACUCAAGCAGAGGCUGGCGAGGGAAGAAAGAUAAUACCCAGUUCCUGUUCUCAAGUAUGGUUAUGACCGAUAUAUGACCGAAAUCGGUCACAGCUAAAUCUCAAUAGAUGGAGCAAGAGCAUAAACAGGUAAAGGAUUUGAAGCAGGUGAGGAAGCUUUAUCAACUGAAUCCGCAGUUCUCAAGUAAGGUAAAGGCCCAAAACCAUAAGACUCAGUGCGUGAACGAGAAGAGAGUGGAGUUGUGGAAAAUCAGAUAUUAUAUAAUAGAAGGCGAGAAAUAAAGCCAUAUGGAAAUGCAUGAGUUGCACUAGGCUAAAGGGCUUUUUGAGCAACAAUACUGAGUGUGUCAGCAACUAGCAAGCGGGUAAUCUUUAAUUACAACUUAAGGUGUUGAGUAUGAGUAUGAGUAUACAAAGUCAGGGUAGUGUUGGCUUAGAGUCUUGUUCAGUUAUGAGCUCUAAGUCGUACGAGAUAGUUUCGGCGGUAACUGAAUCCGUAGAAGAAAGAUAUGAUGCAACAGAAAGAGCAAGAUCUGAGGCAUAAGCUAUAUAUGGAGUAGGAGAAGUGAAAAUAUCAGUAUAUGUUAGUAGGUAAAGAAUAUUGGGUUGGGGCAGGGUAUCUACUUCAAUCUAUAACAGGUGCACUCCAGGAUACUCUCCCGGCUGGGCAAGGGAACAAUAGGCAGUUCAAGGACUGGUAGAAUGGAGUUUUUGACUAUAAGAAUCGAAUUGACUACUAUGGCGUUAUACUAGAGUGUACCCCAGUAUCAGAACCUAUUAUUGGAACGGGUUGGCUAGAAGGAGGAACCCUUAAGGAGAUGCACACUAACGCCUUUAAGGAGUUACUGGAACUACACUUGCGGACUUAGAGCGUAAGCACCAAUACCAGACUUUCGAACAGGAACCGGGAGUCGGAACCAUAUCAGUUGUUCGACAUCGACAGGCAGGCGCAGAAGAGCAAGCCUAAUUCUAUAUUUCAGUAACAGGGGCGGGGUUAACUCACAGGUCCAGACUCAGUUGACAGAUAAGAAACAAGAUCAGGUGAAUCCAAGUCCUUUGUUCGAGGGCAAUCAGCGGCAUACAAUAGGAAAUCAUUCCACUACUACAGAGGCAAAGAACCAAGCCCUAACGCCUUAACCUUUCUUUGAAACUGUUGAUUCGAGAGUCGAUGUAUAAUCCAUUGUUGAAUCUUAUUAUCAAGAAAGAAUAUCAGUUAGAAGCUUAUUUCUGUUCGAAUAAAGUUGUUAGUUGAAAGAAAGUAGAUAGUGGAAAGCCUAAUAUAAGUACGGGUUAGUGGAGGUAGGCCUAGUUAGUGAAUCCAGAACUCCUACUGAGGAAAGAAUUCAUCUACUAUGGUACACAGGAUUAUGACUGAUUACUUACUGCCCGGUAACAACUCUAUCACUUACUGCCCGGCACACAAGCACUUCUGGAACAAGACUCGUUGGACCACUUGCAGCUGACUUUAGUCAACACCCAUUAAAAGCUUCUUCUCGACUCGCAGGAAAGCCAAGAAAUCACUUAGUUCGUAUACAAGGAAGGUUAUACAGGGGAACAAUCCGUUUCAUUACCAACCAUAGGAGCGGAUCUCUAUUCAGAACCCAUUUACUUAAGGGCAGAAAGAUACUCCACUCGCACCCAACCCGAAAGAAGCGCCAGCAUCUGAACCGACAACUUCGUCAAGCAAUAGACCGAUGACCAUCAAACUCCUGCUAACAGCGGUCAACACCACAGAAUGGGUGAUUUGCUAUAAUAUGAGUUUACUCGAGUUAGAGAAUUGCCUUAUUAUUAUGACCAUUAUUACAUUAUAGCCUACUAACUCAAUAAAUGUGCGGUGCAGAAGUCCAAUAUAUCUUUAUUUAGAAUUACGGGUGUGCUACAUGUGAAAAUGGAGAUUGAUUGAUUAUUACUGGUUACAUGUGUUAGUAAUGCUUGGAGUGGAUGCCCGGUGCUAUAUCUAUAGUCAUUCGCUUCUGGAGUGUAUUUGCUUGUUGAAUUGAGGCACGGUCCCUUAUUCUUCUUCUUAUUGGAAGCGGGCUUCUACUCUGGUAAGGGAUAAGAUAAAGGGGAGCGGGGGAACAGCCCUGCCGCUCUUUUAGCUCGCUGACGCUACACAUUAGCCCAACUCAGCUCCUGACGCGACACCAAUUAAUUAAGUGAACUUGUCUACUUGGCGAUAUCCAAAUAUCUCUUUAAGAACUAUCCAAAUAUCUGUUAUUAUUAAAGAAACUAUAUUGAACUAGGGCUUACCCGACCGAAGAGUCUUACGGACACAGGACUUAGUAGUUGCUAAGGUGAACUCGGAGUUAAGACCACAUAGUGAAUAGUAGUUAUAUCAGAAUAGCAGAGUGGAAGACCGGAGAAGAGCACCAGGAGUUCAAUUGGUCACUUUUGCCAACCGCUCGCUACGGAAGAUGGUUAAGGUAUACACUACAAAUUCAUUAAAGAACAGGUACGUACUUUCUCUAGCGCAUAGAAACAAGUAAUAUCAAAUACAAGCCUCUUAGAAAAGGUACUCAAUCUCUUGAGAAGAACCAGUUGUCACUUCUAUUACGGUUGGCGAUGAAGAAAGUAGAGUUCAGAAGUCAACUGCAAGAGGUUUUAUGCAUGUAGAGAGUCCGGAGUGUGAAUUCAUAAAUGGAUAUGAAAAGGAGAUGGAUUCCAUUCCUGUGCGAGAGGGAGGUGAGGUUGGCAAGAUAGAGUGCAAUUCCUACUUUCUUUCUAGGUUGAUUGGUUAGUUUAGUCUGAAGUUGACAAGUAGUGGUCCAAUCGAGAAGUAGUGGUCCAAGUAGUAGUCUAGGGUCGGCAGCCAAACAACUAAAGUCGUAGACGAGGAUAAUUGCCUAUUUUACUGCUUUCCUUUUAGGUGGUACAGACUUAUAUACAGGCGCUUACAACUAACUCUUCACUGUUUGACUCGGCACAAACAGAUGUUGUGCAUCAGUAGCUAAAGGUAAAGUUGUUGAAUUGAAUCUAGAUGGUUACUUUACUCUAGUAUAGAAAAAGUCAUAUUAGACACUCUGAGGUGAUUGGCCCCAAAGUCUAUGAGGUUUGUUAUUGGCUCCUAAAGUCUGAGGUCUCGGGGAAAGUGUAGUUUCAGUUUCAAGAUCAUAAUAUGGAUCAUCUUCAGAGGCAAGUGUAGUUCAAGGAGAGUGAGAGUUUGGGGGAGUAGAAUCCAAAGCGGAAGCAAGAUAAGUUGGUAACUCCACUUAUUGUCCCGAGGAAGGAAGAGAAUCUAGCUCUUUCAAAACUAGUAUAUGCUGGGCCAAGAGACUAUUCUAUCUCGAGUAGCUUGUCGGCUUGUCUGCUUGGCUUAACGCAAAGUGGUUGCUUUCUCUCUUUGUCUAAGAUAUGGAAUUGGGGGCCAUAGUCAAUAAUUGCUAGCGCAUUAGGCACAUAGAUAUUAGAAUUGGGUACGAUGUAGCGCAUCCAGAAUAUCUUACUUCUUUUGGGGCGAGUGGAAUCCUUGUUUGUAGUAGUUACGCGGCAGGAGUUCUUCCAUUGGCUAUCAGGCAAGUAACUACUAAUGUUACGCGCCAGCGCUGUUUACCGUGUUUUGGUGAACUUCCGGAAAGAGACUUUGACUUCACUUCAGUACUUAUUGCUUAGCUUCCUGGCCUAUCCCUCUGGCUCGAGUACUUGCUUGCCCGGAGCAUAAGCUUAAGUCUAGUCCAGUAGUAUACGCUUGCCCCUGUUCGAGUGAUAGUCUUCAGACCGGUAGCACUGUUCUGGUUCUCAAGUAAGGUUAAAGGCAGUUAUUAAAUCUAAGUAAAGUCUAGGCCCUUAUAGUUAGUUUCGGGGUUAACACUUAUUACAUGUAUAGGUCGGGUCGGGAGUUCCACUUGUUUGCUUCACUCACUCAUUGCUUUAAGAGGACCUCUGCUUUGUAGCAUCUGCACUAUUUCUUAUAGGGCUGGCUAAGCUCCUUUUCGCGGAUGCGCUGUAGUUUGCUAGCUCGGCGCAGGUUGCUCUUCCGUUUCGUUUGAGAGAAGGGCUUUUUCAGCGGUAAGUAUACUAUAUUAAUAAGUAUCGGAGUUAUAGAGUGGAAAGGGAACCAUUUCUGCCUAUUUAGUUCUGACUUCUGUGUUUCAUUCUUCCUUUUGAGUGGAAGUCCUUUUAUGAGCAAGUCCUGUGUUGGAGAACUCAUAUAACAUGUCUGAAUUUGUUGUUCCCGAGUCUUGUAUUCAUGGCGGCAGGAGCCCCGUUUCUAGUUGAUUUCUUUGUUUCAUCUGUAUUUGUUGUCGAUGAGUCUAGUCUCUUUCUCAGCGUUCCUGUUCCAGCCAUGAGGUUAAUGGUGUUGCUGUAAGUUAAUGGUAUGAUUGUCCCCAUUAGUCACUAAAGAAGAUAAGGUGAAAAGGCCCAUAUGUUAGAGAAUGAAGUAACAAAAGAGCAUCUAUUCUUCCUGACAAGUAAGAGAGCAUCUAUUAGGAUUAUUAACCUCUCCUCCUCUGGAGCGUUCAAUUCAAACUUCACUACUUGAGAGAAAGAGCUAACUCCGCUCAGAACUGGAAUAUCUGAUUGUCCUAACAAUACUGUUAUACGAAACUGUACACUUGUAUACUAAGCUUGUUCCGAGGAAACCUUUAAUACAUCUCUCUCUGGUCUUGCGCAUCGUCCGAACUCGUAUUGAUGAACGAACCACUUGCUGCACUCGCUCCUUUUUGACCACAACACACACCUCUUACUCAAUAAUAACCUACUUAUACGCUCACCUGAAACUUCUAUCCUCUCCACUUAGUCUUGUUGGGACUCACAUUACUUAAGGCUGAAGAAUUCAUUGAAUCUCUAGCAAGUGUAGAAGCUUAAGCAGAAGAUCUAUAUCUAGAGGAUCGGAUUACUGUGCUGGUUGACUCGGUGCAAGAGAAGGAGAAGCUGUUAUCAAGUCUGUUACUAUUGGGUCUUCAAGUAAUGAAUCCGCGGUGUCAAAGUCAAUGGUAAGCGGUUCUGCAAGCCGAGAGGACUCUUUAGAAGGGAAAGGUAUUAAUGAAACUCAAGCAGAGGAAUUAGCCAGAGGUAUUGUUGCCCUAGGUAAGAGAAGAAGUCGGUUCGGGUACUUGUGUUAAGCAUAGAAGAAAUAUGGAUCCUUUGUCUAUUUGUCCCCUCCUAUUAUCUAGAUUAUCUUUAUAUAGGUGAACGGAAUAUCACAUCAUAUAGGAGAAAGUUUCGAAAGAGAAAAGUAGGAUAGUUAGAAUGAAAGUGCACUUUAGUUGCUUGUUGGCUGAAACCAGGUAGGCUCGGAAUGAAGCUAAGGUGUUACAGGCUGAUGCGGUGUCUGCUAGGUAUGUAGCUAGGGAAGUUGCGUGUGAAAGUAUUGUUUCGGGUGCCAGGUAUUCUGGGUGAUAUGCUGUUCUUGAGGUCUGUUAUGAUUAUUGGAAUACCGGGUAGUCCUGUGGAAUCAGAGGUUUAGUCCAGUAGUGGAGUAGUUAAGAGCUUCUUUGGAGCAAGAGAAGAGAGCCGAAUUCUGUUCAUAGUGGAAAGUUGCCAUAGGCUAAAUUAGGACUCCCAAAGGCUGUUACUUGCUAUGCGCUCGGAAGCCUAAUUCUGUUAAUGCCAGCAGCUUGUUUCAAGAAGUUCAUAGUUGCCAUAGGUAUGUAGAUGAGAUGCGCCUGAGUUAGAGGAUAAGACGGAGCCGAGCCAGUAGUUGUAGAGUAGUUUCCAAGGUAUCAAUUCACUGGUUCAGAAGCGGUUGAAAGAUCAGACUUAGUUGACAGAGCAGAGCCAGUAGUUUAUGGUUUGAGUUGAAUCCCCUUCAUUAGGAGUUGACUCCCUUGUUUAGUCUGAAGUUGACAAGUAGAGGUGUCUGGUCCAGUGGAAUCAGUAGCUGAGGCAGCCAAUGAGGUAUCGGAUCAAGAUCGGUCUACUUUGAAAUGAAUGAUUUCGAAUCGCCAAGACGACAAGCUUAGAGACUAUACCAUACCCACCAGUUACUGACUUGAAGAUUCCCUUAACAGCUAUGCCAGCACUAGAGCAAGAAAACCCUGUCUCGGAGUCAGAGGAAAGUACCAUCUUCAGCGCUUAUGGAUAGUGGAUAAUUUCAGGAUUGUCUUUCAUAAGGAUAAUAUUGUCUCUUCCAUAAUGAUAAUAAUAAGGAUCGGGAUAAAAGGUUCUUAAAGUAUAGUUUCUAGAUAAAGGGGUAUUGCAUAGAAAGAGAUAACUACAGAGAGACGAGUUGUUUGUAACCACAUAGAUAGGGAGCUUUUAGAGUGGUCCUUAGCCCAAGACAAAUCUAUACUCUUUCUGAAUUAGAAUCAGCAGUUUAGGGUUCUAUCAAUUGUGCAUCAGAUUCCAUUUGAUUCUUUGUGUACUUAACACGUGAAAGAAGAGUUGACCUUACCAUGGCUCUUAUCUUAAACGAGUAGUGGUUAGUAGUUAAGGGUUAAGGCUAAAGUGAAUAAAAACAAGUAAAAGUACUGUUUGAGUUGACUCGGCACUAGAUAGAUGAUAAGUAUUUCUUGCUUCUGCUUUCAAAGCUCACAAAGGCUAUAGUUUCAAGCGCUUACCUUAAGUAAAGAAGAGAAUUAAGCAGUGAGGUCACUUUAUUGCCAACCCCAUACUUUAUCUAUAAGAAGCCGUUUAGUCCUUUCAAUGGAGUUCCUGUUCGUGUGUUACGGUAAAGGGCAAAUCUUGUUGGUAUCACAACUUCAUUCCUUUUCCUAUUGGUAUCACAACUUCAUUCCUUUUCCUAUUAUAUAGGCGAGUGAGAAAGUGGGCGAGUGAGAAAGCACUCAAUAAAUUAUGGUUUUCCAGCGGAUCCUAAGAGAUAGAAUAAAUGAAUUCUUUGAAAGCGGGGGGAGGUCGGAAAAACGAAAUAAUAAAGUACUGGUGAGGAGUGUUGGUCCUAUAGCUCCAAGUCUGGUUUAGGUUGAUUGUAAAGGGAUACUAUACUACUGAUUUUGCUGUGCUUCUAAAGCAUACUAUAAUAGUCUAGGGAAGUAUGUAUUACUUACAAAUAAAGAUACAAGUAAAGACAGGAGCAGUAUCCACAGUUAGCCGAGUGGGUGUAAUAGACAUCUAGUGGAAUUAGCCUCUCAAGUUGGAAAGUUAGAGACGUACUGUACUGGGUUCGGGUUGACUCGGCACUCCAAGACUAAGUGCAGCAUCUCGAUUCAUAAAGAAAUCUCCGUUUAUUCUUCCGGUAGCGAGUUUUAGUAAUAUAGGGUGUGGUAGCAGUGCUUGUGUUGUUGGAUCUAGAAUAGAAUCUCUACUGACUGCGCAGAGUUUAAUAAAUAGAGGAAAGAAACACUAGGAAGUUAACUAAACAACAUACUUAAUUAUAGGAAGUUAACUAAACAACAUACUUAAUUAUAGGAAGUUAACUAAACAACAUAUGCGCUUUUAUCAUAUUGAACACUUAUGAAACUAGCCUAUAGUGCGAGAGCUUGAUUUUAGGCGCAAGAGAUAAGAAAAGUUGUACUAGAUCAUUCUUUGAUAAGGGUAGGGUACCGAUUGCUUGAGUACAGGAUUAAGUACCUUUUGUAGAGUAUAUGAAAAGUAAGUUGUCUUCUUGCUAUGGUACAGGAAAGGCUAAGGGUUUCAGAGGGAAAGAAGAUUUGCCAUUAGCUCUGUUCAACAGAGAGGUUCAUGAAAGGACUCGAACUCUAAGUUAGCGCUUACUAACGGUUGGUUUCACGUUAGGAGCUGGCGCAACAAGACCUUAUCUUCUGUGCGUUAGCGAAUUUAACACGUUGCUUGUUCGUAGCUUGUUUACUAGAAAGUGGCUUGUUUAGUUGCGAGAUAUCCUCUAGCUGGAAUUUAGCGUGCUUCUUAAGUAAAAGAAGUAAUAAUACCACUGUUGGACUACUUAGCCCUGUAUAAGGAGUGUUUUUUGUCUCCCUCUUUCAAGUAAGUUCUUUGAGCCUAGAGGGUAAGAAUAGAGUGAAAGGCAGGGUACAACCAGUCAUCAGAAGGAGAGUCCAGGCUACUGUCAGAUAGAGAGGAUGGUACUCGCACUCCGUAAGGUUAAGGGUGCAGGGGAGUAGAAUGUUUUCUAGGUCCUGUAGCAAUCGGUUCUGUUCUUGUUUGUCGAGUUUGAGUUUCAGACCGGUAGUACUGUUCUGUUCUGGUUGAAUCCCCAGUGGCAUCUGUAAUAGUUGCCAGAGGAGAGUAGUACAGACCAGAGCCAUAACUUUCUUUGUUGACAGAGCAGAAGUACAGGAGAGGAGCCUAAUUCUGGUAUAAAACUACUGAUCUCAAGAUGUGGGAAGGGCCAAGCUACUAAUACAAAUAGGGAGAGUUGCCAGCUGCAAUCGGGUCUGUUCUUGUUUGUUGAGUUAGAAUCAGGUCGGGUGUGAGUUCAAAGUUGACAGUUCCAGUGAGAAAGUAAGAUGUCUUUGUUGUCGGUUCAGCAAUGAUAUAGUUAUUGACUUAGAGUCUCUUUCUGUUCGAGCCGAAUCCCUUGUUUCAUGCAGUACAGCUCCUGUUCUUAUGAGAGUGGAAUACCCUGUUGCCAGAGCUAUAGGGGAGAGAUUGGAGUUGACAGAGCUAUAGGGGAGAGAUGGAAGUGACCUUCAAGUAGAGAUGGAAGUGACCUUCAAUACGAGGCCCUUCUAGUAAGUUGUGCUAGGCAAGAUGGAUCAAUUCAGUAUUCGUAGCAAUAAGUUGCUUCGUCCUCAAGUAUUGGUCUGGUUUCAUCCGUAUUUGUAGAAAGAGCUCCAAGUGGGUUAUCAGAAAGUGUAGUUCAUAAGAAUUCACCAAGUAAGUAACAGAGCCAAGCUAGUACUAGAUGCACUGAUUCCCCUCAGUCUGUUACUAGGCUACUGUAGUAGUGGAUUGGCCCAGCUCAAUGUAAUCGACCCUUGUUGACAGAGGAGUAGUGAGUUGACUUAACACCUUAGGAAUAUAGAAACAAAGAAGAAAAACAGAAUGACAUAGCUCCUUGAGAGAACACCUGCCGCUACACUUACUAUGUUACUUGGCUCCUACUAAAUGAGAUCUUCUGCUUAUAUAUGAAACCAGAAAGGGACUGCCGCUACACAUUAGCAGUGACUUGUCCUAUCCAAAAUCCCGUGUUUUGGUAAAAAGUGGAUUUCUGCUCUUGUGUCGGAUAGGGGUGAGUUUUGCCUCGUUAAGGUUAGGGUGGUGGACUGACUUGUUUAAUGAAGUUACUAGACCCAUUUAUUAAGUCUUGACCGAGAGACUAUAGAGGAAAGGAAGCCUUAAGGCAGUGCGAGUAAGAAGGAGAGGCCAGGCCAGGUAGUAGGAAUUCCAGAACGAAACAAAGAAGUGCAAGGCUGAAACACUACCUAGCAAGACCUGAACCAAGGGAGUGACAGGCUAUCCGACCCGAAUCCAAGACUGAUACCGAUGCUGGGCAGACUGAAAGCAAGGGCAGCGAGGUAGUAUUGUAAGCCUGAAACACCUACCGAUUUGAUUCUUUGAUAAUAAUAAUUGGGCUUCUUAGUUCUGCCUCCUGUCUUUCAUUACUCCAUAUUUCUAUGCGUAUAACACAUGGGUUAGACUAAUCGAAACACAUAGGUUAGACUCAUCAAAAUGGAAUUCUUAUUUGCCAUAUGAAAACAUAUAUAUAGAAUUGCGUAACACCCCGACUGAACCACACAAACCAUUCUCAUACUUACCCACUGAAAAGAAGGAGACUAAUGCUGUAAAGAAAAGCACUUGACUUAGGAUACUGGGAAGGGGAUUGACGGAUAGGCAUUAGUUAAAGAAUGACAGGAAUGAGUACUAGUUCGAAAGCCAGGAAAGGAAGCUCGAUCUUGGCCCCCGGGGGAGAGAACGAAAGACAUUAAGGUAAGCCUAGGGAGCUCAUAAGCAAGACUGGAGGCGUUAUAGGAAGUUUUCUUUCAGUGUUUGAUUCUGGCUUUCGAGUUAAUGGUGUGAUAUUGAUUCCUAAGUAAGGAGCCUAAGCCCUAUAAGUCAAUUCCAUAUUAGUUGCGAAAGGGAGGUCAACUCUUUUACUUAAUUGCGAAAGGGAGGUCAACUCUUUGAUAUAGGAAAAACAGGACAGGUCUAGGUCGGGCAGUCAACUCUUACUUCAAGACGGAAACCCCUUUUGAGAAUUAUUACUUUCCAUUCAGAGUAUUCGAGUAGAGCUAAUAUCCCCUGACAAGACUGGUUUCCUGACUUAGUAGUUUGAUUCUGAAUUCCCAACAUCAACACUCAUUCUGCCCUUACUGCCUUAAAUCCUAGUUUUGAGUUAAAGUCUCUUAGAGCGGGCACCCUAUAUCUCAUAUUGAUACCUACUGGACAGGAACCGACCUCGAAAUACAGAUAAACUACCUCCCUAACUGGACUUGAGCUGGUGCCGAACAGGCUAUAACACUGCCCAGCAACGCUAUAACUACUAAUAUGGACUAUUAGAAUGGAACAGGUUCCAACUAUCCUUUAAAUGGAAGAAACUGGGGCUUUUAACUGCUGCUAACUAGACUACAAACAGUGUUUCUCGUCCUUUAACUAGGGACUCGGGAGCCAACUCGUGCCUUUAAGGCUAUAAGCUACAGAUCCAUAUCCUAUGCUUUUGGUGUUAGCCCACCCCUCCUUGGUUUGAUCCUGUAUUCCUUUGUUUCAAACUUGAUCCUAAACUAGAAUUCCCUCAUCCAAUAUUGAUUAUUAUUUGAACAUAUGAUUCGAGUAUUUAGACUAAUAUCCAUAGUGAGAAUAAUGAAAAUAAGAAUAAAGAAGAAAAGACCUAAGCUAUCAGACCUAAGCCAAGAACUAAGUCAAAUUGCCCAGUAACUAUAACUCCAAUCCAAAGUCAGAAUAAAAGACAUAAGUUGUAAUUCCAUUCUCACGAGGGUAUAGGGUCAGUCAGAAUCCAACUAUGUAGUAAAAGAAUCAAGGGCGUAUCAGAGGAAGCAACGCCAGAACAGUAGACUUAGCGUGGUUCCGGGGAAUAACACUUGAAAGUUAGACAUGUAUAGGCCUUUGUAUCAUCGGUAUCAGAAUCGAGGUAGAAACAAGGAAUUCCAUCUCAUAUUCUCUAUCUUAGGGGAGAGUCUCUGUCUAAAACAGGGAUUUCUAACUAUAUCAACGAACUCUUUUUUAUUCAUCUUAUACUUGGGCGCUCUUUGACAGUCACUUAAGAGCACAAUCAUCCUUCUUUCUUGAUUAUAAGGAGGGAUAACAUAGUCGCUCAACUUACUUGGAGAGUGAGUGAAACAUCCUUAGCAGAACCGGCUUUCUUGACAUAAUUUCGAGAAAAGCAGCUGCCCUCUUGGACUCUCAGGGAGCCUGGGAAAAGGAAGGAGUCUCGAUACCCACCUAGGGAAAAAGAAGCUUAGCGCCUUAGAGAUCGAAGAUCUUAGUCAUCAGAAAAAGAGCAAGUAGAACUUCAGAUUGAUGAGCUUCUUGCUUCAAAGGAAGAACUGCUUGAUCUCGAUAACUCUAUUACUUCUGGUCUGAGCUAGAGAAAUGAGGAGGUGCUCGCGGAUUUGACAGAGUAGAAAAAGAAGUUGGAGACGGAGUCCGAGCAAGCUAAGGUGAAAGGAAUUAAAGAAUCAUAAGGUUAGUUGACAACACGCAGUGCGUCAUAGGAACAUUCAAAUACUACAUUAGUAACUUACACAUCCGACUAUUUAUAUGUGUGUUGCUUAUAUAGGAACAUGGGGCAGAUGGUUAGCUAAUUUCAUCAUUAGUGACACUGAGAGACCUUCAUAUACUACAUAAUGUAGGCACACCUAUAUACUUACAAUAGUAAACCCAGACAUACAUACUUACAAUCAAUAGUAAACCCAGACAUACAUACUUACUUACAAUCACAAUAGUAAACGCUCCAUACUUACAAUCACAAUAGUAAACGCUCCAUACUCAUAGAUUAUUGACUUGACUCUUAUUGCCAGGAAAGCCAAAGCAGGGGUGGCAGGGUUCCGGUCAGAAUCCAGGACUUCUUGAGCGCCUAGUUAAUUAGUUUGAUCUCUGUCUUUAUUGGUGACUCGAAUCCGUCAGUUCCAUUUCCAUGAUUGGAUUUUGCCCUUGACGAAGCAAUUCCCACUUCUAUCCCUACUAAGCGCCAAAGCAAAGCAUCUUUUCUUUCAAAUACGAGGUCUGCCAAUGAUGUUUUAGGGGGCAGAGUUGAACAUUGGUAUUACGACGAAUAUGGCCGACAGCUAUUCACCGAGUAGAUAAGAUGGCAUUCAAGCAGGGUUCAGGGCUGCAAGCGCAAAGUAGACAAGUUCAGAAGCAGUUUCAUAGGCAAAAGGUCAGUCUGAGUUCCGGAUUUCGACAUUAGUUCUUUGAUGAGUUACCGAAUAUCAUGCAUUAUUUAGGUCACUCAUUAUCGUAUGAUUGACAACGCGCUUAAAAAGCCAGUACUGGAUAGCUAGUUAUAACAAUUCCUUUGUUUGUUUGGAGCUAAAGUGGUUUUUGCUAGAAUAAUCAACUUACAUAUAGUAUAUUUAUUAGUGGUUAUUACUUUUGAUGUGUUCGGGUGAUGCGGUAGGAGCUAUAGCGGAGUUGAUUUCUUUUUCUUAGAAUAAAGGAUUGAAUACUUGGUGGAUGAAGCUAAUGGGUAAGGCUCGGAAGUACUAUUUCCAUUCUUUAUCCGUGGGGGUGAAGUCUAAUAGUGGUAUAAGCUAAGGUCUCAUCCGUAUAAGUUCGAACCUCUUAUACUGCGGUUAAAGAAAGGUAGGGCAGGCUAAUAAGUUCACAUAUGAUUUAGAUGUCAGUAAGUCAGGCCCAAACUAUAGUCUAUAGGCAUUUCAAGCAGUUCUGUUUGUUCAGUAAGUGAGAUGUGAUAUCAGUAGCGAAAGAAAGAUAGCCAGGCCAGGCCAGGAAAGUAAUACUAUAGGGUAGGACAGACAGACUGAAGCACAGGGUGUGUAAAGAAUAGUCUUUUGGCUCUGCUACUAGGAUAAAGAAGAGUAAGGGUAGGCUCUACGGCAUGUGUUAUAGUAAAGGAACGAAAGCCCGGGGGAAGAGGAGAGACUCGUAGGCAUUGAAGCAAGGGUAGUAAAGUGGGGAGAUAUAGAAGAAAAGCCCGUAUAGCUAUAGAAGAAAAACCUGUAACACAAGUCCUGUAUGCUCUAAGUUCCAUUAUUCUCUAUAUGGAUGUCGAGCUGCCAUUCAAAAGUCAAUAAGUUCCCCUUUAAUGCCAUUCUUCUUGUUAGUAGUCACAGGCUCUUAGGCAAUAAAGUCAGAUUCCAAGUUAGGAUCAAUAGUUAUAGAAAGCAAGCUAGUUGUGUGAGAUUCGAAGUAAAGGUAGUGAAGGGCGUUAGAGUCAGAGUUGUAGAAGCGCUAGUAUCAUUCUGAAUGUCAAACUGGAAUUCAAGCAGGAAAGUGCAUUCUUAACAAAACAAAGUAAGCUGAUGAAUACGCUUGCUAUGUGUUUGUAUACGUGACUUGGCUCGAUUUAUUAACUUCAAGUUGGGUGUCGCCCUUACCUUGACUCGAAACUGUAUGUAUCCAGUAGGAAGGGAAUUAUGGUCGACUUAUUAUAUUAACAAGCACCCGAGACUCCAGUAUCUAGUAUUGGCUGGGAGGCGAGCAGAGGAUGGGAUUCAUUUGAUCGUUUCGGAACCCUGAUUGAGGCUUAUCGUUAGCUCCACUCCAUUGUGCUUAGGGGUUUUCGGCAUACUUUUCUCAAGCCUGAUGCCAUGUGUUCUGCAAUAAUCUUCCCACGGACCCCAGUAUUCACCACCAUUAUCUGCCCGGAUGCACUUAUGCUGCCUUAACUCAAACACUUUCAAAGAAUCAAGGGGAAGAGUGGAAUACUGACUUCUAUGAACUAAGCUAGCUUCACUCCUUUUGAUAGAGGAGCGAUACGAGCUACUAAUAGUCUGACUACAAAAUCAUUGAGAUCCUUUUGAAAGGCUCAAGUACUCUGACCCAUAAGGUGGCUUCUUUCUUUAAGGAGAGUGGACAAGCAAGUCAAGUAACUGCGAUUAAGGAGGAGUUGAACCUCCAUAGUCUUGGAACUAGAUACCGUCUAAUCGACCACCCACCCACCACUCUAAUAUUCGAAAAUUCUACAAUCUCUAGCUCCUACUAAAUCCAAAUAUCACCAAAGACAUUGUUUUUGCGAUCGGAAUACGAAUGAGAUCAGAAAGGCCAUCAUUAGGGCAAACGAUGCAAUAGCUUCGGUGAGAGCAAAGCCCAAAAUGGCAUAACCAAAUAAUUGUUUAGCCAAUGAUGGAUUUCGCGCCACAGAAUUGAUCGAGGAACUGAGGACGUUUCCAAUACCGACAGCAGCUCCGGCUGAAGCAAUUGUAGCAGCUCCGGCACCUAUUGAUUUAGCUCCUUCUAACAUUUCAAGCAAGACAAGAAUUGACUCGUCACGCUUUUCCUUCACGGCUCUUUCCUGGAUUCUUCGUCGAUUCCUCUUCCCCACCCCGCGAUCCAUAAUAGUAUAAUUCAACCUCAUCCCGAUAGAAUUCCCAAUUUCUUAUUUUGUUGAAAUUGUUAACAUUAUAUAAAAGAGAAAUCCGCUUUCCAUCGUGCCGGCCUUUGUUGUAGAGCUCAUUUAAAAGCUUAUUCAACCCCAUUAUUUGUGAGGGGAGCCCAUUCUUAUAAUGUUAGCCCAUUAUUUGUGAGGGGAGCCUAUUCUUAUAAGCCUAGUCGACGCGUAGGGAGUCCCGAGUAGUUGUCCAAGUCGGCUAUUACUCAGGGAGGGUGCCGCUGUAGGCUGAAAUCUCUGUCUCUAUAUUCUUAAAGGACCAGGAGCUAAAACAAUCGAUCUGUUAUUGCCCAACCAACCCGUAAUACUUGAUUUGUAACUCAUCAUUUUUGGAUAGGACUGAAUGAAAUCAUGCUGAAACCCACGCUCGUCCCCUUCUAUGCCUUGCGGUAAUUAUUCCUCUGCUCUGGCAUUACGACCGAUACAUUACUACAAUGAUGAUGAUGCGCCCAUACAUAGAGAGAAUUAUGUCGUGGAUUGGAUGAUUCGUUACUGUGUAUACAGAUACCUUGCCUGUGCUCAGGGUAGAAGUCAAGUAUAAGAGUGAGUGGAGUCUGGCCUUUUUCUUAAGUAUUUCGCUUUUUGUGCUUCUUUCUCUCUAUAAGAUGAUAUGUGUCUAUUUAUUCUUCCCCCUCCGACUUUGUUUUCUGUAAAAACAGCGAAUUCUCGUUCAUACUAUAAGACCCCUCAUCCAUGAGUUCCAUCAGUAUUGAUAAGAAUGGAGAGUUAUGACUCAGAGUUCAUAUUUGUUGGUAUUGAUAUGAUGUUACCAAUUCAUUCAGUAUGGCCAUUGAUAGAGAGCCAAUUCAAAUAAACUAAUGGAACGGAGAGCCAAGCCAAUUCAAAUACACUAAUGGAACGUGGAAUUUGGCCUUUUUGGAUCCAGCAGGAAUCGAACCCUCUAUAUUCUUUUGGACCAAUGUGGAGUUGGUCGCUUUUACCAUUAAGCUAUGGAUCCAAUCACCGCAAGUAAACAUUAGGUUUAGGAUUUGUCACCGCAAGUAAACACUAGGUUUAGGAUUUGAUUGUUGGUGCUUCUCGAGCUUUAUCCGCCAGAGUCAAUCCAGCCCCAAGGGUUGCCUAGCCCCUAAACUAUGGUACUCCUCUCCUUCAUCGAUGUGGAGAUAGAGCCAGAAGUGAGGCUUUGUUCCUUCGCGUAUCCAUUAUCAUUGACAAAGCGACUCUUACAUGCAUGGCUUACUUAAUCAUUCAGUCCUACUGGGGAUGCUAUGGUCACAGCAUUUAUAAGGGAAAAGAUGAUAUAGAGAUGGAUUGGAGAAGAGGAACGAACCACUUGACAAUUCAGAUGUUACAUGUUUUGAAUACAAAGGAAAUAGUAAGGAAGAAGAGAAGAAAAGAGAAAGAAGAUAGAUAAGGUAGGGGCCAAGGAACGGGAUCAGACUUAAUACAGUAAAUCCAAGACUUCAACUAGUGCUACCGAGGAUGGAGCUACUAACAACCAGACUUCACUCACUACCAACAAGAAUCAAACCUAGGGCUGCUAGGACUGAUGCUGUGUAGGUACAGGCUUAAACGAAGGAGUCACAGAAUGGCACUGAUGAGUCUAAGGCUGAAACAAGUACUACUCAGAAUGACCCUAAAGCGGAGGUAGGUACGAGAUACUUUAGGUUACUCGUCCUAGGAACACCAGUAAUAAGAAUUGAGACCUCUCUUGGCAACCACUAUAAUGAAUAGAAGUCAGCAGUAAUAGAAUCCGCAGUGCCCCAGGAAUGGAAGUAUUGAUUGGCAAGAAGUAGAUGAGAAAGCAGCUUGCUUAAUUCUGUAUUAGUUGACAGAAGAAUCAGUUCGGGUUAAGUACCCUGUAGCCUGUAUAGGAGAAGAAUCAACGCGUUAGCCCAAUGUUAAUAGAAAUAACAUAAGAAUACAAAACCCGUCUCUCGAGAUCAGAAUCAGUGUCAAGUGAGUCAGCAGUGCCAAAGUCCGCCAAGUCGAGUUUCAUUCCUGGAGUGUUAGUAACAUACGAAAAAGGGAAGGUGCUUCAAGCAUCUUUACUAACUCAUAGGUUCCUUGUGAGCGAGAACUUACAAUAAGGGCCUUAUCCUUACUAAAUUCAUUAUUGAUCUUUUUAUAGGAGAACGGAUUCCUAGUAUAUGCUUGCCAGGUUGUGCAAAGAAUGUUUCAAUGUUGUUUCCUUACUUCUAUCUAUACUGGGCUAGGUGCUCAAGAGACUCUAUUGAAUUCAUAAACUUUCCCCCACUCCACAGAGUCUGGGCCGGAUCCUGUUUCUUCUUCUCCACUUGAAGAAUGACUUGCUACUCUGCAAAUGGCAAAUGCGCUCGACCAUUAUCGGUAAAGGAAGCAGUAAACAAGAGAAGGAAGGGGCAAUUCGAGUCGCCAACACAAAAGCACCAAUAUCUACUACAUUACCAUCACUAGAAUUCUUUUCAACAAGCAAGGAGUAAGCAGACCAAGCAGGUGCCUACGGAACAAGCAAACUUGCAAGAAAGGGCAAUGAAAGCAAGGCCAAUAUUGAGUUAAGAAAGGGAAGAAGGUUACUGACGCGCCACGGGUAGCACUUUAGCGACACCCCGUUCACUUUAGCGUCAGCGAACAAAGGACAAAGAAAGAUCUUCCGAACACAAAACAAAGAAUUCCACCUUUUAUGAUAACUGCCUCGGAUCCUUCUCUUGGAGACUUAACUCGAACAGAAAUAGACUUAAUGGCGAAAGUGUCCUUGCCAGGCGCAAGUCAGGUUUGCCGGCCUCACUUCUUGUAUAGGUCGGGUGGGAAUUCCACUCCAAAGUUCAUGGCGGCAGCUUCCCUGUCCCUUGUUUCAUCUGUGUUUGUCGUCUUGGCCCAGUUGUGUUCUAGGCCUUGGCCCCGUCUUUUUGAAUAGCAAAUAUAGACUUUAGUAAGGUGCUGAAAGCCUUGAAGUUUCAUCUUCAAUUAUAGAACUGACCGAAUUAAUAGUAAAGGGCUGGCAACUCACUUCCCGAACUUACCCGCCUGUCCUAGGUAUAGCAACAGUCUCAAAUCCUCCUGCCGAUUCUAUUUCUACUUCUUCUACUUCUUCUAGAGUUGACUUUCCCUUCCAAGAUUCUUGUAUACCCGCCUUUAAUGCUUUCUUCUUAGGGGUUUGUCCUCUACUGCCUCUUUUGCAUUCCCAUCCUAUAGUUUCACUCCACCACUCCACAAUCGAACUCUUCUGCAGCUUACUUGCAUCAUGUAAGGAAGUGUGCUCUUAUUCUUCUACUCAUAGGUACCCGACCCAUCGCAUCAUCUAACAAUGAAAAGAGCAACUUGGAAUUCAAUCAAAGCUAACAGGAAAUCGACAACCACCAGAAAGAGUCAAACAAAAAGAAAUAGGACUUUCACUCCCCGGGGGCCAAGUAACGGAUAGACAAGAGCUAAGCAAGAAGGAGGUAGUCAAUAGGCCCAGCUACAACCGAACAGGAUCGGUAUUCCACUCUCACAGGACUAGCUACUCUCAACUACUGGCAAAGAAUCCAACUCGCCAAGCUACUAGACAAGUAACGGGCAGGCAGUUGACCAAAACGAGAUUUAUGCUUACUAUUGUGGUAAAUUCCCUAUUCUUUGUUUUACUCUUGUUAGCGGAAGUAUAAGAUUUGGAUGUCAGUGCGCUAGACUCAAAGCAAUAGCAUUCUUCCCUGUACGAUUAUUAUCAGACUUAGAUGUAUUAUCAGAUUGUGUAGUAGAUGUUUUGAGUCUUGGAAGGGGUAGCUCAAGUCUGUUCUCCUGCUCACAAUGCCUUAGAGCUAUGCCCGAUAUCCUGUAUUGCUAGGUUGAUUCUCUCCGAUCCGGUGCCUACUCUUUGACUUACCUGUUUGAUCCUCUGUUUCCACUUCGAUCCUAUACUUAGUUAGUUCAAAACCAUACUGGCGAGGUUGGUUCCCCGUCUAUAGCAUCAAUACGAUAAGUGGUGGGUUUAUUCUUACUAGUAGUCGUUCAAGUCUAAAAGCAGUGGGCUAAGCCUGUGAUUUACCUAUUUAAUUCAGAGAAGCAGUAGCUCCCAAUUCUUUUAGUUAUUAGUUUCAGAAUCAAAGACAGAGGUAGGGUAGGCUCAUAUACAGGGAUGGCAGACUCCCUUUGUGCGGGUGGGCAGACUGAACAGUGAAAUAAGUAAUUGUAUUUUGGAGUGUGAUUAACAAUAAGAGCACAUAGGAUCCACCAGACAAGACCUAAUCCCGAAACUGGAAGAAUCCAAAAAGCCAAGACAAAGAUAGCCAAGCAGACAAGCAACGUUGUAAAAGUGCUGUGAACUUGUAUAUAAGGGGGUUUUCAUGGCGGUAGUGAGCGGAAGAGUUGGUUCAGAGCCGAGCCCUAGGUUGCUGUUACCGUAAUUCUAUCAUACAUAGUUAAAUGAUUACUUUGCGUUAGCAGGAGCCCAAAAGAAGGAUAGGCAUAACUGCAUUGCUGACUUAUGGCAUAUGAUAUAUAUGAGUAAAGACACCGUUGCCUCCGCUCCGUUACUCGCUUAACUACUCCUAGCGCACAAGUGAAAACUGCUCACGUAAGCGCUUCUCUUACCAGAUCUGAUCCCAUUCUUUCCCGGAGUCGAAUGAGAGACUGGAACGCGGGCGAGCUGAGCUCUCUGGCUCUUUAUAGAUGUGCCUGGCAUGGUUCAAAGUCUACAUAGUGAUCCCUGAAGCUAGAAAUAGGGAAUCCUGAUUGUUUUCUGUGUUCCCGCGUUUAGAAGCUGAUUGGAUCUGAUCCUGUAUCUACUUGAAGGAAGCAUAGGGGCUCUACCUUCCCAAGUAGUAGAGUUGCAAGAGGCUAGAGAGCUAUGAGAUCGAUUUGCUUCUGAUAGAUGAUUCCAAAGAGUAAGGGAGAGUUUAGCAUGCUUGCCUUUCGACUAAAGCACUAGAAGAAAAGGACAUGGGACAAGAAGAAGCCCUCUUCUCUUUUCAAGCCGCCCUCUUCCUUUUGAAAGUUGAUCCCCCUCAGACGUUAUGCUUUCAAGCGAAAGGCUGUCUUGUGGACCUUACCUCCAGCAAUCUUGUCUUUCCCGCUGCAGGUGACCCUCGAGGAGAUAGGACAGCAAGAGAGAAGCUAGCCCUACUUGAGAUUGGUUUACGAACUAUCCCUUCAGGCCUUCUUAACACUGAUCUUACCCUACCGCGACUAGAUCCAAUGGAUUACGUGGUAAAGAGCUCAAAACAAGGGAUUUGGCCGAUCCAUAGUUCCUCACUACCUAUGAAUGAGUCUCUUUGCUAAUUAACUAUCCACUACAUGCAAUUGACUCACCUACAUUUUCUGCUUUCACCCUUGAUUUAGUACACUCAGACUCAGGGAAAGUGCUUACAUAAACUAUCAUUCCUAUGGAGCUAACCGAUGGGUUAGAGCGGAACCGCCAUUCUCCAAAGUGUGGAAGUGAGCCAGGACAAUAAGACAAUAGGUCUAAUGGGCCAAGCCAGCUAUCAGGCAUUGAGUGGGAAUCAAUCCAGAAAGAGAGAGAUAAGGUCGAGUGCAAAGAGAAUAAGGUCUAGUGAAAAGAGAUAAGGUGGUCUAGUGCUCUCAAAACUACGUACUAUUUUCUUUGGAAUGGUAAGGGGAGUCGUUAGAUGCGGAAUACAAACAACAUGGUAAGAUUCAUCCUCUGAGUACCUGCUAAUGGAACCAUUGUCAAAUAUGUGUGCCCUUUGAAUUGUAGUUGCCUUGGAUGUCAAUCUAUAGGCAUGCUUUAAUGUCGAGACUUCCACUCCAUCUCGAAUCCCGCCAAAGUCCCACCACUAGUAGGGAAUGAGGGAUAGAGGCCGAGUACCACUAGAGGAUCAAAGAGAAAAAAGGGAUUCCUUCGAGGCUAGAGAGUGGGGGAUGACGGGAAGCCAACUUAUAAUCUAAGCGAUGCCUGAGCGCGAGGAGCGGCCUUUCAAAGAGGAGUCGUCGGGAAGAGCAAACAACUUCAUCUUCCAACUAUCUGGUGGCGCUUGAGCAUUUGUCUAACCAUGGGGUUAGGAGAUUGUCUCUGAGUUGAGAAUGAAGGACACGACUAGGCUAUAAAAGGAAGUGGCAGAGGUCAUAACCUUUGUGUUUUUUGCCCUUUCUCUUCAACUAGCCAAGGAUCUGCGCUCGUUGUUUUCAGACAAUAUGGUCAACAGGGUCUUUCUUUUGACAUUUAGUGAUUGUAGUUUCAAUCUUCCUUAGUUUGUUUCUUGGAGAUAUUCUUGUAUUUGACAUUUGAUUCAAUGCAUAGAGCCUUCAUUUCAAUGCCUUGUUGGCUUCCCGGGUGCUGGAAUUGGGUUCAUUGGUGGGAGAGAGAAUAUUGCUCGGCUUUCUGAACUAAAUUGACCGAGGAGGACGCAGAGGCAAGUAAGGAGAAUCAGAGGCGGAAUAAUAAUAUCAGUUAGUGCUCUCCGACUCAAGUAGUAGUAGCAGUCUUUUGAUUUGUGUUUGGAUUCCCUGCAGUACCAGUUCAAUCCCAAGUUUCAAGUUCUAUUCUAAUAGUCAGUGUGGUUGAGGAGCGAGCGGGUAGGUAGUCAAUCCUUCUCAGCAGUGGUUUUCUUCUUCUAGUGUUUAGUAUUUCCUUGUGGUAUAUGCGGCUAACGAGUGGAAGUUGUUGCUAGUUAGGAGUUGAUUUCCCUACCCAUUCUUAUACUGGUGUUGAUUCCUCUCCCCUAUGCCUAACAGCCUCUUUUCUAUAUGUAACAGCCUCUUUCUAAUGACUAUGUCUUAAAGAUAUGUGAUUUCAAGUGAGGAUCUUUCUUGCCUCUUUCCUGCCAGUAGUUCUUCCCCUAAUUGUCAUUUCAUUUCCCCUUCUCUUUUAGGAUAGCAUUCCGUAUUGAUUGUCACUUCUUUAGAAAUCCGUCUUCUUCCAUUACUACAUUCCUCCCAAAAGUCAAUUCUAAUCAUAAAAGGCAAGGUGUUUGGGAAGUGUAUCAAGCUCUAUCCUGCUGUCUUUAUAUGGAUUUCUCUAUCAUCAAUCAUUACGGAGAAAGAGAGUUGGAUCUCGAGAUUCCAAUCUCGUGGUGCCCUCUUGAAUGAACCAACCUGUACUCUUUAGUUUCCGCUAAUGAAGCUGCAUCAAAUUGAGUGGGCAGAAGAUCAGCUAGCUGUCUCAUACUCGGACUAUAGAUCUUUUAUGUGCUGGGUUGACGGCAAAGACAUCCAAAUCUAUAGGAUGAAGCUGACACGCGAGCAAGCUAAUAUGAAGAAGAUAAGAUCUUGCCAUGCCAUCUUCUGUGAUUAAAGUAAAGCCCUAUUCUACCCAUGUGUAGGGCGGAGCAAGGACGGACAGAGGCCUAAGGGUUCGUUUUUCAUAACUUAGUUAUAACUAUGGUCGAAAAGCAGGUAUGAUGUCUCCCACUCGACACCAAUAUGUGACAGAAAAGAAGCACGAAAGCCAGUCCGUCGCCAAGUCUUUAAGCUUCUGGUAUUGAUAUUGAUUUUGAAUAGAAUAGACAGAUUCUUGCCCUAAGGUUAGGCUUCAUGCCCGAAAAAGGAAAGGAAGGGUAUUUUCGGAGCGUACCAAAGGUCAGUCCCAACGCUAAUUCACUACAAUAGAAAAUCGAACUAAGAGAUAGGUUAGUUAUACGACCGAUAGGGAGAGGAACGAAGGACUUCUGAGUUUAGGAUAGAAGAAGAACAAGAGAAAGAAAGGUGCAGAGUGAAGGUACGGCAAAAGAUAGAAAAACGAAACAGUAUUGUAUUAUUGAGCACAGGAAAGAAUUAGAAGACUUCGAUUCGGUGGAAACCAAAACGGUUGAGUCAGUGCUGUGCUUUGCCCUUUAGCAAAUGCUUCUCCAAAUCACUAUAGGACCAGACGUCCGAGCUAUUCAAAGAAUGGACUUUUCAGUAAUGGAAUAAGGUUAACAAGGGAUUUCUCUUUCUCCAGAGAGUCAACCUUAGCUCAAGCAAGGAAGACAUUGGAUGUAGAUUAAUGCCUGUUACUGAAUGAUCCCCAGGGAGUGACUUCCUCAUUAGCCAGAAUAGCCAAUCCAUCCUUAUUUGCUUAGUUAUAGAACUCCUCCCGCUCUUCAAGGAUCGAGGUUCCCAGCUGGUUAUAAGAUUAUAAGCCGAUUGUCAUUCGACAACUCCCCCUUUUCAGUCGAAACAACCCCUCUCCCUAUCGGUCUUCACUCCUAUAGGUUUCCUCCUCUCCUUCCUUUAGUAUAGUAUUGUAAUAGCGGACUUUCCCGUUGGUCUUCCUUCGGUCGCCUCCUAUCUCGAACUUUCAAUCUUACGCUUCAAUCUGACGUUGGUAGAGCCAGUCUGUUGUAUAGCAUUUACUAGCUAGCCUUCCUCUGCGGAAGAGAAGAGAACAAUCCACCGAUUCGAUUACCUUUUGCCGAGCUACAACUCAUUCCUAUCCGUUAGGAGAGCUAGCACUCGCACUUCCUUGAGUAAUGUACGUACUUAUUUAUUGUCGAGCGAGGAUAGGUCUGUGAGAAUAGAGUUCGUUUUAGCCUUGUUAGAUUAGUCCAGUGACCGAAAGGAAAUGCCCGGACCCUGUGAACUCUUACUGUUCGUUAUCUAGUCGAAACUAGGGCAAGACAAGAGAUCGUAUUCGCUAAAUCUGUUAUGAUAUUAGGAAUAUAACCCCAGCAUUCGAGAAUCAUCCUCUGUAUCUGGCGCACAAUCUAAAGCUUUGUCUCAUCCCUCUUCGCGAGCAUACAAUAAGCAAAGAAAAGUGGAUUUGUUUGGAUCUGAUCUAUACUAAUGUUACUACUAAAUUCUGUAUUGAUCCUUAUAUAGGAUGACAGAUAACGGAUUCAACAAAAGAAUAGAUUGAGUCAGCUACCCCAGAGAAAGUCAAGGAAUGGAAUAUGAAAUGCACUGAAGCGCGGGAGUAACUGAAGGCGUUGUUAAGUGAGUUGAAGUUAACGAGUUAUUACUCUAUCUGCUGACUAACCUUUGACUGCUGACUAUAAUGCUCCUUACUCUAAUCAAACAAGGUGGUUUCAUUGAAUACGAGUUCCAGUUCUUUACCGAACAAGCCUUAUUGCCUUUACUUCUUCCGCGCGGUAUCUGAUAGUUGUAGUCUCUUUUGGUGCUUGUGCUUGAGAAGACCAGAAUCUCCGUUCUUUGAACAGCAUUGCUUACUUGACUCCCGACUCUGAGGCUUCAGCACCCCUUACAAAGUCAUCUCACACUGAACGAGCGUAGGUAGUAUAAUCCAGUUUGUUAGAGAGUUCCGAGCGCACCUUACCUUUCGAAAUCCAUAGAUUAUUACCCUUGUACCCUUGCUUUAAGAGAAUCAUAGAGGAACCCAAUCGCUAUUGCUUGUUCUGUUAUUUGUUUCAAACUAGUAGAACUAUACUUAAGUACACUGCCGAAGUACACCGCGCUUAUUCCUUUAAUUGGAAUCCAUCGAAUAGGAGUCAAUCGUGGUUCGGCUUUAAGGUAAAGGCAAGGGAAGUCCACAGCAGAGCCAGAGGAUAAAGGAUUCCAAAGACAGGGUCAAGAUGUUAGGCGAAAAUGUCAUAGAACAGUCAAUAGAGAUCCUCAAUGAGAAAUGACCUAUGUUGCCCCCUGAAAACGGAACUUAUGGAUAGCAUUCCAGAGUCUAAAAUCCUAGUUGGAACCCCCAGUAUAGAAAGAUUCUUAUGCUUUUGUUUAAGGCUCUAACUCCUUGUGUAUCAUCUCUUUGUGUGCCAAUGUUGUAAGGAAAGGAAGCUGAAUCGAUUAAUAGUGAAAUUGAGGAAUGAAAUAUAGCGUGCAUUGGUGAGUAUAGAAAGAAGGAACCCUAACCUCACUGAACAAGCAAUCAGAUCCUUCCGGAGCUUUAUUUGGAAAUAAGCUGCUAACUACGCUUUUCCUUUUGGGCGUGCCGGGCAAGAAUUUGGAUAGUUACUACAGUCAGGUUACCCUAUUACAUAAGAGGUGCAUUAAUACUCUUUCUUUACAGUUGUACUAACGUGAGUUCGCCCGCGAAAGCCUUAGUUCUCUUAAAGCUGCAAGUCAGCAGUAAACAUAACAACCUUAGAAUACUGUUGCGCUUACGGGAGCUCGAUAAUCAAUUCCGUAUGGACGGGGACGGACUGAAGAUCCACUGUCUUGACUGCGAUAACGGAGUUCUCUUUGGAAUGUUUGACUGUAGCAUUAGGAGUUAGAGCAAGCGUUAGUGAGUUGUGCGCUAGUUCAUAAAUCAAUUCAGUAAAGUAACAGAACAAGAAGUUGUUAUAAGUAAAUAAGUAAUGCUCUGUUUUAUUAAUCAAUUAUAGAAUGUGAUACUUAUAUCAAUGAAAGGUAGCUUAAAACUCGCCCUACUGCCUUGUUACUGCAGGAGAAGUCUCGUAUCCAAGUGGAACCGUUGAAAGAAAUGGUGCCUCCGCCUUCGUAUAGGCAGCCUAUACUCUAAUCUUUGCGCUAUUCCUAGGCGCUACUCUCUUCCAUUCUGUAGUUGGGGGUGCGACACUGAACUCCAAUCUCCAGUUUUCAUUUCACUUCUAUGUAGUUGGGGGUGCGACACUGAACUCCAAUCUCCAGUUUUCAUUUCACUUCACGUCACGGCAAUACCUCUGCUUGACCGCAAGACCUCUGCUUCUAUAUAUAUAGGAUUCGAGUCAAGCACCCGAAGACCAACAAUCGAACUACAGAGGGCGGUGGACUAACUCUCGAACUAAAGAACAUAAGGGACAACUAAUAGAUUCAAGUAAGGAAAGUCAGCCCGAGAUCAUAGUCGAAGGAUGAGUAGCAUUGGCGCAAUUCCUGUUAUCUGUGAUUUCCGCCCUGUUUGCGAGAGUAGAAGAAUCCGAUGUGAAAUACUGUUUGAAAGGGCAUCUUUGAAAUCCAGUAGCUAAAGAAUUAGAGUAAGGAGAGAAAGAUGUAGAUCCAGGAAUGACAGGCGACUACUAAAUAGGUUCAAUACGUAUUUUGUGUGUCAGCGUUAAAGCAUGAAAGCAAAGCGAGUUAGGUUGAGAAGCAGUAGGGGCAGCCCCAUGGAUAGGACAGUAAGAAUAAGAUAGAGGCGAGGCAGGCUUGUUAGCAAUAGCUCGAGUCUUAUCGUUAGUGAUUUCAUCCUUUUUUGAUCAGUGGAAUUAUUAUACCUAUUGGUCUUAAAGCGAUCGUACGCAUAGGUUCCAUUCUGGCUAUUCAUAGUUCCAAUUAUUAGAAGCCAUAGUUGGAGAACGAGAGACAGGAAAGGUAGACUUAACUAAAGGAAAGACUGCUUAGGUGCCCAGGAGCUCAAGUAUUGUUAGCGGAGGAAUAAGAUUGAAACCAAAGAGAGGUGUUUUGAAAGCUAAGAUCCGGAUCCGGAGUUGUAGAAUCAAAGCAAGGUGCUGAAAGCCUUAUUGAGGCAUGAGGGAAUACUAAAACAAGGGAGUUGGAAUGCAGCUAACGUUCUAUUACUGAGUUCAAUUCAGUAUUGUUAUACAUGUACGAUUUUCUUACCUUGUUGGGCGCUACCUUAUUAGUAGUACAGUUAGUAAUCUAAGACUUUCAGCAAGGAGUCUGUCUAAGUUUGAAUAAGGCCUGCCAGGAACAAACCCAAGAGUGAGAGAAGAGAGUUUCCAUUUUCAAGGAAGACUUAAGGCCAAGAGCGGAAUAAGUAGUAGACUUAGCUAAAGGAAAGGAAGACUGACUAUCAAACAUAGGAGUGGGUUGGUUCCACAGGGGUAAAGUUUGAGAGUUAGGGACGGUAGGCUGAGAAGCCGAGUAGUCAGAAUGAGAUUUAGGAGCGGGGGAAUCUGAUCGAGUAAGGACAGGUUAAUAGGUAGGAAAGCUAGGUUCCAGGUAGUGGGGAAGGUCUCAUUUCUUUGUUUUAGCUUAUAGGGAAGUAGUCCACUCCGAUAUAUACUCCCGUAGUUAAAGGCGGAUACCCACCUGUUACAUUCGCGUAGUGGGGAGCAUACCCUUUAGUCAAAUUCGGAUUAGCUGUUGUUGCACUCCUCGGUUCCAGUCUUGUACUUACUAGUUUCAUAGAAAAAAGUCCGGGUAAUAAGAAUGGUAGUCAGUAAGAGUAGACUAGGAUAAAGGAGAGUCAGAGGGUGGUUAAGCCCAAACCUGCAGAGUUAAGGCCUGUAAUGGAAGAAUCGAAGGGUAAAGUUCUAAUUAGAUGUAAGGAGCUGUAGGCCUAUGCUUGGGAUUUGGUUCUUCUACUAAUCAAAUCCAUUAUUCAAAUUCAUGUCCUUCAUUCUAUUACUGUUGAGCUUGAUUCUAUCCUAGCUUAGUGGGGUUCCCUAACGAUUAGAAGAUGAAAACUAGCAAGCUGGGCUUUAAGACAAGAGCGGUUGUUUGUUAGUAGGGAGUGGAGUGCCGGUUUCAGAGUUCAAGCAAGGGGCUGCAUAUUCUUAUAUAUAUAUAGGGGAUCAUAUGACUAAACCCAUAGAAUUGGGCUUAAAGGACGGAGUCAGGGAAUUAGACUUAUAUCGGUAUGAGUCAAUAGGCGGUAAUCGAGAAUAGAAGGUCGGGUAGGCAAGCUUGGUCAUCUAUGCAAGUAGUUCGUUUUGGAGUUAAGAGCGGCAGUGCUAUACCCAGGGCAGUGAAUAUUCUUAUUGUUAGGUUAAUUAUAGGUGCAGUUAAUAUUCUUAUUGUUAGGUUAAUUAUAGGUACUAUUGCUUUCUUUAUCCCCAGUUCGAUUAUUGGUAGCACUAGUGGAAUUGCCGGUUUUGAGUGGAAUUGCUAGUUAGUAGUUAAAGUCUAAUCAGUAGUAGGAAAGGAAACCAACCAAGAAAACAUGGGAAUGGAGUUUACCGAGCACAAGGUAUAGAGUGAAGUAAAUACACAAGUUCCUUUUCUGUGGAAUCUGACUUCUGACUUGCACCGCGUUUGUUGUAGUGACUUGGCGGUAGAGGAGCAAUCAAGAGUUAAGAAAAGGUAGAUGAGCCUCCACCACUAAAGCACCGAACCUUUCUCUUAGAUACCAACCCAGUACGUGCUCUCAAGCAGGAAAGUAGGAAUUGGACUAUCAAACCAUAAUGAAACUAAGUCAGCAAUCGGGUCUGUUCCUGUUGCCUUUGUCUAUAAGUCUACGAAUUGCCAGGCCAGUGCUUUACCUCGCAUCAAAGAAAUCAACCAAAAAGGAGGAAUUCAGAACUAUCUACUUCUCAGGUCUUCUACUAAUAAUCAUAAGGGAAAGAAAGAAUACAACUGGUAAGUCAAAGUCUAUGAAUGGGGUUACAGUCUAGCAGAACUACAUUUCCAUUUCUUAUCGAGGUUGCUUGUCGGCUUGGCCCAGUAUAGAGAGCUUUGGUGCUAGUGUAUAGAUAGGUUUGGUGCGAGGCUUUGAAACGGUAAGUGAAUCCCCAGUUCCUGUUCUGGUUCUUGUGGAAUACCUAUAGUAGUAGUAGUCCUGUUCGAGUAAAGUUUUAGUCUGAAUCAAUCAGUGAACUUCCAAAGACCAAACGAUUUCAUCCCAAACUAUCUCUUUAUGGCUGAACCUUCCGAGUGUCGAUAUUUUGAGACUCAUUGUUUCAUAGCCUCUUGGUCAAGCGAAGCCAUACUAGCCACUUUUGGUAGACUGGAAGGCCUGUGCCUUGAAGUCGUCUAGUGUGAGGUACGUUCUUUAUUUAUAAAGGAGAAAGAGAGGUCGCUCGGAAGCAUUCAGUUAGUACGAAUAUGUAUAUUGCAAUUCCGUUAGUACGAAUAUGUCUAUUGCAAGAUGAAGUAACGGAUGCUGGUUUACUGUAAGUUGGUCUCGCGAUGAGUUCAGAGAGUUCUAAGCUGUCUGUUCACUACGCUUUCUUUCAAGCAAUGCUCGGUUGCCUUAUCUCACAAAGGUCUGAUGCCGAAAAUAGGGUGAACGAACCAAUGGCGGUUUCACUGACCCGAUCUGGGCUACCCCGCAUUAUUCCAGUUCGUAGAGACAUUGUCGAUCCUGCCGGGAUGAGAGUGCAGACUAAAGAGUCCGUCUUUACUUGUAAUGGUUUGGACUCCGUCGGGUGAUUGCACUGGGUGUCAAAAGCAACGUUUGAAUCCAUAACUAACCCGGUGUCUUAUAUUGAAAAGGUCCUGGAGGUGAUCUCAUUGAAGUUUUAUCUGCCGUAAGUCUCUUCCUUGGAUCUCGACCAACAAAAGGGUAUGGUAUGGGAACCCACAUUGAAAGCCACUGCUCAUGACGACCGAAUGUGGGUUUAGCACGAAAUUGGAAGAUUUACCUAAGAUCUUGACUAGUAACAAGUAUGAGCAGCCUUCGCAGAAUUUGAUUCAUUUUCUCCAAGAGGAUAUCCUGUCUUCUCUCCGGGGGUUUGUAAAGAACACUUUGGAUCACCGGUAUACCACACAGGCUUUUAAUGAAGACCUAGGAGACUUACUAUACUCUGCCUCUGUUCUCGUGAGCUAGAUAAGGCUAGGUUUGAAUAGAUCAGUUCGGUCUCCGCUCUGAGACCGCCGAGUAGUAGUAGGUAAGUCGCAGCUAUCUCCGACCGAGCUAAAAGAAAGUAGUGGUUUUUCGGGAUCCGCCUUCUCUUCUUCCCCAGGUUCUAAGAGAAAAGAUAUAUUCCAAAAGGGUAGUCUACGAAUUGUUGGUCCUGACCAAUGGCGGCCGUGCUUUCCAACUAAAUCCCCUGGGAAUCUGUCCCCGAGCGUGCUGGCUUUCCUUUACAUAUUAAAUACAUUUCUCAAUUUAUGUUGAGUGAAAAUGCAUUAUGUGAAGAGGGAAGCGACUCAUUUAGCUUACCGUCAGGUUCACUUGGGUUGGUUUAGGCUGCUGUCUUGUAGUCAGUUGAUGGGAGGUCUUCCAUUCCAGUCCAGAAGAUAUUGGAAUUGCACUCUUUUCUUUCCCCCACUUAUAAUCUCUCUGUGGGACUUGUUCCCUCUUCCACUCAGCGCUUUAUAGAUAGGCAUUUGAUUGAGAAUAGAUAGGCAUUUGAUGGAGAAUGCUACCUUAUCUUUGAAAAAGUAGCCGAGCCGAAGGCAAAUAGAAUUGGAGUACCACGGAGAAAAGCUAGCUGGAUAAACAAGACAGGGAUCGCCCGCUCGGCAAUGCUACCUUGGGGAGGAGACAAAACACUUGAAUAUAUAAACGAAUAUUCUACAGCUUUUGAGAUAUAUGAACAAUCUGACUAUGGAAGAGUUUGUGUCUGACUCAUAGCUCUAAGAUUACUAGCAUGAAUAAGCCUGCUUCAACACCACCUAGACUCUUCCAAAUAGAGAGACACCGACCUUAAAAGAACCUGGCAUUGGAUUAACUCACUCCUAAGCUCCCUAGACACUGCAAAGAAGACAUAAUUCGAACUUCCUGGUAAGGGCUGGGCGGAACGAGAAAGGAGUUUGCUAAUAGAAAGAGUUUGGGAAUGCCCCGCGUAGUUAACAAACAUCGAGUUGGGAGUCGGGGCAGCAUGUAUACGAGACUAUUGAAGUUCCGUUUGGAAUCAUUGUGUUCUUCAUAUUCCAAAAUGGGAGAAUAGCCAAGGCCUUUUUCAGCGAUUCGACGCGCCCCCCCUAAGCUAGACGAUUCACCUACCUGACCUCAGAGAGAAUGGAAUGAGUCGCCCUAGCCCUAAUCUGACUAAGAGGUUCAAUUGCUCUAUAGAAAGCCAUCCACUACUGAAUAGCCCUUAUAUAGAUUUAUCAGCCAGGUCAACUGACGCCAUCACUACACUACACUACGGUUUAUUUCGCUGUGAGAAACAAAGAAAAUGUCUGUGCAUUGCUGCUGCCAUCCAAGUUCAUUUAAGCCUUCCUUCCAUCCCUAGUUUCCCUGCUUGAGACUGUUUUUGAUUAGCCCGCCCUGGUUUGAGCCAUGGUCUACCCAGCUGUGCUUCAUAUCCUCCUUGCUCUUUGUCUAAGAUUGGACUACAGGUACCAAACGAUUGGACUGAGGGCAAUCAAAUCAGUGCAUCCUUUGUGGUUGUUUGAGAUUUGGGCUCGUAGGUUGUACGCCAGCCAUACGUAGCUUGAACUGUAAUGGCCACAAUGCGACGCUAUUGCCGAUCCCCAAGACAAGACGCCUUUGAUUGAAUGUGAACACCUGAUCCACCGUAUGCACUUCCUACAUUCACUCCCGGAGAGGAAACUAUUCACCUUAUAAAGAGCCACUAUACGAUCGGACCAGACAGGUGCAGGUAGCCGCCCGUAAUUGUCCAAUAUUGACAGCAGCUAUAGUCGCCGUGUCUUUCGUUUCGCGUAGCUCGGAUUCGUGUGGUGAGAUGAGAUCAACACCUAAUGGGCCACUUUUUCUUAGGCAUAUAAGAGAGAUCAAUAAGUUCAUUAGAGAUCAAUAAGUUCAUUAGAUUUGGGAAUCUUAUUCAGUACCGCGCUUUAGGCAGCUACACUCAGGGCACCGGGCAGCAGCGCUAGUAUAGGGAGUUACUCCACGGGCCACAAUCUGAAUCCUCCACAGGAUUUUGUUGCACUUACUUUUCGAAAGAAAGAUCACAGCCUACUGGGGCAUAAACUUGGAGCUGGAAUUAGCGACGGCUUUUGCUUUAGAAUUCGCUAGAGAACGAUGGCCAUGGAUGAAAGAAACAAACAAAACGGAAAGGCUAUUCGGUUGGAGUUGGUGUUCAGCAUGGAGGUACCGCUUCACUAGGGCUCUGCGCCCGUUCCUACUGUUCUUGACCCAAUGCCAGGUGAUUAGCUAACCUUGCCCCUUCCUUAGAAGGUAAGGGAGGUAUGGUUGGGAGGGACAGAGAGAUCAGAAACCAAAGGAAAGGGAAUAGACUAUCAAACUGUAGAUUGGAUAAAGCAUAAGCUCUGGAAGCGGAUACGCCGAUAGAGGAAGGCUAGCACACAUCAUUUAUCUAAGAAGAAGUUAUUUGUCAUGGGAAAAACGCUUUUUUCGUUGAUCUCUUACUGGCACUCGAAGCACUUGCCUUUUAGCCGUCCACUCAAAGAGGAAAAAGAUGACCGACCAACUGCUGCUUAGCUUAUCACUCUUGAGACUGGCGUGGCGCUGCUGGAUGCUUCUGAUCAAUAGGAAGAGGAGGACUGAUGAGCUGCUAUUUGAGUCGAUCAUUUCCAAGAGAUAUCACAUUCCAGUUUGAGCUUUUAUGUAGUUGAAAUGCCUUACAAUCCUAAGUGUUACGCUUAAGGUAAGAAAUGUUAUUGGUGGAUGCAGGGCUUGGGACCCCCGGAAUGGAAUUAGUAUGCAAGAUUAGCUUACUGGAGUGCCAAUCAAACACCAGUUUUUUUAGAAUAAGGUGGCUGGCCGGUGAAUCACUGAUCAAAGAGCUAGGCGAAGAAGCAUAUCGCUUUGAACGGACACCCGACUCUCUCUUAAACCUUUGAGCAUAUCUUUUACUUGGAGAUUCCCGGUCUUCUGUCUUAGCCCUGACCAUGUUCUGAGAGACUCUUUCUACUUUGUCGCACCCAGCAUCUUAGCUAUGUUCCGAAUGUCUGGUCAUUUAGAAUCCAACUCAUAGAUUCGUUUGCUUCCAACAAGAUCUGAUUGAUCACAACUAACGGGUAGUACGAGACUCUUCUAGCAGAGCGCUUCCUGAUUCAGUUGCUUGAUUCACUGGGCGCACAAGAACGCUUUGCCCCUAUUGAUUGUCCAAACCUCCCCUCACUGCUGCCUAUUCUGUAACAAGAGAGAGCAUUCGAUGCAUUUUCCUUAUUCUAUAGAAUCUAUUAUUUCAUGAGUUUCUUCUAUAUAAUCUAUUAUGUAAUGAGUUUGAGAAUCUAUUAUGUAAUGAGUUUGCUUCAAGAGUCUAUUGAAGGUUAAGGUUAGCCCUCUGACUCGGCUAGUGACACAUCAGACCUCUUUCUUUUUUGAGAAAUUCCUUGAUUUAAGCGGAAAAACCAGAGUGACAGGCCAAGCACUAACAACAAGAAUCCAACUAGUCAGCAUCAGAACCAAGCCUUGCCGUGGGCCGAGUGGGUACAGAAUUGACCUCGGCAGUCUUUAGCUCGCUACCGCGCAAC
RNAcentral lists this long non-coding RNA (89642 nucleotides) under Musa acuminata (dwarf banana). RNAcentral's name for it is "long non-coding RNA (MACU_LNC007505)". Lineage: Eukaryota; Viridiplantae; Streptophyta; Magnoliopsida; Zingiberales; Musaceae. The record is from RNAcentral.